RNAcentral lists this long non-coding RNA (92759 nucleotides) under Solanum lycopersicum (tomato). Its description in RNAcentral is "long non-coding RNA (SLYC_LNC001181)". The record is from RNAcentral. Lineage: Eukaryota; Viridiplantae; Streptophyta; Magnoliopsida; Solanales; Solanaceae.
UUACCGUAGUUGUCGAACCUGUAAUGACAAUAGUGAAGAGUGAUUUCGUAAGUCAAAUAAUUGAAUGACUUUUCUGAGAUAAUUACUACCUGCGUUUAGUUUUUUCAAUAGUGGCAUUGAUAGCAAGUGCAGGGGCGCUAUCAGGUGAGUAAAGCUUCAAAGAAUUCUGAAGCUUCUUGAUUUGUUGCUUCUCCCUUUUAGCAAACUGUUUUGAAUCCUUGCAAGGUGUGAGACCUGAGAUGUCAGCAGAAGCUGGAAGAACGGGUGCUGACAAUAGAAUAGAAGACAAAGCAAGCGCGGCAGAGAAUGCCUUUAAUGAUGAAGAACUUUCCUCUGUUGAAUUAGAAACAGGGGUCUGGUUUGAAGAACACACAAUGGAUGAAGUUCUUUGUUUUGUGGUAAAUUGAGACCCAAAUUUAGAUGUUGAAAUGGGUUUUGAAAGGUUUGAAGGAAUAGUAAGAGACAUGGUAUUUUUUUUUUCUGUUUAUUUUUUCAAGAAAACAGAGGAAGAUUGGAGUGUGGAGAGUGAAAGGAUGUUUUUUUUAGGAUUUGUGGAAGAAAGGAUUGGUGAUCAAGAGAGAGGAUAAGGAGUUGAAAGGGAGCUUAGGUGGAGGGAUUUGAUUGGCUAAUAGAGUUGGAUUUUAUGAGUUUUGGGGAUUUUUUGAUCCAUCUGUGGAAGAGCAAGAACCAGGGAUUUAACAGAUACAUAUAUUAUGAUUUGGGUCAGGUACACUUUUGCCACACUAUUUUGGGAUAGUUUUUAAUUUUUGUCCCUCAGCGAUAAAUAAUUCUUUGCAAUGUAUAAGUUUAUUAUUUCGUAUCAGAAUAUCUCCGUACAUGACUUCAGUUUUUGAAUCUACUAGAUAUAAGUUCUAUUUAUUUGAAGAGCAGAAUUAAUAGAUCAAUCUAUUUGAAAGACAAAACGUACAAUUUUAUGGUUUUGAGAUAACAGGCCAUGCACUUCAUGGCAUAUUUCCAUAUGGAUUUAAAUGUAAACUAGUCCAACAGCUUCAAUGAGCCCGUGUGUUCGAAUGAAAUUUUGAAUUUGCAUAUCUAUGUGCACACCUUGAUCUCUAUGCUGGUAAAAUUAUGGUCAUGAAGAAGCAUACUGGAUUACGGAUUUAUGUUUCCAUUAUUGAGCCAAGUAGUUAGGUGAAUUGUAGGCCAUUAACACAUCAAGUUUUGACAUAAAUAAAAUUCUCUGAAUUUUCCAGUUCAUUAGAGUGGGGCAAGUUAUUGUCAUGUAAAAGCUCUCCAUGUAGCCAAUGUCAUCUUCAAUGAUACUUGUUUAUGCCAUAUUUUUUGUAUCCAUAGACCAUACUUGAUUCUUCUCUUCUUUCGUUUUACGACCUCUCAUGUGUUUUUUGGUGCUACCAUAUGCACUUUGGACUGUGGUUGGAAACUCCGCUUCUGUCAUAUCACACUGUAAAGUACCUCGUUAAGCAGGAUAUUUCGGUUUUGCACCAUCAGGUAAAUGACUACAGAGGACAAAGGGGCUCAAUUUUUGUUCAGUUGGCAUACUAGAGUGAUAUAUUCCCUUUCCAGGCUUACAUACAAUAUUUUCCUUAACAUAGAGGUUUAUCUCACACAGGACUCUCCAGCCGCGUGACAGACCUGAAUUAUGCACACCACUACUUGUAGAUCUGAUUACUUUUCAUGGAUCAUUCAUGGGAAAUAUUUUUGGGGUGGCAUUGAUAGUUGCGCAUAGAAACCUCUAUCUACUGUGAUACAAUAUUGAAAUGAACGACUCAACUUAUGAAAUCGUGAGAACAAUUUCCAAACAAAAAGAACAUUAAACAGCGAACUAGCCAUUAUCUAGCAACACAUGGUAUAGAGAAUUCACAAUCUUUCAUCGAUAUAAACAAGUGAAAGUAUAAUUCCACGAGUCUCCAACAAGAGAAAUUUAAACAAGGGUAAUCAAAAAUUAGACAUUAGGGUCAAUAAGGUCUCCGUUCAAGUACUCUCUGUAAGCAGCAACAGGCCAGAUGAAGCCUCUCCACACGAGUCUAUUAGCCAAUGGAACAUCGAUGAUGAUCUCCUUCAUUGUUGGUUUCUUUUCAUCUCUUACGGCAAUCAAGUAACUCCUUCCUACCCAUCCAAUCCAUCCAGCAAUGUACAAGAAGAGGAUCCCUGGAGUGAUGAACUCACCCCAGUGCCUCUGGUCACCACUCACUAUCAAAUGCGGUAGUCCAUCUGAUCCACACAACAGUCCUUGCUUUCCAUAGUUGUCAAACCUGCAAUGACAUUAGUUGAGUGACGUUCUGAUGAAUUAAACUUCUACUAACUCGAGUAUCAAAGGGUAUAUGUAUGUUCUAUUUUUGGAUGUUUCCUAGUCUAAUCUCAACGGCAUAUGCAAGGAAAAGUUGAACAAUCUGCUUUUCUUUGAUAAGCAAAUGUUAAUGUACAGUAUGCUUUCAUUCGUAAAAGAAUACUUUUAGCUCUUCUUCUACUCCUACUCCUAACAUGGGUUCGAACGAAUUCAGUAGCUUUUCCAUAGACCCUAUAUUUGUACUAUGUAUUUUAAUUUGUAAACCCCUAACAAAAUUGAUUAGAAUCCCAAAAUCUUAAUAUAAGUACUCUCUAUCUAGUACACAAUAAAAAAAUGAUCAACUAGGGAAAAUAGGCAAAUAAGAAGUAAAACUUUUUGAAAAUUGUGAAGAAAGAUACUGAAGGCAAACCUGCGUUUAGUUUUCUCAAUAGUGGCAUUGAUAGCAAGUGCAGGGGCGCUAUCAGGUGCAUAAAGUUUCAAAGAAUUUUGAAGCUUCUUGAUCUGUUGCUUCUCCCUUUUAGCAAACUGUUUUGAGUCCUUGCAAGGUGUAAGCCCAGAGAUGUCAGCAGAAGCUGGAAGAACUGGUGCUGACAAAAGAAUAGAAGACAAAGCAAGUGCUGCAGAGAAUGCCUUUAAUGAAGAAGAACUUUCCUCUGUUGAAUUAGAAACAGGGGUUUGGUUUGAACAACACACAAUGGCUGAAGUUCUUUGUUUUGUGGUAAAUUGAGACCCAAAUUUAGAUGUGGAAAUGGGUUUUGAAAGGCUUGUUGGAAUAGUUAGAGACAUGGUGUUCUUUCUAAGAGUAUUAUUUUUCAAGAAAAUGAUACAAAGAAGAAGAAGAAGGAAGAGAUGGUUUUUAGAAUUUGUGAGUGAUCAAGGGAGAGGAUAAGGAGCUGAAAAGGGAGCUUAGGUGGAGUGAUUUCAUUGGAUAACAAAAUUGGAUUUUGUGAGUUUCAGAGAUUUUAUGAAAUUUUUAUCUAUCUGUGGAACAACAACAACCACGGAUUACAGAUACUCAUAUUUUCGCGUGGCCACCACAUAGGUAAAGAGAACUCUUGAAUGAAUAAUUAUUAAUAAUAUAUAUAUUAAACAAACAUUUACUAUUUUACACGAUAAUUAAGAAAUUAUUAGUGAUAGUUUGAUCAACUUUGUAAUUAAGGGAUCAAUCACCAUGCUCUGAUGCCAAUGAAAGAUUUAAUAUUAAUUUUUUUUCCAUCAGAAUUCUUUCAAAUAUUAGAAAGAAGCCAUAUUAAUUGUAGGGGGAAAUGAGAAAAAAAUUAAUUAAAUUUAACCUAAUUUAGUAAGUAAUCAAGUAAUAUGAGAUAAUUAUUUUUAGUAAGACAACCAUCUAACAUACAAAAGAGAGAGUAUCUUUUAUCAAGUUUUUCAAAUAUAUAAAUUUUAUUUCGAGAUUCUGUUAACAAGUUUAAAUCUUGAAAGGUGGAAAAAAUAACAUAUAAUUGAAAUGGAGCGUAGUACUUUUUACCUUUUGUGAUUUUUAUACGUGAAUAUCUCAGAAGGACAUAUUUAGAACUACUAACAUUCAUAUAUACUUUCAUGUCCCAAUUUAUAUGAUUUAUUUUGUUUUUUAUUCAAUUUUAAAAAAGAAUGACACAUUUCUAUCUUUACUAACAAUUUAUUUUUAAAAUGCUCAUGUUAUCUUUAAAUAAAUAAUUUCUAGCUACAUAAAUAUAUUUGACUUAUUUUAAACCACAAAUUUCAAGUCUUUCUUCUUUUGUUUCUUAAAUUUUGUGUCAAAUUAAAUGAACUCAUAAAAAUUGAGACGAAAGGUUCUAGCGAUAUUUGGAGAGAGAGGCGAGAGGACAUACAAGUAAUUGGAAAGCAAAACCCAAUCUAAAAAAAGACUGCAAGACAUUUGCAUUAUAUAGUUAUUAAGAAAGUCAAAACAAGAAGUUCAGAACUAGUAGAGUUAAAGAAUAAUCAAAGAAAAAGUAGUUUAGGUUAAGCAGAAUUAAGUCAUAAAGACACUUUGUUCACAAAAAGGAGGUCAGCAGACAAGCAAUUAUCUCUAACAUAUUAUUACAAUAUGCAGAGUUGUUGGUCUCUAAAAGAAUCUGAUAUGCAAAUGAUCCUUGAAGAACUAAAAGAAACAAAUAAAUGGAACCAAAAAACAAAAAGUAUAGCAGAGUCAAAUGCCACAGAAUUUGAUCACUAAAAGAGUGGUGCUGUGUUCAAUUGCCUAUCACACUGAGAACGAAUGAGGUCAGAAAUGUUUGCUAGGAUGGUGGAGGAGGUAAGUUGCUUGACUUGUUGGGGCGCGGAACUUGUUCAGAUCGAUUAACAAGACUUAGGUUCUGUGACUUUGAGAUCAUGCUGACCAUAGAUGGAGUUUCAUACAUGGUGGCGCCACUAUUGCUUGAGCUACCACCUUGCAGUAAUAUUUGUGAUGUCGUGUCUCCUCUAGUUGUCGCUCUUUGCCAAGAAUGUGAGCUCAAACCUGAGAGGACGUAAGCUCGUCCAGUUUGUUCAUAGCGCUCCCUGCUUACCAUCCUCUCUCUGACUUCAGUCAGUUCCGUCUCAAGCCAGCUACAGAGAGCAUCGCCUGCUUGAGCAGAUACAGAAGACAGAAGGGUCGCUCUUCGGUUAGUUAGCGCGGCUUGAGCAGCCUCAAGAUUUCCCAUUUCUGCCAAUCGUUGUGCCUCUGCAAUGGUUUCUGCUACUGCCAGCCUGUUUAUCUGCCUAUCAACCUCUCGACUUAUUACCACAUCUGUAGGAGACAGCACUGGUGGCCGACGUAUCUCAACUGUUUCACCCUCCACACUGACCAUUUCUUCCGAUAUGGUAUUCUUGUAACUACAUGUAAUUUGCAACAGAGAUGUCUUUGUUGCGCCUUGCUCAAUUUCAGCUGAGGGAACAGACAAGUAGACAAGGAAUUCUUUUUCCUCAUCUGCAUACAGGUUCCCAAUGUUUAUUACCCCUUGCUUUCCCUGUUCAGAAAUUUCACUAGCAUAUCUUCCUGAAGGGAUGGAUCCAAUUUCUACUCCACGUGAUGCUGACCGAACAGUAAGCUUGAGUUCCUGGACUACAACACUGAGGAGACCACCAAUACACAUUGCAAAGGCAUCUUGAACAGUACCAACAGUCUCAAUGAACGAAAAUGUACCACCCGAUGCAUCUGAGAUAGCAUGCAUAGCAGAGGAAUCAUGGUCUAAACCAAAUCCAAACGUAUGUACAUGGAAAGUUGGCUGCUGUCCUGCUGCUAGUCCUUCUCUAUUGCGAGGACAAAUGGAAGAAGGCAAUAGAUUCAGAAAGUCGGGACCUGAGGUUGCAUUAGAGGAUCUGCGGUUCCGAGGACUCCGCCGUUGGUUGGCGAUAUCACCGUUAAAGGUGUCUCUCCCAUCUGACAAGAGAAUAAUGCUUGCAACUGGGUUCCUUUCACGUCUUUCUUCAAGAACCCGAACCCCCUUCUUGAGUCCUUCCACGAUAUUUGUGCCACCAUUUGCUGAAAUGGCAUUGACAGCCUGUGCAGCCUCUCUACGCCCUUGUUCUGUCAUCCUUCGCAAGGGAAAGUUUCUUUGAGCUCCUGAUGAAAAGGUAACAAUAGAUAGCCGGUCAGAAGGACCCAAGUUAUCUAUGACAAAACAAACUGCUUGUUUCAAGAGAGUCAAUUUUGAUCCAGCCAUGCUGCCACUAAUAUCUAGAACUGUGACCAGGUCAAUAGGUGCUCGCUCUUGGUGCCGAACAUCAUCAGCAAGUGGAGGUGCCUUUACUCCAACAAGAACAGCAAAUCUUGACAUACUUCCAGAAGCAGCAACUGCAGAAUAUUCAGGAAAAGCUUUCAAGACAGCAGUCUCUGGAUGAACAGAGGAAGGGGAGGGGGUCUGAUCCACAGUGAUGCUUGGAAGAGGUUCAUCAUCAGAGAAGUGAAGGGGCUCAGGAAGGGGCAGAGAAACGGGUGGUGGAACACGAGGAAUGUUGUCAAGGAAAUUAUCUUCAAGUGGAGAGACACGAGUCCGCCCAGCAUUAUUAGUGUUUACAUCAGUACUGAAGGACGACAUGAGAGGGAUCUCUUUCCAUUUGCAUCUGCAGAUGGGGCAGAGAUAAUUUCCAUGCUUAACACUGUUGGCAAUGCAGCUGAAAUGGAAUGAGUGGGCGCAUUCAGCAGUGAAUAUGGCCUGACCAUUCCCUGCUUUCAUACUCCCAAGGCAAAUGGCACAUGUUCGCUACAGUCACAAUAAAAUAGAGUGGCAAGUUACAGUUAGAAUAUUGAAAUCAGUACAUAAAUAUGUAACAUGCUCAAUGAGGCAAAUACAUAAUCACAUGUGCUGAAUCACUUCUCAUUUAACUUAAGAAAAACUUUGACACUUUAAGUAUAUCCACUCCACCGAGCAAUUGCAACCUUUGCCACCAGUGUGACAUUCAUGGUUAAAACAGUAGAAAAUAUUUUCAAUAAUCAAAAAGCAUCUAGAGCCCUUGGGCACAUAUCAUUUCAAGUCACAAAAAAUGAGAACAUGGACUUCAUUGACUAACUAGUCAUUGUUAAAAUAAGCUAUUAGAGUCAUUGAUUAUAAGGUACCAAAACUUAAAGAAAUAUUGACUGAAAUAACAUAAAUUGUUUAAACAGUAAGGAUUUGUGAAUAAAAUGUACUUGAGGUCAUCUAGAAAAAAUUUGCCAAAACGAAGUACUGAUUAAAAACUACUGAAUUAUUAAUCUUAUGCAUUUCACAAACAUAAUUUAGUAGAAAACAGUAAGCAAAAGUUCGCUGUAUGGAACUCAUCACCUCUUUGUGAAAACAACCACUCGUGACUUUUCUAGGGAAUCAUUAUUCAAUGAUAACAUUGUAAAUAAAUCAAACAACUAUGGUCUUAAUCUCAAAUUACUUCAAGACAAGUAUUGAUGAUAACAGUUAUGUGCAUGCAAUACAAUUGCAUAGGGUUAGGAUGAGUUAAUUGAGAAAACAACUAUUAAUAAAUUGCGCAUUAAAAUGUAUAGACCACCAAGUCCAUAUGGAGUACGUUUACUAAUCCACAAACAACUAAACUAGCAAUAACCGUUUCAAAAUCUAUACAAACCAACAUACAAGUCCAAGUAACUUUGUUCAAGUAUAGCUCCAAAUCAAGGCCUAUUAAACUAGCAAAUUUACUUUUCAAUUAAAAAGAAAAAAGCCAAACAACCAUCCCAUGGACACAAUUUAUAUGACAAUCUUUCCUUUUAGACAGGUAUAGAGGAUUUAUGACUUAUUCAUGCCUUUCAUACUUAAAAUUCGUGGUUAAUCAAACGUGUUCACAUAAAUUGGGACAGACGCAAUAUAUAAGAAGCAAACACGUAAUGUAUAGGAAAAUAAUCUUCUUAUAGGUAGCAAAAGUCAAUUAUAGAUACGUUUAAGCUAUCAUCAAUUAUAAUACUAGAUUUCAGAAAUGGUCCAACGACAUGGACAGAACACAUAGCUGGCGUAGGAAGAUGUCAAAAAUAUCUUAACAAACAAUAAAAAAGAUCUCCAAUUUGUCAAAAGCUGAAAUCAUCAUAAUUCCCAGCUAACCCAUAGAUUAAAUUAUUAAAAUAAAAUUAUUAGCAAGUGUUAAACAUUCAUUAGUACUUUAAAAUUAAUAGUAGUUGUACACUAGGUGCCAUUUUUUUUUUAUUAAUAGUAGAAAAAGGUAUUUUUCAAAAAGUCAAAACUUUAGAAAAAAAGGCCCUGCACGGAAAGCCAAGAAAUGUAAUCUUUUUCAGCUUGUGAAAAUUACCUUUUUGACCUCCAGAAGAAGGCGUUGAUACCAAAGUAGAGGACAGUAUAGUAAUUUACACAUACAUUUCGUCAUCUAAAACCUUGUAAAGCUGAAUUUCCAUUAGUUUAAUCACUGAUUAAGAUCAAGCCAAACAAACGUGAUAAAUUAAAAAGUGAAUUUCCAAUAUUACCCUUGUUACAGAUCCCCAAAUAACGUGAGAAACCGUAAAUUUAGCAAAAACAGGUAGGUAUUUUCGUCCAGAAAAAUUCUCCUCCUAUUCCAUUUUUGGCAAACCAGAAAUUUCUGCUCACCGUUCGCGAUGGUAAGAUAACAGCUGUCAUCACCGGUGAUGAAAAUUGAAAACGCAACCGACUUCCGGUCCGGUCGAAUCACAUAGAUAGCAAACCAAACACGCCGGCGAAACCAAAAUCAAGAAAUUACAACCGAAAAAACAGAAAAAAAUUCCGAAAAGAAAACGAACCUUAGAGGAUCGGGAGGUACUACUGAAACUUCUGGAUAAACGGGAGAAAGUGGAUGAAGAUGCGGCGGAGGACGGCCGAGUAGACGGUGGCGAUUUGGCAUCGGAGGAUGCAUUUUCUGGAGGAGAUUUAGGUUGCCUAAAUGAAAGCGCUUUUUGGAGUUUGCUCCAUGAACCUGACAUUCUUUCUUUCAGCUCCUUCAACAGAAAGAGAGAGAGAGAGAGAGUAGAGAGAGAGGGGGAAUUGAUGUUAGGGUUUGGGUUUUGUAAAAUGGAAGAAAAAGUAACGAACGUGAAUUUGGAGAAGAAGAGAUGGAAGAGGAGAGGAAAAAAACAAGAAAAAUUUAAGAUUUUGAAAAUGAUUAAUAUAAUUUUAUCUCUUCUUAAAAAAAUAUAAAUGAAAAGGGCAAGUAUGAUUACGGGCUAAUUUCAUUUAAUUACUCCUUCCGUUUUAUUUUUCUUCAUCCUAUAAGUAAAAUAAAUAUUUUGUUUUACUUGUUAGCACAUCACAAAAGGUUUUUCCUUUUUUUUUUUUUCGUAUUACCUUUGGGUUCCCAUUAGAAUAUGAAUAUAAAAUCAUUACUUGAAAAAUAAAAUUUUGUUUUGACAUCAGUGUAAUUUAAAUUGUAUUUUUCUUCAAAAUAUAAAAUUUUAUGAUCUGUGAGAACUAUAAAAAAAUAAUUUAUCAAAGAAAGCAAAUCAUAAUUCACAAAUAUAUAUACAUAUAUAUAUAUGUGUGUGUUUUCUUUAAAUAAAUACAAUAAAUUUUAUAAAGAUGCAUCAGCCAAUAAUAUUACUAACAAAAUAUUUUUUUGGCAAAGGAUAUAAAUCACAUGUUUUUAAAGUAAAAUUAUUUUUCUUAUAAUUACAGAAAUUUCUUAAAUUAAUACAAUAAUAUAAACGCUGAUACAUUAAUUUGAUGCGCGAGAAAUAUUGAUCAUUAAGUAAAAUAAAUUACAUUUUAUACAUGUUACGCUACUAAUCUAAUGUACAUUUACAUGAACAGUAAUCUAAUACACGAGAAUAUUAAUUUGAUAUAAUCUGAUGCACAAAAAUAUAGAAUAUUAAAAAUUUGUAAGACUAAUAGGAAAUAAUCAAACCAUAUUUACUUUUUGGAGUAUUUAGAUUUCAAAGUGCACAUCCAAAUGCAUAUUUACAGUCUUGACUCUAUAUACAUAUAUAUUCAAACACAAUCUUAAUAUUAAAUGACUAUACAAAAUAAUUAUGACAAUCAAAUUUAAAUUUCUAAAAUAUUAAUCAAUAAGAUUAAUUUAAAAACAACCUUUACUUAAAAAUAUUUUUAAAAAUAUAUCAUAAAUCUAAGAGGUCAAAUAAUAUAUAGUAAUUUUUAUUCUUGAUUUGGUACCAUAAACGGAAGGUCUUUUCGUCUUAGCAUAAUUAUAAGUAUGGAAGAUUUAUAAAGAUUAACACUGCACGUUAUUAAGUGAGUAACAUUUUGAGCAAUAAAUAAAGUAAAAUAGGUGAAGAGGAAAGUGAUAUUGGGACAUUAAUUUCAUUUAUAGUAGUAAUAUCUUCAUUUUAUAAUAUUGGGACAUUAAUUUCAUUAGUUGACUUUUGUGCAUUUUACAAAUUGUGGUCACCCACUUAUUAAAAAACAUAAUUAAAAAUCUAAAACCAUGGUGUUAAAGUUAAGAUAAGAUCUCUACUAAUAAAUUCAACAUAUUUAUUUUAGUAUUUUUAAAAAAAAACAUAAUCAAAGUACUUCUAAUAUAAAAUAAAUAUUUGUAAAAAAAACAAGAGUAUUCCCGUAUACUUUAUGAAGUUAAAAUAGUACCAAUUCGCUUAUUUCAAUUUUACAUAUCUAGUGCAGUUUAUAUUAACUAAUUUCAACCUUAUAUUUCUAGUGCAAUUCAGAUUAACUUAUUUUAACCUUAUAUAUUUAGUACAAUUAGAUUAUUUAUUUUUAGUGUUUUUAAAUCUUAUGUAGUUUUUUUUAAAGGAGUUUGAAAAGAUUAUAAAGGGGUAAAACUUAUUCGCAUCGAGUGUGUACAUCAAUUCAUGUCAUGUGUUUAAAUAUGUUCAUUUUACUUAACUUUAAUUAAUUAGCAUAACAUGCAUUUUAUUUUAUUAAAUCGCAUAAAAAUGAAAAUUGAAAUAGUUUGAUACAAGCACAAGGUGCAGAUAAGUUUUUGCCCAUUGAUUUUCAGCACCGACUUUUAGCUAAAGAAGUUAAAAUAAGUCAAAAAUAGGACAUCAUCUAUUUUUGACUUUUAACAUUCGACUUAUAAAUUAUUUUUUAUAAGCUCAUUCAAGGGCCUUAAUAUAUGUUUAUUGUGCAAUUUACAUCAUAUUCUAUUUUUUCCUACAUGUGUGAUUUGCACCCUAACUUCUUCUCUUUUUUUUUUUGUCAUAACCAAACUAUCAAUCACCUAACUUUGUUUAGCUAAGAGAAUUUGCUUAGCCACAGAGAAAAUAUCGAAAGCUCCUUUCCUCAUCUAUAGUUGCUCAAAAUGGAUCGAUAACUUUAUAAUUCUUUAUUGUUUUACAAAAAAUUACAAAUCAUCAUAAAAAUAAAAUAAAAAAGGUAGGAUAAAGUGAAAAUCACAAAUUAAAACACACAUUAAGGGUGUGCAAAACGUCAUAUUCUCUAGCAUUAUUUAGAGUACUAGUCAAACAAAUUUCAUUUCUCGUAUAUUUAUUAUAUGAAUAGUUUUUUUUAUUCGUUCCUAAGAGAUUUUUAUGUUGCCUUAUUACUGAUUCGAACUAACAAUCUUGGAAUUAAAGGCGCAAAAUAUUUAUCACUUAAGCAACUCUCUCGCAUUAAUUUAAGAAAAUUGAUGUGCCUUUUAUUUAUUUUUCAAACUCGAAAGCGGCAACUCUUGAAGGUAUGAACAAGUUGAAGAUGUAGGGCUCAACACAAAAUGCCAGUUUCAUCACACGAGACUCUCGUGACAAAAGGAUGUUAAUAAUCAUUGAAUUCAUAAUACUUAUGUUUAUACAUUAUAUAGUAAAGUAAUUAUAAUAAUUAUAAUAAUAACUCACUUUUCAAACUCCUGUAAUACUUGAGAUCUACUAAUUUACUUAGUUGAUUAAUUGAAUGUUAAUGUGAUCAAAGUUAACCUAGGGAAGUUGUUACUUUUGGGCACUUUGAAGGCCUUUUAAUAAUGGGUAACAACUCUUUCAUUAAUCAAAGAAGUUAUGGGUUUUUGAGUCUUUUUGGUACGGAGUCGUCUUUGUUUGGAGCGGUUUAUCUCUUCAAGUGAGGCUUUCCAGCGCGAAUUUAAAUUUUAGUUAUGUUCUAAUGUGCAUAUCAAACGAAUGAAAACCCCAAAGAAAAUAGUUAGAACUCAUUCGGUAAUGGAGUAUUAUUCUUUUUUUUUUCAUAAUAUUUUCUUACUUUAUAUUUUAAAUUAGUAUUUCAUUAUAAAAAAAAUUCAAAUUCCGUUCAUUUUCAAAAAUUGAAAAUGAUUUAUAUCUUAUUUUCCAACUCUAUCUUCAAUUCAAGUUCAAAAAGUGCUCCAUUGUCUCUUUUUGCAAAUAUCACCGAACAUAACACAUCUUCACUCUUACCUCAUAAAUUUAAGAAAACGGUAAAAGGAAAAAUAUUUAAAACUUAUUAUCAAAAUCCUGCUAAAGAAUAAAUGCUUUUUAAUAACACAUAGUAUAUAUAGAGUAUAUACACCAUUAAAGAAUAAUAUCUUUUUACACAUGGAGAAUAAAUUGACUUAUUAGUUGUUAUCACUAUUUUGAAAAAAAAUAUUAUAUAUAUCCAAAGGAUGCUGAUAAAAAAUAUUAUUAUAAAUAUUAUAUUAUUAUUAUUAUUUAUUAUUAUUAUUAUUGUUAUUUUUUUAUUAUUAUUAUUAUUGUUGUUAUUGUUAUUUUAUUUAUUAUUAUUAUUAUUAUCCAAACACAUAACUUCUUAUUUUAAAAAUAAGUUUCAACACUUACAAAAUAUUUUUUAAAAGUUACUUUUUUUAAUCUCAUCCAAAACGGGCUCGAAGUCCAGUUUGUUCUUUGAAGUAAUGCAUUACAACUAUACUCCAUAUUUUAAAAGGAGUAUAUAUAUUAUCUACAUCAUGUAAGUAAUUUUUACAUCAAAAAAUCACGUUAUAAAUUCCACUUGUUAAUGAGACUUAUUAUACAUAUAUUCUUUGAUUUAUUACAUAAGUUUAAAAUAUUUAUGUUGACGAUGUAUAUAAAUUAAAUCAAAAAGAGAAACAAGAUAAAACAAAAAUGACUAGCUACUUCAAAUAAUAGUACAAUUAAGAGACACAAAGAAAUUACCAAAGGUCAAAUCAUAUUUCAUUUCCUUAGACAUUAUAACUGGCAAUUAAAAGGGUUUGUUGAUGGAAUUAGAAUCCAAAAUACAACUACUACUAUAUCCUAGCUUCCAAUGUGUCCUCGAUAGCCAGAUUAAAUUCGGAUUCACACUCACUUAUCUAUCAACCUCUAAAUAUUACUAGUAGAAAAGUUGGUUAUAAGAAUAAUCAACUACAUUGAGAAGGAAUUUGUGGUCCAUUAAAUUUCAUAUUUGCAUUUUCACAAGUUGCAGAUGUACUCUGUUGGCCAUCCAAAGUUAAUUGCAAACCCCUUAGCUCAAUCCCUUGACAUGGUACACUUUUGCUACAAUCAAACACUACUGCCUCUUUUGAUGCUGAAGUUCCUUUUACAUUUAUGAAUUUUACAUCUGAAAUCUGCACUUGUGAUUCGCCCUGUAUACAAAUAUAUAUAAUUAAUAUACAAACAAAAAAAAAUGCAUUUUACCAGCAAUAAAUGUUCAAAUGCUUAGGUUUUUAACCACUAGCUAUCUAUACAUUUGAUAAAGUAUAUUUUUAAAUCUUUCUAUAACAAAGUCGUUUUGUAUUUUAUUUUGAUGAAGUGAAACAAAAAGGAGAGUUCAUUUUGGGCAAAGUUUUCAUUUUUAUCUAUUUAGGAAUGUGAUGCUCAAAAAAGUGUUCAUUUUGGGGUCUGAUUCGGAUAAAAUAUAUAAUAUAACAUAACAUAAUAUGAAAGUUAUUUUUUUUUAAGAAAAAAAAACUUUGAUUGUUAUAGAAUCUAUAUAUAAAACUUGUUUGUUAUUGAAAGUUCUAGUGAUCACGUAGCAAUAUUUGACUAGACGAUACAAAAGAGAGAAAAGAAAUUAUUUUUAAAGUUUAUAAUGUAAAACAAGUUGUAAAUAUCUAUGUGGUAGUAGAUCUUCUCAAUAAGAAUAAAAUGAUGAGUUAAAUAAAAUUUGAAAAAUGAAAACGUGUCACAUAAAUUACGUACCUGACUUUUACAAGAAGAGUGAGGACAAUAGUGUUGAUCAAUGAUGAUAGGAUUUUCAACAUAAUUCACAUUAAUAUCAACAAAAGUGACAUUGAAAACUUUGCUAGGAGGUGAAGGUGCCCAACUCUUUAUCCUUAGACCAUUUUGAGUUUUCCCAAUAUUACAAUUUGUCACAAUAACUCCAUUCACAUCACCUUCAUUUUGGUAUUUUCCUAAACUUCCAAUGCUAAUGCCAUGUCCAGGCCCACAAUUAACCUCAGAAAUAUGAACAUUAGAAGUACCAGGCCCAAUUGAAACACAAUCAUCUCCUGUUGAAAUAUUUACUUUGUUAAUAAUUAUAUCGUUGGAGCCGCCUAUAUGAAUCCCGUCAGUAUUUGGGCUUUCGCCUGGCGCUAUUAUGGUCAUGUUCUGAAAAUGAACUCCUUGGCUUUUAUUAAUUUGGAAGUGGAAGAACUUGCUGUUGAUUGAUGUUAUGCCUUGUAGAAAACCAUUGCUUAUGCUGUUGAAUUUUAUCGACUGUUUAUAAUAUACAAGAAAAUAAAAUGUCAUUAGUCCAUGAUACAAUGUUAUAAAAACCAUUAGUUAAUAGCAACUAUACAAAUGUUUUGAUUGAAACACAAGGAAAAAAAAUUGUAUUUCAAUGAGAAUUUGUUUACCACCCUACAUUUUCUCAUUGAAAAUCAUAUAUUAUAGCAUAAAAUUUACAUUGAUUCACAACGGAAAAUUUUUAUGUUUCUAGUAAUGACUAUAAUAGUAAUUCCAUUAGUUACAUUUGAAAUCUCUAUUUAAUUCCAAUAUUAAGAUAUUAUAAUUUUUUUAUAUAAAAUAUUACAACUCACUAUCUUUUGGAAAAUUUUGUCAAAAAAAAUAUGUACAUAGUGAAUAGGUAGUAUAUACUUAAAUACAUAAUUAUAAAAAUAUAGUAUACAUACUAUAUACACAUAUAUACAGCAUAUACAAUUAAAGUAUAUAGAUAAUGUAUACUUCAGUCGUGUUGAUAAACUAGACGGAGGAGGUUAUAUUUUUCUCCCUUUUUAAUCUUUUUAUUUGUGAUUUUAUUUUUGUAUUUAGUACGCAAAAUAAACAAUUAGAAGGGAAGAAAAUAUUUAAUAUGCAAUAAAAAUAUUAUUUUUUUUACCGAAGGAGGAUUUGGGCCGUUAUCAUUAUACAUGGACCAUGCAGAUGGGCCUUGACCAUCUAACGAACCUUGUCCAUUAAUAGUCAGCCCAUCAAUAUGUUCAAAUAAUAUCCAAUAAUCAUCUUUGACUUUCCCCAAAGGAGCUUUUAAAAGUCCGUUAAUGUUAAAAAACAUUGGGCCUUUGCAUGGCCCAUUAAAUGUUAAUGUAUUCAACAAAAAAGUUCCUAUUGGAAUAAGGACUGUGCCUCCUCCAUUGUUUUGACAUGCUUGGCCCCAUGCCUUCAAAAAUGCCUACAAAGAAACAAAAAGACUUGAGAAAUAACGAUAACAAUAAUCGACGGAUGUAUAAUAUAUGUAUAAUGAGUGUAUAUUCUAUGUAUAUUAACAAGAAAAGGUAAAAAGUGAGGAGACAUAUACAUUGAAAGAAGUUAUUUAUCUACGCAAUGUAAUUAUUCACCAAAAAUGAAUCGAUAACUAUUUUGUGGACAAUGGUAAUUUUACCACUCUAUACAUUAUUAGUAUAUUGUAACAUGUUAUAGCAGUUUGUCUGUCAUAUUUUUCUAGAUUACUAAUUUCGACGAUUGCGAUUUUACCUGACUACUAUCAGUCUUCCCAUUAGGACUAGCACCAAAAUCUUGAACAUUAAACACUGAACCAUUACCAUGAACUUGAGAAACCUUAAUGAUUAUCAAGAAAAUGACAAACAAAGAAAGGAAAUGAAAGAAAAAAUGGGAAGAAGUCAUUUUUUGUAUUGUUUGAUUUUGUGUUUUCUUUCAAGACUUGUGGAAGAUGAUAAUUUUUAAGUUGAGUUCUUACAAAUGAUUUAUUUGAAGUAUUUAUUUAGUGAAAUUUUUAUAGUCGAAAAUGGAAACAAAACAAAUUAAAUCCCAAUUUUAACGUGAGGAUCAAUCGAAUUAUAAUGAGGUAUCUCACUUUCCAUUUUAUAAUAUGUAAUUAAGUUAUAUGGAUCAACUUAACGAUUUUUACGUUAUACUUUACUUAGUUUAACAAGUAAUAAUAUGUUAAUUGUACCAUUUUAAGUAGUCAUUAUUUAAUACUUAAUUAUAUAGUUUUACCUAUAAUUACCUCAAAGGUAACUUAAUUGUAUGAAUAUAUUUUCCAUAUUACCUUGAUCGAUAUUAAUCAAUAUCUAGUUUAGUAGUAUUUUCAAUGCAUAAUAUUAGUUAUAAAUCUUUUUUAAGUAUUAUAUGGUGUAAAACUAAACAUAGCACCUCAUGGUAUUAGAAUUACCAUGUUUUUUAUUUAGUAAUAGAUGAAUAAAUAUGAUUAAAGACAGAAUUAUGCUUGAAUACAUUAAAUUAAACACCGGAUAAGAAAUAAUUUAAGUAUAAUUAAUCUCAUCAUAAAUAAUAUUAAAAUUACCAGUUUCAAUAUGACAAAUUUAAUAUUUUUCUUACACACUAUAUCAAUCGAGUUGCUUUACUAAAUUAGGUAAAAUAAUGUAUGGUAUAAAUAGUUCUUUAGAUUAUAUCAAUCCUAAAUCAUUUUUUUUAAUCACAAUAAUAUUACUCUAAAUAACAUGUUGAUAUUUUUAUACCAUAUAAUUGAUUUUUAUCAUCACAAAAUUGCUUAACGUAUAUUCUAUUAUUUAUAGGAAAUAUGGAGUAUAUAACUUCCAAUAAACUAAAAGUAUUGUAUAGUGUUGAACUAUAUGAUAGAGAUUGCUUUACCUUUUCUUCUUCUUUUAAAAAUCUUUAAUGGGAAUCGUAUAAUCGAUUAAAUCAGUUUUCUAAAAUAAUAAAUAGACAAAAAAUUAAUUUGCAAAACAUUACGCCAAGACUCAAGGGUAAUUGCGUUAAAUCGAACCGCAAUCCAAAUUAAAUCGGUUAAAGAAUUGAUAUUUUAUGGUGUGAUUUUGAUUUUAUUUUUUAAAAACCAUAAAAAAAAAUUAUAUAUAAAUAUAUCAAUUAUUAUGUUAUUUUAUUAAAAAUUUUAAUUAACUUACCCUUUUUUUAAAAAAAUUGCUGCGUCUUUUUUCAAAUACUUCUUUAGUAUUUAGAAUUGACAACAUAUAAAUUGCACUCCCUCUAAUGAGAGAGGCAAUAGUGUUUUUUUUUUAAAAAAAAAAAUUGAAGAAACAAUUGUAAAUACAUGAAUAAUUAUAAAAAUUAAAAAAUUGAACAUUCACUAUUGAAGAAACAAUUGUAAAUACAUGAAUAAUUAUAAAAAUUAAAAAAUUGAACAUUCACUAUUGAAGUUCACUCAAUUUGACAUUUCGUAUUCAAAAUUAUUGUCACAUAAAUAAAUAUAAAGUAAUAUAAGAGGGAGUUUGCACUCAAUUGAUACAAUUUCAUUACCAAAAUAUGAUCAAAACAUACUUUAAUCACCGAUUCGUAAUACAACUUUAACAACAACAACAAUAAUUAACAACAUACUCAGUAUAGGUCAUCUCCACUGACUCUCACAAUUGAAAUUCAAAAAAAUAAAGAAUAUACGAGAAUCUUAACAAAAAAAAUAUAUAUCAUUCACACUAUUCAUGUUUGCACAAGUAGAAUGAAUCCACCCCCAAUGUUACACAUUUGAAGUAUUGUCUUGCAGUUUGAAUUCAUGAGUUGAAGAAAGAGGUGCACCAGGUGGUGGGGUGGGUACCCCAAAGACUUGGGGAUUGGUUUUGAUAUCUUGUCUACCUUUAGCUCUUCCAAAGAAAAAACAUCCAAAUCCAAUAAGAAUUGUGAAAAGUAUAAAUGGAAGAGAAAUAACAACCACCAUACCCAUAUCUCUUAUUAUCCUAAUUUCUUUGCUUUGCUAUGCUUUUAAUAAAUAAAUGGAGUAUGUAGAGAAUAUUGUUUUUUAUAGGUGGGAUUGUAACGUUAGGCAUAACGUUCUACUUUUCUAACGGCUACUUUUUUCUUUAGUUUUUUUUUAAAAAAAACAUGGAAUAUAUGUUUGAUUGGUGGGUCAAGGGUAGGGAUGGAAAUGAGGUGGCGCGGACGCGGGAUGGGGUGAGUUUAAGGUUGAGUGGGGUGGGAGGGACGCGGAGUGGUUUUUUUAAAAAAAAAUAAUGUAGGGCGGAAUGGGAUGGGUUGCAGGUUAGGGUAUGUGUGUUUUUACGUGAGUUCGUAUUUUAUUUUAACUCUGUACAUGUUAUUAUUGUGAUAGAGCAUUAUUUCUUAAGAUGAUUUCUUUAAAGCUAUAGUAAAUGAAAAUGGUUUAAUAAAAAAUAAUUCAAUCUUUUACAUGUUUCUAAUUGACCUCUAAAAAUAAAUUUCUAAGUCAUUGUCCUUUAAAUUAAUACAAUUUAAUUAAAAAAUGAAUUCAUUUUUAGUAUCAAACUUAACUAGAAAAAAAUAUUUAAAAAAUUAUGGGGGCCGCUCUAUGCGGUCAGGUUGGGACGGGUUGAAAACGAAAAAGAUUGUUAUGUGCGGUGAAGCGGGUUGAAAAUGAAAAAAUUAUUAGGUGGGGUGAGGCAUGGCGGGGUAGGUUGAAAAUGAAAAAAGUUGUUAUGUGGAUGAAGUAAAUAAAAAAAUUUGCGGGUUAAGCUAAACUGGUCCCGUAUAACCAUCCCUAGUUAAGGGUCUCAUUCAAUAGUCAUUUGAGAGGAUGUAUAGGAACAAUAUUAAAUAGAAUGUAUUAAUAAUACUCGUAUUAAUAUAUACAAAUUAUUUUUUAUUCAUUAUUUAGUUUUACAUAUUAAAAUAGACGACAUUUCAUAAUUUGUGACUGCUUGAGCAGACUAGUCUACGCUCAGAGCAAUAUUCUGAACUUGUCUCGAUACUGACAGUUCACGGGAUAGCACAGAAAGAAAGGAAAAGAAGUAAUUUCAAAGAAAUAUUUGUUUAAAACCUUUCACAACCAUUGCGAAAAAGAUGUAAAAAAUAUUUUGAGGGUCAAUUGACUUUUUAAUCAUGCUAAUGCAUUAAAUCCCUCUUGUAUUACUAAUAUAAUUUGUCUUUUACCAUUAUCCUGUAUUAGUUUUACGAAUUUCUAAAAUUCCUCAUUUUCACGCAUCAGAUUAAUAAAUCAGCGCUUUAAAUUAAUAUAUCUCACGCAUCAGAUUAGUGUAUCACGUAUAAAAUGUACAUUAGAUUAGUGUAUCAUCUAUAAAAUAUAAUAUAUCUUACUUAACGAUUAAUGUAUCUCGCACAUCAAAUUAAUAUAUCCGCGCUUAUAUUAUUGUAUGAGUUUGAGAAAUUUUUAUAAUUAUAAACUUAUAAGUGACAAAUUGUAAUUUUACCUUAAAAGUAUGUGAUUUUUGUCCUUUGUCCAAAAAAAUUUAUACCCGACAAAGUAUCGUUUAUACACAAAACUAAUGUAUACCUUAUUUCUUAUAAUUCAUUAUUUAUUCAUGUUAUGUUGAGGUUCAUUUGGCCAUAAAUAUAUAUUACUUUUUUCGAAAUUAAAUUUCAAAAAUCAUGUUUAGCUAUAAAAUUUCGAAAAAUAUCAUAAUUUGUAAUUAUGACUAAACACAACUUCCUGCAUCUUAAUUCUUUUCAAAUUUCAUGAGGCAGAAAUGUCUUGAAAAAAAAAAAGCAGUAUGUAUAUAUAAAGAAAUGAAACUUGAGAGUUUUGAACUGCACUAGCCAUUAUUAUUUGAAACAUUUUUUGAAUUUGGAACAGGCAAGCAGACCUUACUACUAGUAAAAUACUUGUUCAAUGUAGCUGCUUAUUUAAAAGGCGAAAAUUCAUACUAGAAACCAACUAAACAGACGAUCAUAAAAAAUAAAAAAAAAAAAAAAAAGUCAUAGAAAUUCUACUAUUCUUCGGAAUCAAUUUGCUUCAGGAGUCUCUUGUUCAGCUUUCUCUUGCUCAGCUUCCUGCACUUCCUUCUCUGUCUUCCUUCCUUUCUUCGAUUUAUAGUACACACUCAUGAACGUUCCGAUAGCUUUGUACUUCCUUCUGCAUUGCUCGUACAGACCGUUAUCAAACAUCCUCCAGAAAUUCUUCUCUGUCAGCUCAGUCACCGCGUAUUGAGCCUGAAAUCCAUGGUUCUCUAUCAACCAAAGCUCAAGUUGUCGGCAUUUCUCUGAACCAUCAAACGGCUCACCCCUCAGGACUGCUCCCGGAACAUAGUACACACCAACAUCAGUAUACAUUUGUGCAUAUUCGGUGUCACCCUGCCUUUUGUGUUUCUCGAAUCCUGGUUCAGGGUAGAUCAUUGGUCUCACUGGCAGCUUGUAAAUUCUGUGUGGGCACAGCCAAAUUGGAUAUACCUAAACAAAUACAAUUCGUAUGUACCAAAAUGUGCUUUAGUUAAAGGAAUUGCCAAAAACCAAAAAAACCGGACUAAAAGACGAACAAAUUUUUACCUCCAUCUCGCGAUGAACCCACUCGAGACAAUCACCGACCUUGUAAAGAGGAACAAGGAGAUCUUGAAUGACAUGAUGGUCAUGGUAAUAGUUUCUAAUAGCCUCACUUUGUGUGGCUUUGAGCAGAGCAAUCUUUGGUGGCAUGAGCCAUCCUAAGAGGAACCUAAACCAGAACUGAUCACCGAAUGGAAGAAUUAGUUUACCUUCCCAAUACAACGAUCUCGUGUGUCUGUGGUAGUAGUCCCUAGUUGGAAUGUACUCAACAAAUUCCCCUCUUUUUAGUGCGGUUUGAGCGUGUUGGUAAAACCAUGGUUUGAACCACCAACCGUAAUUGUUGAUUACAUUACCCCUUCGUUUGGCUUCAUUCCUCGAAGCAUACAUACCGGUCAUCAUAACCCCUUCGGUUGGACCAUAAAUCAUGCCUUCUACCAUCUCAGGAACUUUAGAAGGAUUGUCCUGAUCUCCAUCUUUAGGUGCAAAAGAAUCCGCGUAAGCCUGAGCAAGCUCUUUAAGAUUACCCCUUACAGGUUUGUAGGUAAGUUUCACGUAUUGAUCAACUGGUAUAAGCUUGAUUUCAGCUGAAACAAGAAGCCCCAAUGUUCCUUGAGACCACGGAAUAGCGUAGAAAAGAUCAGAAUAUUCGUUGUCCUUUGUAGCUCUAACAACCUUUCCAUCAGCUAGAACAACCUCAAGUGCUACAACAGUGUCAGAGAACAACCCAAAUAUGUGAGAACUUCCUUCAACCCCGAACCCAUUGAUCAAACCACCAACGGUAAGAUCAUCGAGCUCAGCGAGAACUGCAAGGGAAAGAUUCAUUGGGAUAGUGACCCUUGACAUUUGGCCCAUAUUGACUAGAGGCUCAACUUUAGCAACCAUCCGCUCCGUGUCAAUAUCAAGUAUAUUUCUAAACUUUGAAAGAUCAACUUCAAAAUGACGAGCACGUUUAUAGUCGACAUUUCUCAUUCCAACAACCACCCAAGGAGGUCUGGCUGUGCAUACAAGACCAUCCUUUUCUGCAUUCCUCUGGCCAAGACGCUUCACAACCUCUUUAACAUUCUCAUCGUGUUCCAUCUGGCGUUGCUUGUAAGAUUUCCUCUCGGAUUUCACAUCCCCUAGAUAUAUCGAGAAGUAAUACAAGAACGAGAAUGGAAGGACAAAAAAGAUGACAAUGAUCCAUCGGAACGAAAGAAGGAAGUCCACCAACUGGAUCUUCCUCUUAGGGUAAGCAGUGGCCACGGGGGCCUUAGCAUCCGACAUCUUGAAAACUUGAGGACAAACAACUGUUACAACGACGAAUCCAAGUUAAGAACCACAGCCAAGAAAUGUACUACUUAUCAUCAAUCACAUACCAAUUGAGCACUACUUAACAAACUUUAAGGCACAAAUAGCAUCAAUAUGAAACCUCUCCCAAAAACAUAAUGCUAUUGACAGUCAGAUUAACAACAACAGCAUCCCGCGAAAAACGCCAAGUUCAGUACAAUCUUGAAACUAAAAGUUGAAAUUUAUGCACCAUGGCCAUUUUCUUGUUACUAAUUAUCAUUGUAAAAUCAACUGAUGUAAAGGUAAAAUAGACUAAAUAUGGAGUUGAAUAUCUGAAUGGUCACUCAACUUAUACUAAUUAAUCGUUAAACAUCACUAAUCUAAGUUGUCUUCCAAAAAUCAUCUAAACUUUUUGACAAAUUUACCUCCAUAUUCACAAAAAAAAACAUAGAAAUAUUCAGAAAAAAAAAAAAACUCAAGAGAAAUAAUCCAUUCCGCUUUCUCAAUAAUUUAUUCAAAUUUAGGGAAGAACAGUAGUAAACGAAAACAGAGCAAGUUCAAACCUAACUUAUGUCAAAAAUAUCCAAGCUUUAAAUAUUUAUAAUUUGACUAUAUAUACAACAUAAUUUUUCAACUAAUAACAUUUUUCUUUGAUAUGCAAAACUAACAAAAUUACUAGUAUAUGCUUCUAUUGGAGCAUUACCAAAAAAUAAGAUUAUGCUCUUUCACUUCAAAAUUAUCAACUGAUUCCGCAACAAUAUAAUUUGUUCUUUACAGAAAAUUAUUUUCAACACAUUGGUUUAUAAAACUAACUUCAAAAAAAAAAAUUAAACCCAAAAACUUCAGCAUGCGUGAAACAUGACUCAUGAGCAACAAAAUAAUUUGUUCUACUCUAACUAUGUCAUGCAUUGUACAAAAAGAAAAGCAUAAUUAACUACCGAAUUCUUAACACUAAUUAUGAUUUUUCAUGCAUAAAUAGCUAUAAAAUUAGCUUAAAUUUAACAAAAUAAUAAUCAUAGUGAGAAAAAAUUGAGAAGAGAUGAAAAAUGAGUACCUAAUAAUUGGAUUGCAGAGUUUACUCCCCAAAAUGAGAGAUGGUUUAGUUAAAGAUGAUAGUGUGCUUUAUAGAGAACUUACAACAAUAGGGGUAUUUACGGAAAAACAUGUUAUUUGGUUGGUAGGCAGAGGACAUCGAUAAAAUCGUAAAAAGCUAAGUAUUAAAUACACUUUUAAAUUAUAUGUAAAAAUUAUUAAAAAUAAUAUUUUUACUUUAUUAAUUAUAAUUUAAAUAGUACAUCUUGAAUCUUAUAACAUAAUUUAAAAACUUGCUAAAUUUAUGAAUAUUUUCAAUAUUUCUCCGUCUUAUAUGAAUUAUAUAUAUUUAAAUGAUGAAAUGAAUAUAAAAAAAUCCAAAAUCAUUUUGUAAGUGUGAUUUAUAUCUUUAGCCCACCAUUUAGCCUACCAAUCAAACGCCCCCACUACUUAACUAAAAUUGUUAGAAAGAGUACAAAAGUAUCACUUUUGAAGAGUCGUUAAUUAUUCUUUAUAUAUCGUUAAAUGGCAUUAUACUAAUAAUAAUCAUUUGAAAUUUACAUGAUUAUUAAAGUGAGGUACUAUUUAGAUUUUAUUUUUGAAGAAAAGUAUGACAAAGAAUUAGUUUUAAUAAUUUUGAUAUAACAAAGAAGCAAUAUUUUUGUUAAUUAAACUAAACACUAAAGAAGCAAUCCUAUAUAUAAUUGACGAAUAUUAUUUAAAUAUUAUUUUUUUAGAUACUCAUAUUUAAAACACUUAGUAUUAUUUAUUUUACUUAUAUAUAAUAUAUUUUUCAUAAAAUAUUAUUCACUAUAGUUUUAUAUGUGUAGUAUAAAGAGAUAAUUUUACGGAUGAUUUAACAUUAUAACGGGUAUUAUUAUUCUUAUAAGUAACAUAUUAUUACAGAAACAAUUAAAAUAAACAUGAAAAAAUGGUUUUGCAUCAAUUAGGAUCAAAUCGUGAUGAUAAAAUACUGUUACCAUAAUAAUUACUCAUUAAGUGAGGUUUAGUUUUAAAAUAUUCAAAAUAAUUAUAGAUGCUACUUAAUAUUAAAAAGAUAUUUUUAUCUUAAUAAGUUAAAUUAGAAAACUAAAUAUAAAACUUCAUUUUUAAUAUAUUGGAAAAUAAAAAAUAGGGAAAAAGACAAAGUAACUUAUCGUCCGCUGACAACCACGUGACCCCUUUGGCCCGCUUUCCAAGUGCAUUAUUUUGGUGAAACAAUAAAUGAUUUGUCUGCCACAAAAAAUUAUAUAAUAGUAUCUUUCCGAAAGUUAAUUUGGACAAUUUUUAAAAUUAGAAUACAUUAAUUUUAUAUUUUAAAUAAAAAAUUAAAAAUUUAAAAAAUUAUAUAAUUAGUGUUAUACAUUAUGAUUUUAUUUCAUAUUGAUAUGAUAAAUAAUUUAUCAUAAAAUAAUUUUUAUAAUUUGCAUUUUAGAAAAAAUAACUAUAAGAAUUAUGAGUAAUCAGAUAGGAUAUCGUAAACGUAGAAUCUAUUGAGUGCAAAUGAUGAGCUGAGAGAAAUUAAAAUACGUUAUGUGAUUAUUUUGUCAUUGUUUUAUAUGAAAUAAUUUAUUUAUAUAAAAAGAAAUUAACUUUGAACCAAUACUAAUUAUUAUCACGCUUUAUAAGAUUAAAAAGUUAUUUUGUAAAUUAUUUUAAAAUUAGAUUCUUAUCCCAGAUCGAAUCUACCGUGCAAGUUAGAUUUUGGAGUUUUGUUUUACAAUUGGUUGAGAGGCAUUUUCGAGUUAUUAUUUUAAAAGAAAAAUCUUAUUAGAAUGUCUUACUCCUUCUCCAUUAAUAAAUAUAUAUAAAUAAUAAUAUCGUAUAUUUACUGAAUAAUUUUUCUCCGUUCUUGUUAAGAUUUAUAAAGUAAAAGACGUAUUAUUAUAUUUCAAACCAUUAUGAAUAACAUAAACUUUUCAUAAAAUUCACUUUGAUUAAAAUUUCAUAAAAUUUUUACACGUGUUCAUUAUUUAAUGCUCAAGAUUCCUUUUGUUAAUCAGAUGAAACUGCUAACGAUCUGGAGGCAUAUUAGGUAAAAUAAUUUAUGAAUUAAAAUUUAAUUUAAUAAAUAUAUUAUUUGAUUAUUUAAUUUAAUUUAAUUUAUGUAUUGUUUAUUCAUCAUAUGUGAUAUUAUCUUAUCCCUUGAAAAUGUAGGGAUAACUAAUUUAAGAUUUGUUAAAUCUUGGAUAAAAUUUUUAAAUGACUAAAUUAACCCUUUAUUCUUUUUUAAAAAAUUCUUUUGUAAUUUAAUUUCCUUUUUAUUUAUAUUAGAGUAGUUAUAAAUGUUCUUUUCUAAUUCUCCAAAUUUAUUUGGUGUAAUUUAAUGAUUUUACUAAUAUUUUUUUCUUCAUUUCUUUUUGAUUUUUUUUUAUUCAAGAUAAUUUGUCAAGAUAAGUUAAAUAAAUAUUUAACUUAACUAAUUAAAUGAAAUAAAUAAUUCUUUAAAAAAAUUAUCCGGUCCGGUAAUUAUCUACCUAGAAUUAGUUACAUGAAAUAAAAACUCAUAAUAACACAAGGGCAUAAUAGGAAAGAAUUUCUUUGUAGAAUUAUAAAUUAAACACAAAAUUAUUAAACACAAAAUUAAGUGGAAAGUAGUGAACCAAACACUUGACAAAAAAUAAUUCAUGCACUAUUAAUCCCUGCAUUACUAAUUCAUGCAUUAAUAAUCCAUGCAUUAUUAAUGUUUGUAUCAAACGACUCCUAUUAAAAAUUUUAAUUUUAUUUUAUUUUAAAAUAAAUUAAUAUUUUUUAUUUUUAAUUAAAAAAUAUUAAAAUUCUAAAUGAAAAUAUUUAAAAAUAUAAAAUAAUAUAAAAAAAUAAUCAUUUUGAUCAAAGAAAUUUCCAAUAAAAUAUAAUACUACUGGAAAACUUGGGUAAAUAAAAAGAAUCUUGAAAAUUCAAUAGUUAAAUAUGAUCUGCAACGUGUAUAUAGAUUAAAGUGAUGUCAGAAAAUAUAAAUUAUAGACAGUGAGAGAGUGACCAUUUGUUAAAAUUAGAGUUUUUAAUUAAUUAUUAUGAAUACAUAGAGUAAUGAGAUGUCGUUUUUCAUCUUUCCAAAUUUUCAACGAUAGUUGUUUAUUUAUCUUUUUAAAUUUCAUUAUUAUUAAUCAUAUUUUUUAUUUAUAAUUGUAAAAUAUGUAAAAUCAAUAUUGAAUAAAGUGUUAUCGAACACAUAGACUAACAUUAUUAUGAAACCCUAUGUUAAAAAUAUUGUUGAUUCGAAGAUAGUAAUUGAAUAUGUGAAAUUCAAAAAUCAAAAUUAUAUUCUAUUGAAGCACCAAUCGACAGAAUUGCUAACUACAUCAAUAAUCCCUACUUUUUGUUUUAACUUCUUCGGCUAAUUUUUUAAAAAAACUAUUAUUAUUAUUUUUUUAAAAUAUAAAAUUAUCAAUUUUUGUGUUUUAUUUUAGGUGAUAUUAUUUGACUUGAUAUGAUAUUUAAAAAAAUAAAAUUAAACUUAUGAUCCUAAACAAUUUUAAAAUAUUUAUAUGAAAAAAAAUUCAACUAUUUACUUGAACUUUGGAAAUAUCAAUUGUUUUAAAUUAUGAAAAAAGUGUCGACGAUUUUAUCAGAUCCGUUUAGCUAUUUGAAUCAAAAUCAUUAUAAAGAAGUUUUCUUUGAAUUAAAAUUUUGUUUGGACACGUAAUUUGAAUGAUUAACUUUUACUUUUAAUUAUGUAUAUAAAAAUUUAGUAAGUUGCAAAAAAAAUUAGAUUGCCUUGAUUAUAUAUAUAAUUUUAUCAAAUAAGCAAAAGUUCAUAACAAAAGUAAAAUUAUUUUCUUGUUUCGAAAAAAAAACUAAAUUUAUGAAUAAUUUUUUGUUCAAAAAAAAAUCAAACAUAAGUUGUAACGUAUUACUCUCUAAUAGAAGUCAAUUAUUGAAUAAUAUUAUUAGCAACUAUAUCAUCAUAUUUAUAUUAGGUGAAACAUUUCAUUACUCUUCUGGUAUUCUCCAAAAAAAUUGUAUACAUAUAAUUAUUAUUUUUUUAUAUAAAAUAUAGACUUGUAAAAGAUUUGUUUUUUAAUUUGAAAAUGUUAAAAUAAGAUAUGAAAUUUUCAAAUUAAGCUUUUUUGAAAAGUUUAGAAUUUAUUCUCUUUAUUUGAAAUGAUAUUAUAUAUUCAAACAUUGAUUCAUCUCAUAAUUUUAAAUUACCAAAAAAAGAAUUACAUAUCAACCGCAUAUUUAAUACUUUUCCGUUUAUUUUAAUUUAUCGUAUUGCUUUUUGAAAGUUAAUUUAACUAAUUUUUAAAGUUAAAUUAGAUUAUAUUAUUUCAAUAUUUCAAAAGAAAAAAUGAAUAUUCAAAAAUUAUAAAAAAAUAAUAUUAUAAGUUGAAAUUUAUUAAAUAUCAAAAUGCUGGAAUAAUAUUAAAAAUUUCUAAAAUUUAACACUAAAAUAGAAAAUUAUAACAAUUAAAAAUGAACAGAAAUAAUAUAAACUAGAGUUUUUUUUUUUUAAAAAAAAUAAGCAUCUAAAAUCAAUUACAGAUAAAUAAAAAUAUUUAGCUCACCAAAUAAAUCUCGACCAUUAAAAUAAUUGCAGAGACACGUGCAUAUUGUGACUGCACCACACAGAGUGUGGAGGAGCCAAAUCCGGACUAUUCCUUCUCUUCUACUAUUUUUGGUUAUGAUUCCAUCUGAGAAUCACGUGCUUUUUGGUAGAAUAUUCGUGCUUCAUUUCAAUAUUUCGCUUGUUAUAAAUUAUUUAUAAAUAAUUAAAAUUAAAAAAAUAAAAUAUAUAUAUAUUUUUUAGAUUUAUAUUGUUAGGAGUUAAAUUAUAUAUAUUUAGAAUUUAUGUAAUCAAGAAUUGAAUUAUACAAAUUUUAAAUUAAUACAUUUAAAAAAUUAAUAGUAAAAUUUCGUAAAACCAUUAACACGAACUAAAAAUAAUCAAAUUAUAAUUAUAUUACAUAACAUACAUUAUAUAUUUGUCAUUUUGUGUAAUUUUCUCAUAAAAGUGAUAAAAUCUGUAAUAUAAUAGUGAAGUCACAUAUAUCUAACUAAUAGAGUUCGAAAUAUUUUUAAGUCAUAAAGAGAAAAAAUUGACACAUGUAAGCGAGCCACACUUUUAUUAUGUAGCUAAAAUAAGAUUAGCGUAGUUAUUUCUUUCACUUUAUCAAAAAAUAUAAAUGACAAGCAUUAGUUGUAACAACCUUCUUAUUGGCAAAACAACAAAAAAGAACUGGGCCAUCAUCCCGUCAGAGCAGGCCAGCUGCACUAGGGCGUCAGCGCUCCACCAGGAUAAUUCGCACCGGAGCGUCUCCUUUUUUCUAAAAACACCUAAAAAGGCGAUGAUCGCCCCUAAAACCCCCCCAAAAGGAUGUUCUAGGCUUAGAAAGAGAGAAGAAAGAGAUUUCUAGCGUAAGAAUGUCGAUAGCUUGCGAAUUUUCGAUCGAAUCCACCGUCUGGUCGUCCGAAAGUCGGAUUGAGGCUAAAAUCUCUUUACGAUUGCUUGGCGUUUAGAUAGGUUAGGUUUAUUUAUUUGAGUAGUCUUAAAUCUGUUUUCACUACGUAGUAUAUGAAUAAUUGACGGUAGAAUUCAUGUGUAGGCCAUCGUGUACCGAAAAAAAUCGUCGUGCUUGUAUACCUAGUUGUUACACUAGUAUAUACCGUCAGAGGAAGCCUCAUCGUGUGAACUAAGGUUGGGUGAAGGUUUAAUUCUUGUUUGUGUGAUGAAAACCUGUGAAAUUAGGUCUUACGCCUAACUCACACCCCAAAAGCUAGCUCAAAGAGAGGACGAUUGCCCAAGUCUUAUAAGGAGUCCACUCAUCUCAUUAACCACCGAUGUGGACUUUUGUCAUUCUUUAACACCCCACCUCAUGCCAAGUGCUUAGCAUCUGGUGCGUGGGCAAUUUUGAUUUUGGGGGCCUCAACAUCGGGUGAGAUGACCCCUGCUCUGAUACCAUGUGAAAUUAGGUCUUAGACCUAACUCACACCCCAAAAGCUAGUUCAAAUGGAGAAGAAUUGCCCAAGCCUUAUAAGAAGUCUACCCAUCUCAUUAACCACUGAUAUGAAACUUUUGUCAUUCUUUAACAAAACCUGUUAAUGGUUUCGCUAUAUGCAUGUAUGCAUGAGAGCACCGUUGCAUUGUCAUAUUUAUUUGCUAUUGAGAAUGUGGAACUGUAUAUGGCUUUUGAAGUGAUAAUUGAAUUAUACAUUUUGUAUACAUUUUUUUAUCAUGUCGUGUUUACUUGUUAUAGAUCUCGUUAAUGAAUGAACUAAAAUGAUCAAACCCAAAUCGGGAGGUAGUGUGGUAAUAAAAAUCGAGGGUCCAGGUGUUACUAUGUGCUAUUUUACAGAAGUCGGUGGUGCAUAUCGUAAAUGUUGAGUAGCUGGGUAUUACCGGGGAUUUGUAUUGAAACGGUUAACAAGUCUUGGUAGAAUGUACUAUGGGGUAAAGGAUUGAGUAGUGAUGUGGAAAAAUUAGAGUAUGUCGUGAGUGGUUGACCGAGUUGGUAAUAGCUACAUAUGAAACCUCCUCUAAGUGAUUGAACAUUUAAACUAUGAUUAAGAAUGGAGCGGGUAAGGGGUUAUAGGCAGAUCUUAAAGCAUUCGGAAAAUGGUAAGGGGUAAGAGAACAUAAAUAUGGAAAUACAACUGGUCUUUUUGCAUGUUUCUUGCUAGUUGUUUUCUUAUAUUAUGCGGUGAGUAUCGGGUUAACUGAUGAUGUUUACUAGUAUGUGUGGUUGUAUUGAUACUGCUCUUGCUAUGCCUUUUGUCAUUGUUCGGUUACAGAGUCAGUGAUAUUUUGUAGGUGAGGACGAACAAUCUCCAACAACUUCUAUUUUUCCUUCUGUGUGGUGGAAACUACGUCAUUUAUUAUUAUGUUGUACCGCGUAAUCUUAUAAGCUCUUUUUACUUGUUUAGACUAGAUCUUUGGAAAAGUUAAUUACUUUACAAAUUAACUUUGAGUCGUUUAAAGGCUGGCUCGUUUAAAACAUUAUUUUAUAAACAUCACAUCAUGAAUUUCUUUUAUUCAUGAGUUUUUCUGAGUUUUCGGUAUUUUCAAAACGUUUGGUAAUCGAAGGUUCUCCUACUUAGGUGUUAGAGUAGGUGCCAGCAUGACCCGAUAAAUUGAAUCGUAACCUCUGUUAACGUUAAAAUUUUGACAUAAAAUUAAAAAAAAAAAACUACUUUUUAUAAAACAAAACUUUUUCUUAAACUUUGAAGUAGAAAUUUCUGUCACACUCUUACAUUUUCCAUAUGUACCUUUCAUCAAUGAGAUCCUUACUAUAUAUUUUCUAAUAGAACAACAAAAUGAAAAAUAUAUAAUAGUUAAAAAUGUCAUUUAAUUUAUAUUUUUAAAUAGUUAUUUUCAACUUCUAACUAUUCGCUUAAUAUAAAUCAAACUCGAUACUAUUAUAAACAAUACAUAUCAUUCAUUAUCUUUUUAAGGGCAUGCAAAGUCCGAAACCAAUAAUUUAAGAUGCAGGCAUAUUAGUAAGAAACUAAUUAUUUUAAAAAUAUUUACACGUACUCCAGCAAAAUAUUAUUGGGAUCAGAAAACUGAAAAGUGUUAGAAAAUAAAUUUAAGAGGCAUAGUAUCUGGAUGAAAUUAUACAUAUAUUAAUAUGAGUUUUAAUAAUAUAGGUAAAAGUUAUAUAUAUAUUAAUUAUAUGCAAAAUUUAUUUAUAUCCGUAUAAAUUAAAUAGGCAUUCAUUGUGCAGAAUUCAACUAUAUACUAUUUAGUAAUUAGUAUACAUGUAUAAAUUAUGCAAACUUUAGUUAGAUAAAGUUUAUAAACAUUAGUGAACUACCGUAAUUUUUAUUUGUUAAUUUUUUUUGGGAAAAUAUCUAAGUACCCCCUUAAUAUAUGCCCGAAAUUUUAGAGACACACUUAUACUAUACUAAGGUCCUAUUACCUUCCCUGAACUUAUUUUAUAUGUAAUUUUCUACCCCUUUUUAGCCUACGUGGCACUAGUUGGGAAAAAAAAUCAACCAUCGUUGGGCCCACAAGAUAGUGCCACGUAAGCUUAAAAGGGGUAAAAAAUUAUUAAUAAAAUAAGUUCAGGGUAAUAGGAUCCCAGUAUAGUAUAAGUGUGUUUCUGAGAUUUCGGGUAUAGGUUGAGGGAUACUUGGGCAUUAUCCCAUUUUUCUUUAAAAAAAAAUAGCUAAUACUUAUCAUCACCAUUAAAGAAACCAACUAUAUAAUCAUUACAUUAAAAUUAGAUAAAUAUCAAUAGCUAAAAAAGUAAUAAAUAACUAAUAGUAAUUAAGUAAUUCAUAUUCAAUGUGAUUAAACAAUUAAGCAAUAGGUAAUUAAAUUAAAAUAAAUAACAAAUUACUAAAAAAAAUUGUAUUGACAAUGUGUUUUAGAGAAACUAAACAAAGAAAUCAACUAAAAUUGACCGUCACUACCUUUUACCACGAAAGAAAACAAUUAACAAGAAUUUCAGUAAAAGAAACUAACAGUAAUUAAGCAAUUACCUAGAUAAAAAUCUCCAAGAAAAAUACCGUUAUAACAAUUAAGCAAUAUGUAAUUAAUAUCUACAUAAUUUAUUUUACUUGCUAUCUCGUAUAAAUUAUAAGUAAAUUUCCUUUUAAGUUAUACAAAUAUUAAUUAUGUAAAAUUAUAAUGAAUACUACCAAACAACGUAUUAAUAUCCGUAUAACUUUUAUAAAACAUUUCAAAAUUUAUCAACCAAACACCAUAAAGUCAAUGCACGAAUAAAUUUUAUUUUAUUUGCAAACCAAACAUAAUAUAUAAUUAAUACACGAAUAACCAAAAUUUUAAUUUAUCUCCUCUACUAAGUUAUUCUAUUUUCCUUUUCAUUUUUAUUGAAUAUUUUUUUAGAAGAAAUAUUUAGAAAACAAGUUGAACUGUUGGAACAAAAAAAAUCAUACCCAACUAACCUUAGUCCUUGAGGGUGAAAUAAAAUAUAUAUUUGGAGAGUAAAAUAGAAAAUGUGUUCUCUAAUUACAUUUUAUCUACAAAUACAGAGCGGUGACCUUUCUAUUUUAUUUUUUAAUUAUUUUAAUAAUAUUUUUAUUAUAUUACUAUUUAUUAAGUCUUUUAUCAUUUAUAUUUAUUUUCUAAUGUGAUACAAUAUCUAAAAAUAUAUUAUUAACAAGUUACUAUUUCCACUCAAAUUAAUAAUUUUUCUAUUUUAUCUUUAAAAAAAGAAAUUAUUGCUUCAAAUAUGUAAUUUUAAAGUCAUUUUAAUAUUAUUAUAUUAUAUAAGAUUAUUAAUUAAGUCUCUAAUAUUUUAAAUUAUUUUCUAAUUAAUAUAAUAUCUAGAACAUAUUAUUGAUUAGUAUACUAUUUUCAUUCUGAAAUUAACAAUUUAUUUUUAUUUUUUCAUUUUAAAUAAGUAAUUUAAAUUAUAAUUAUUUUCAUUAUGAAGUAUGCACAAAAUUUACCUGAUAAUUUAAACAUUCUACUUUUAUGUUAUUGUUAUAAGUUAUUAAGCUACAUUUUUUCAAAGAGUAUGAAAAUAUUUGAUGCAAUGAGUCAAAAUGGAAUAGAAAAAGUUAAUUAAUACACGAAAUAAUUGGUAUAAGACAAAAUUAUUAAUUUAAACAAUUUUAGAUACACAUAAAAAAAUAAGGACAAAAAACACUUAUUUUGAACUCCGUAAUACAUUAAUUGAACAUUCAUAAGAGUAUGUUAUAAGAUUCAAUAUGUAAUUUUAUUUCAUCAAUGAUUUCACUUUUAUUUGAAUUGUUCACUAAUAUGUAUUAUAUAUACUAUUUAUUGCAAUUUAUGUCAUUUAGAAUUUUUAAAAAAUUAUAUCUUAAUUAUAAUUUCAUAAAAUAAGAUAAAAUAAUUUUAAAUAAAAUAAUAUAAAUAUAAAAAAAAGUUCAAAUUUAAUUGUAAUACAUUUAUUCUUAUUUCACCUAACAAUUGAAUAAACUGUACCGCUAUUAAAGGAUAUUGCAUUCGGACAAAAUUACUUAUUCCUUAAUUAAAUAUUUUAAGUUCAUACUCCAAGUAUUAAAAAAUCUUUAAUAAAAAACAUUUCCUAUAAAAUGAGGCCAAUUUUCUGCAAUGUAAAUUUAAAAUAGUUAGGUAUAUUAAAUUAUUUUAUAAACAAUAGUUAAUGAUUCUGCGACGUAAAUCUAAAAUAGUUUGGCAUGCUAAAUUUUUUAUAAACGUGGCUAGUGGUGUGCUAAGCCAUUUCAUUUUAUUUCAUUUGAAUGGUUGAAAUUAUUUGCAUAUUUUUCAUGAGUGGUAGAGAGCACAAGUAUGGAAUUGACAGGCUUUGAAUUGCUGAGAUCUAGACAUGGAGAAUUGGACCUACUAUAUAUUAUGCAAUUAUAUACUAAUCUUUAGAGACACGUUGUAAAAACAUAGGUGUGCUAAAGAUGUACGUUGGUCGAAAAAUUAUAUUAUCGUUAUUAUAACUUACAUUGAUAGAGAAUAAUUUGGACAUAGAUUUUUAUGAUCAGACCAAAUUGUUAAGUUUUCAUAUUGGGUGAAAUGCGAAACUUAUUUCUCUUUAAAUGAUUUCGUACACUCAAACAUCACCUUAAUAGUUUAGAUUUUUCGGAUUAAAUAAUGUUUAAGAUUUGUAUUCCUUCAUCAUGUUUUAAGAGUUUGAGUUUAUUUUUAUUCUUAUUAUUUAUUUUAUAUUGGUCUUUUUCUUUUUUAUAUUUUUAGGUUGUUGAGCGUUCAUAUUGAUUGAGAUGUCAAAACUUUGAUAUUUUAAAUAAUCUUUAACAAUUUUCACCUCAUAAUUACAUCAUCAGGUCGAAUUAGAUGUAAGAUUCAUUUCGUAGCACUAUUUUCAUGUGAAAAAAACUAUAGAAUUUUGCAGAUAUCAUUUUUGCUCAAUUUCAACGACUAAAAGUACUAAAUUACCCUCAACAUCAACUUUUUAUAGUCUCCCCACAAAAAAAUUGAGGGUAUUAUAGUCAAUCCUCCUUCUCUCACUAUAGUUUUUAAGUGAAAUCUCAAAACUGUCCCUACAUUCAGUGGCAAGUCAAUUCGAAGUAUCCUCAACUCUCAGCCCUAAUUUGGGGAUUUCAUUCCAUUAAAUCAUUAUCUGCUCAAUGCCAGAGUACCAGAGAUACUAUAUUAUAUUCUAUAUACAUAAAAUUUUGGUAAAUCGUGGUGAAUAGUCAUUAUCUAGACAAUGAUUUUUUGUUGUUUCUGUAAUCCUUGAUUAUUUUUUUUCAGUGUAAUUAGUGUCUUAAUCGUAGUAUUAUACUUUAAUAGGGUGAUUUUAACUUCUCUUCAUCGCAAUUUAUAUAAUGUAAUUUGAUUUGAUAUUAAUUUAAUGAUACACUUGUGUAUAAAAAAAACUUUAUAAUAUUCUAAAAUUACCUUUCAAAUAAAAUAAGAAAAAAUUGUAUAUAAUAGCAAACUAAUAACCUAAAAUAAAUGAAGUAGAUAGGGUUUGAUUUAAUUGUGUUCCAUAGCAAAAUGUUUGCAAAAAAUUGCAGGCGCCUCUCUCCCAAAUAUCUCGCUCGCUCGCUUCCUCACUUUUUAUACAAACACAAGUGUAUAAAAAUUGUUUCUAAUUGUAUAAAGUAGAGAAAAUUGUAUAAAUAUAUAUAUUUUUGUUCCGCUCUCUCCUCUCUUUCAGAUCUCGCUCGCCGCUCUCCCAAAAUCUCGCUCGCCACGCUCGCCUUUCUCUCUUAUACAAAUAGAAGCGAAAUGUAUAUAUUGCGUUUCUGUUUGUAUAAAGCGUGAGAAAAUUGUAUAUACACAUGCAAGUACAUAUAUUUUCGUCCUAUACACUUAUAAUUAUACAAUAAAAAUACUCUCCUGUCCAACUUCUUUUACCUUUCUCUCUUUCUCGUUUUAUACAAUUUUCAAAUUAUAUCUAAUUUCUCUCUUUCUCGUUUUAUACAAUUCGAUUCAAUUGUAUAUUCCUUGUCAAGUCUCUUUUGUCUUUCUCUCUUUCUCAUUUUAUACAAAUUCAAAUUGUAUAUAAUCGUUCUAUACACUUAUAAUAAUAUAAUUCGUUUUAUACACUUCGUUUUUAUACAGUUCUCUGCCCAAGUGUCUUUCUCUUUCUUGUUUUAUACAUUUCGUUUUAUAUAAUUUGCUUCAAGUGUAUAUGUAUAGCGAAUUAUAUAGCUUCUAUGUUUGCUAUGGAGCAAUUAUGCAAACUUUGCUAUAACAUACAAAUAUAAAUUUUUUGUUUGUUAUAUAUGAAUAUUGCCCAUAAAAUAAAGUAAAAAAUUACACCUAAGUAGAUUUUUGUGUGUAUAUAUAUAUAUAUAUAUAUAUAUAUAUAUAUAUAUAUAUAUAUAUAUAUAAACUAUAAAAAAAAUAUGUCAUAAAAAUUAAGACAAAAAAAAUGAUCGCUUCGUAUAACUGUGAUUUGUAAUUAUGUGAACUGCUUAAUACUACUCCCUUUGAACUAAAUAUCAGUCAAUACUUUUAAAAAAAAUAUAUUUUAAUAAAUAGGUGUAAAGUUAGCAAUUAUACUAUAUUAUUAUUAUUAUUAUUAUUAUUAUUACUAAUUUUUUAAUAAGUGUGAAAAAGUGAAAGUAAUAGUUAAAAUUAUAUAAAGGCGUAUCAUUUAUUUAUAUAAUGUGAGAAUCCAUUCAAUAUAUCAAAAAAAUUUUGUUCACUUGUAUUGUGAUUGUAUGAAUGCUUGAAUUAUUCAAUAUUCCUUCUUAUUUCUCAUCAAAUAAAUGAUAUCUUCUUCUGAAAAUUCUAUCGUCUCAACUUAUUUCCUUCUUUUUGAUACUUUCUUUUCCGAUGAAAAAACUUACUAAGAUUUUAAAAAUUAUUUUAAAAAGAUUUGACUAAAAAAAUUAAUCCUUUUACAUUUAGCGAGUCAUUUUCUUUUAUAAUAUGCUUUAAACCUUUCCAUUUUUUUCUUAGGUAAUUCAAAUUAUAAUCUCAAUACCUUAAACUUGAAAUCAUAAUUUCCUUUAAUAUCCGAACAAAUCCUUUAAUUCGUUGACUAAUUUGUGAGAAAAUAAAAGAUGUAUUUUUUUAAAAUAAAAAUAAAAAUUGUAGAUCUGUUUUUGGUUUAAGUGAGGUGAAUAUAAUGUUAGUUUGACAAAUAAAAGGACAAAAUAUAACAUAUAGCCUGCUGGCAACCACGUGAGACUUUGAAUUAUUUUUAUGAAGCGAUAAAUGACUUUGUCUCUCAUAAAAUAAAAUCAUUAGAAUAUCUUUAGAAUUUAUUUAUUAAAUUGUAAAGGACCUAAUUAAUUGUACAAUUUAUUAUGUUUUGGAGAUUCCGUUUGAAAUCUUGUUUGCGUCACAAGUUGUUGAACAAAUAAUGUGGUACUCCUUCUGUUCUGUACAUUAUACUUUUUUUUAAAAUUAUAAAUAAAAAGAUCAUUUUGUUAUAUUAUUCUUUUAAAAAUAAUAUCUUAAAAAAUAUAAAAGAGAAAUGACUAUAAUUAAUGAUGAGGAUAAAUUAGAAAUUAAGUACAUAAAGUGGAUAGAUAUUGUUAUAAAAUAAUAUAGUGGAAAACUAUCAUUGAACGAAGGAAGCGUUAAAAAUAAUUGUUUAAUAAUACUCCAUGUUUCUUAUUUUCAUGUCGCUUUUACUAUAAAUGGAUAUUUUUAAAUAUUUAUUAUUUCAUAAAUUCAAUACAUAAAUAACAUUAUCCUUCUUAUUUUUUUAUCGUUGAAAGCAUGAAUUUGAUCCGUAUAAUAAAACUAAAUGGAUAAUUUAUGUUAAUUGAUAAGUUUAAUUGUCAAAAUAAAAUAUUUAUGUUUAUUUAGUCAAGAUAAUAUUGAAUAUGGAACUUACUUAUUUUCGGAAGGUACAUGAAAUUUAAAGGUUUAGAAAAUCACAAGACGUCUUUUUCACCCUUAUUAUUAAUACUAUUUAACAUCUAAUACAUCUUUUGAAAUAAUAAGUUUAAUGUAUUCAAAGGAUAAUGUGUUAAUAUUAUUCCUACUAAUUAUUAGGUUUUACGCUAUAUGUCAAAUCAAUCAUGAAUAACUAUUGUUAAAUAGAGAGAAUAGUAUUAAAAGAUGCUUUGACAUAAUAAGAGAUUUCAAAUAUUCUUAAGUAGGUGUAGAGUACCGUAUAUCAUAGCAUUUAAAAUUUUGGUACGUAUUAUAUCAUUAUCAUAAUAGUAAUUAGUCAGAUUUCGACUUACCUAUAUAUAUGCAACUCCAUAAUGAUUGAAAUAAUACUCAAAUAGCUUGUUACAUUUUCCAAAUAGUAGUAAAUAUGGCUUAUGAAUCACUUUGCAAAAGUAACAAUAUAUAUAUAUAUAUAUAUAUAUAUAUAUAUAUUAUUAUUAUAAAACUUUGAUAUGGUGUAUGAUCUUUCAAUAUUUAUAAUACAAAUAUCAAAAUCAAAAUAAUCUAAAAUGCAUAGCAAAUACCAUAUUAAAUAUCAUAUAUUCACAUUAUACAAUAGAAAAUUUUGAUUUUGAUAUAAGUACUCCUUCAUCGUCUACGUGUUAUUUGUGGACUUUUUCUUUACAAAAUACUUAAGAAAUGAUAAAUAAAAAAGCUAUUUUUAUUAAUUUAUCCAUUAACAUUUUAAAUACAUUUUUUUAAUGUGUUUUAUCAUAGAUGAAAAAAUAACUAUUGGAAAACUCUUUUUUUUUUAAGUAUCUUUACCAUAUUUCUAUAAUAUUAAAAAUAAUUAAUUGUUAGAGCAAAAUGCAAAUAAUACAAAUCAUUAAUUUUGUAAAUUAUCAAAGAAUUAGAGACGGAUGUUUUUUUAAUAAUGCAAACAAGUAUUCCCCCAUUUCACAAAUAGUUAUCAUAUUUAGUUUUUUGUUUCGAAAACUAAUUUUCAAAGUUAAUUUGUUUAGAUUAAUUUAAUAUUUUAAAAAUAAAAUUUAGAUAUUUAAAAAAAUCUAAAAAAAUUAGAAUUUUAAUUUUUUUAAUCAAUAUUUUUAAAUGAAUAUGUCUUAAAAUAUUGAUUUCAAUUUAUAUUAUUCUAACUAAAAAUUGUGAUAAAAUAAAAAUGAAUGGAGAAAAUAUACAACAUGGAGGAAGUAAUAAUUUGAACUUCUCUAGCGAUCCUUUUGACCAAAUUAAGAUCAUUUAAGUCUCUUUGUUGUCUUCAUUCUUCAUUUAUGGUUUUGAUUACAAAAUUAAAUCGAAUUAUGUUUUGAAUUAAAUUGAUAUUUGAUUAAUUUAAUUUGGUUAAAUUUUAAAAAUCGAUAUUAUUUAGUAUGAUUUUAAUAAAAAACAAUUGCAAAAAUAAUUGAACUGAACAAAUAAACUAGAUGUAUAAAUUUUAUGAUCAUUUAUAUAUUAUUCAUAAAUAAAAAAAUAUUUUUGUUAAAUUUUAAUUAAUUUAAAUCUUUAACUUUAACAAUUUUCAAGCCCAAUACUUUAGCCCAACUAUAACAAUCUUACGUCCAAGUCCAUCAAAAUCAUAUUUAAUCUUUACCUACCCAACUUCAUAUAAAAUAGUCAUAUUUUUUCUUAAUUGAAUCACUUUUAUCGUGUAAUAAUAACUCUAGUAUUGCUUAAUUGCUUAACUGAAUCGUCAAUAGCUUUUCUAUGGAUUGUUCAUUACUAGGUGUAAGUGUCUAUCGAGAUUCGUACAUUCUCAAAAAAAAUUAUAUUCAAGCUAAAUAAAUCAUAAAAGUUGAACAAAACCAAUAAUUCUUUCUUUCCGUUUGGUUUAAUUUAAUUUUAGAAAUAUAUUUAAACCAACUAGAUCAAUAAUCGAUCCAAGCCAAAUCACGAGCACCCUUACAGGGAUAUUACUUAUAGAUCUAUCAUCUAUAUAUAAAAAACAUGUUAAGUCCUUUUCCUUUGGGAAAUAGUUCAAUACAAAAUCUUUUAGUUAUAUAGUAUUGUGUUGAGUUUUAUUUCUUAAUGAUUUUUUUUGGUUAAUAUUUGUGCUUUUAAUUUAGGGGAAAAGGACGAAUAUAUCCAAAGUUAUCUUAAAUGGCAUGCAAAUAUUUUCCGUCAUAUUUUUGGGACAUUAAUACUCUUGCCAUCCAAAAAUUAGAACAACUUGUUAAAAUUCUAAAAAUAUUUAUAUUGAAUGAAAUAUCUUUUAAAAUGAUACCAUAGGCACAUCACAAUUUUUGUAAUUUUUGAAAAUAUUUUUUUUAUACUAAAUAGCUGUUAGGAUAAAAUUUAUUUUCAAAACUAGCCUAUAUUUGAAUUGUUACCCGCGUUAUAUGCUAUUAUACAAACUUUAUACCUUGUAUAUACUAACUAUAUAACAUGGUAUAUCGUGAUCCGUGUGUAUAAGUACUGUUAAAAACUCCCUCUAGAGUUGGCUAAUUUUAAGAUUAACUUAAUACUUUAAAUUCAUUUCUUUAACAAAAAUAUAAUUUUUAUGUAAAAAAAUAUAGAUUUUUUUUUAUAAAUUAGUUCAAAUUGAAAUCAUAAUUUUAACUUUACAACAAAUUUAACAAUAAGAUUUUUAAGAUUUGACAAAUAGAAACGAUCUCAAUAAAGAACUUUUAUGAAUAUAUCGAUGCUAGUUUAUUAUGAGGGGACUAGGGAUGUUAUCAACCAAGAGAUAUUUUUAUUUUUUGAAAAGAAAGUGAACUGAAUAUUUUGAGGUGCGAAUAAAUUCAUCUUUUCUAAAUAAUAUUAAUUGUUAAUUCUUUAGAAAGCAAAUUUCUUUAGAAUUUUCCAUGGCCAAGAUUAUUAUCAAAGAAUCUUCAAUCACUUUCAAGAUAACGUAAUUUAUAGAAGAAGAAGAAAAUCAUUUAAAGAAGAUUUCUUUAUUUGAACACGUAUUUCAGUUAAAACUUAAAUUUAGCUUUCAGGUAAAUUAAAUUCAUGAUAGAAUUUUAAAAAAUAAAAAAUAAAAAAAAUUUUAUUUAAAAAUUGAAUUCGCAUUUAAGCUCCAAAUACAAGUUCUAAUUAUUGAAUAUACAAUAUUUAUUUAUAAAUACAAAGACAUUUGAUAAAUUUACAAAUUCAAAGUGAAAAAGUUUUCUAUAAAUUAUUCCUAACAAUUAAAUCGGAUAUAUUAUGUGUAUUAAUUCUUUUAUUGACACAUUAUAUUGAGAAUAUUAUUAAUUAAUAAAACACAUUAUAUUGAAAAUAUUAUUAAUUAAUAAAAGUGUAUAUGAUAUUUUAAAUAUGAUAUCAGAGGAUACAGAAAUCCUGCGAUCAAAUUUUACUAUCACCUAUUUUAGAUGAGGUUACCACACACUUGAGGAUGAAACACUCCUAUGAUAUUCUUUCCUCCAAACAUUAUUAUACUUAUAGACCCCACAAAAUGAUCAACUCUUUAAAAAGUUGUUAGAACCUAGAAAAACUGAAUUAUUAGACGUUUGGCCAUAUGUUAUCAUAUUACAAUAUAAUAUCGUAAAAUGGAAUCAACAUUUGGAUAUAUGUAAUUUUGCGUUAAUUUUAUUUCAUAAUUUCAUAUCAUGAAAUAUGAUGCUAUAUUUUUCAAAAAGGAUGAUAUAGAAUUACAUUGUGAUUUCAUAUCAUGAUUUGAGAUAUUUUUAAAAAAAAUUGAUCUACAAAUUUAUAUUUUGUCAAAACAAUUCCACAUGUAUAUCUAGUAACCAUUUAUUUCAUGUGUAAAUAAAAUUUAUAAUCACAUCAUUACUUUUUAAAGUUUAAUAUUCUCAUCGAAAUAAAAUUUAUUAUUCACACCAACAUAUGAUCACUUUAACUCACACCAACCGAUUGUUAAAGUAAUGAAAUAAUUAUGGUCUAUAAACAUGAAAAUAUAGUUGCGAAUGAUAUUGACCAACAAAUAGCUCAAAAGUAACAAUGUUGGUUCGUCUUCUCAGUCACAUGAUCGAGAAAUGCAAAUUCAACUUGAAGAAAUUGUCCGAUCUAUGUAAGAGGAUUAUAUGAAAAACUAGUACACUAUAAUUUAUGUUCAAUUUUUUUUAAUUAAAUUAAAGCUAGAUGAAACAAUUACUUAAGUGUAGAACAAAUACCUUUGUAAUAAUUUUAUUAUGCGAUUUUACAAUUUUUUAUUUGAUAAGAUUGAAUAAACAAUUGGGGCUACUUUAAUAAUUUUACUAUAACUUAUAAGGUUUUAUGAGAAAAAAAAUAACACACAAUUUUUAUAUCGUAUGACCAAACAAAAUUUUAAUUUCAUUUUAUAAUUUCAUAUCAUAAUAUCAUAUGCAUGAUCAAACAUGUUCUGAGAGACUACAUGUCAACAAUUUAUCUCACUUUUUUUGCUCUUAAAAUUGGUCAAAUUGGUUUCUCUAUAAGAAUAUCUGAAUAUGAUCCACUAUAUUUUGUUAUCAGCUUGGCCUGUAAUGUGUAUGAUGUUUAUGGUGGUGCAUUGGCAAAGUUGGUUAAUAUAUUGUCAUGAAAAUUCUAAAUACACACAUAGUAACAAAUUAAUAUGUUUAUACACUUUUAUUUUAUGAUAACAUUGUAGGGCAUAAAAAUGGACAAAGGAAGAGAGUAAACCUCAUUUUUGUAAAUGUUGUUUCAAAGCAAGAACAUCUGUUCAAUCUACAGAAGGAGUAUCUCAGUCGCUGCUGCAUUUUCCUCAAAACCCAAUUCCCCUUUCAUCCAAGAUUCAGUUAUUCACUGCACAGAAGAAGUUUUAGCAUCGAAACUAGCUCCAAUUUUGCAAUCUUGCAACAGUUCUGCAGAAAAUCUUGGUUCUGUUAUUCGUAAAGGGGAGCAGGUUCAUGCCCAGGUAACUGUAAAUGGAAUUGACAACUUGGGUAUUCUUGGUACGAGAAUCUUGGGGAUGUAUGUUUUGUGUAACAGGUUUAUCGAUGCCAAGAAAUUGUUUUUUCAGCUUCGGUUGUGUUAUGCUUCUCCUUGGAAUUGGAUGAUUAGAGGGUAUACAAUAAUGGGUCGUUUUGAUCUUGCAAUCUUGUUGUUCUUUAAGAUGUUGGUGUUUGGUACUUACCCUGAUAAAUACACUUUUCCUUAUGUGAUUAAGGCUUGUGCUGGUGUAAAUGCUGUGAGUUUCGGUAAAUGGCUACAUCGGUUGGUACAAAGUUUAGGUUUUGAGGAUGAUGUGUUUGUAGGUAGUGCUUUUAUUAAGUUUUAUGCGGAGAAUGGUUGUUUGGAUGAUGCUCGUCUUUUGUUCGACAAAAUGUAUCAAAGGGAUAGUGUAUUGUGGAAUGUGAUGCUUAAUGGUUAUGCUAAAGAUGAACAGUCUGUGAAUGAUGUGGUUGGGUUAUUUAUGGAAAUGAGGAAAAGUGAAACUAAGCCUAAUUCAGUAACAUAUGCUUGUGUUCUUUCUGUUUGUGCGUCGGAAACAAUGGUUAAAUUUGGUUGUCAGCUUCAUGGGCUUGUUGUGCGAUGUGGGUUGGAAAUGGAUUCUCCAGUAGCUAAUACAUUGAUUGCGAUGUACGCUAAAUUCUGUUCCUUGUUUGAUGCACGCAAGAUCUUUGAUUUAGUGUCACAAGCAGAUCGUGUGACUUGGAAUGGGAUGAUUGGAGGGUAUGUACAGAAUGGGUAUAUCGAUGAGGCGCUGGAUUUAUUUCGGGAAAUGGUAGCUAGCAGUGUCAAGCCAGACUCUAUCACCUUUGCCAGUUUGCUCCCCUCUGUUUCUAUAUCGGAAGAUUUGUACCAGGGGAAGGCGAUUCAUGGUUAUAUCGUGAGAAAUGAUGUAUCUAUUGAUGUUUUCUUAAAGAAUGCCAUUAUUGACAUGUACUUUAAGUGCAGGAAUGUUGUGGCAGCACGCAACAUAUUUAGCUGCAGCCCUGCGGUGGAUGUUGUUAUUUGUACUGCUAUGAUUUCAGGAUUUAUUCUUAAUGCCAUGAGUUCUGAUGCCAUAGAUGUUUUCCGAUGGUUACUUAAUAAGAAUAUGAGGCCCAAUCCUGUUACUCUAGCAAGUACCUUACCCGCUUGUUCUGGUUUGGCUGCUUUGAGAUUAGGUAAGGAACUGCAUGGUGUCAUUGUUAAGCGCAGCUUUCAAGGAAUACUUUAUGUGGGAAGUGCGGUGAUGGACAUGUAUGCAAAGUGUGGAAGAUUGGAUCUUGCUCAACAAGUUUUCAGAAGGAUGCCUGAAAGAGAUGUCGUUUGUUGGAAUUCGAUGAUCACGAGCUGUUGCCAGAAUGCUGAACCGGAAUUGGCCAUUGACUUCUUCCAACAGAUGGGUGCAAUUGGAGCCAAGUAUGAUUGUGUCAGCAUAUCCAGUGCUCUUUCUGCUUGUGCGAAUUUGCCAGCUCUCCAUUAUGGGAAAGAGAUCCAUGGCUUCGUUAUGAAAAGUGCAUUAAGCUCUGAUCUUUUUGUGGAAAGUGCGUUAAUAGAUAUGUAUGCUAAAUGUGGGAACUUAGAGGUAGCUUGGCGCGUAUUUGACUUAAUGGCACACAAGAAUGAAGUAUCAUGGAAUAGUAUUAUUGCAGCUUAUGGAAAUCAUGGCCGACUGAAGGACUGCCUGAAUUUGUUUCAUGGAAUGAGAAAAGAUGGAUUCCAGCCUGACCACGUCACUUUUCUUGCGAUCAUAUCUGCUUGUGGCCACUCUGGUCGAGUUGAAGAGGGAAAACACUACUUCAAUUGCAUGACUAAUGAAUAUGGGAUUACACCGCGAACAGAGCAUUAUGCAUGCAUGGUUGACUUGUUUGGGAGAGCUGGUCUCGUGGAAGAAGCAUUUGGCGUGAUUAAGAGCAUGCCAUUUGCUCCAGAUGCAGGCAUUUGGGGGACAUUACUUGGGGCUUGUCGAUUACAUGGCAAUACCGAGCUUGCUGAAAUGGCUUCUGAGCAUCUUUUGAGCCUGGACCCCCAAAAUUCCGGCUACUAUAUGUUACAAUCAAAUCUACAUGCUAACGCUGGCAAAUGGGAUAUGGUUUCUAAAAUUCGACAUAUGAUGAAGGAAAGAGGAGUGCAGAAAGUACCUGGUUACAGCUGGACUGAAGUUAACAACAGCACUCAUAUUUUUGUUGCUGCAGAUGCGAGUCACCCGCAGUCUGCUCAGAUAUAUCUUUUAUUAGACAAUCUUCUAAUAGAGCUGCAAAAUGAGGGUUAUGUUCCUCAAAUGAAUCUUCAAAUACAACAGUCAUCAUCCCCAGAACUCUGUUGAUUAUUAACCAACUACAAGCAUAGAGCUUAGCUAAGUGCACUGUAUCCACAUUUCAGGUAGCAUAGGCAUUUCAUCUUUGUGUUGCAACAUUGAUUAAUUUAUACUUGACCUUACAAGUGGAGGAGAAAUGUACCAUUUAUAGUGUUUUGUUUUCUGAUUCUUUCAUUUGAUUCAUUCAUAUAACAGAAUACAGGGAAAUGUGCAUCUGUUACAAAAUAAAGCUUUUAAUUCUGAUCUCCAUUCAGUUCAGCAGUUUUCUUAGUCAUAGCACUGCAGAAAAUGGCUCUACCAUGAGACCAUCCAAGGGUGUGGGGGCGUGGAUGAAGUGAGUUGAAAAUCACGAGGUUUCAGGUUGUAAGUUUCAAUCGAGACAAAAAUCUAGCUUCGGUGAAUAGAGUUAUCUGAUGCUGGUCGAAAAGGUCAGGAAACUCGUGAAAUUAGUCCAGUGCACACAAACUAACCUGAACACAACCAUUAUGGGGGAGAAGGGCUCCAACAUGAGUCAUUCAAAAGUAGUAGGCUUUAUUAUAAAAGGAAAGUUAUAUUGAUUAAAAAAAUAUCUUGUAAGAUUCACCAACUGAAUACAUUAAUAUGCUUUGUCUGACCAAAACUAUAAGUUUUCUAACCAAACUAGUAGAGUCAUGCAUCACAUAAAAAUGUCAUUUUUAUCCCUUUAGUUUUUCUUUAAAUAAAAUACUACUAAGUAAUGUUUUUGGAGUGUUACUGUAAAAAUUCAAUUGAGAUGUUCAAAACUUCAUUAUCCAUUAACUAACAUUUUUUGUAUGCUAAAAUUCAAAUAUUAUGGAUAACAACACAAGUACAAACACAUAUCCAGUGUUAUUCCAUAGCAUGAUAUCCUUUCAAAUUGACUCGACUCUUUUCUUUGCUCGGCCUCUCACUUCAUUUCGUUCUUCUUCUUUACCAUUGCUUGAAUGAAGACCGUUUCAAACCAGGUAAGUGUACACAUUACUUACCUCUCUCUUGGAAAUAUAUUUCGAUAAAGUCUCGAUGGAUAUCCUAUCUUAUUAUCUUGUUUCUACAUACAUAUUCAUAUUCUUAUUGACUUUAAUUUCCUUUCCUAGAUACACUGUCUUGAACCUCCAUACAAAAAUACAACUAGUGGCAAACUAAAACCUAUUAUGCAAUGAUGGAAUUUAAAGACCAAAACAUGAAAAACUGAUUCCAUUACACAAAGGAAUGGCUUCAUUACCACAAAUUCAAAACCCAAAAAAUAAGAAUCUUAAUACAAUUAUUGUCCACCUUUUUUCUCUACCACAUUUCUUCUAUGAAGAAUAAUAUAAUGUGCUUUUUGUACAUCAUUUUAAUGCAAUCCAGAAGCAAGUUUUUAACUUUUUUUUCUAGCAGCAAUUAUUAACAUUAGGAAAUAGGGUAGGAUUCUUUUUUCCAUUUUGGAAUUUACAUGUCCCAUCGCUAGCUAUUUAGUGGAAACUUGUCAUUGAGGUAACAAAUUAAGAAUGAAUUGAAAUAAUUGAAAAAAAAUAAAUAGGUGUGCUUGUUUCCUGAUUUUCCCUAUUAAAAGGAAAUAUAAACGUCAGUGAUAGAGUCAUAAUUUUUAUUAACGGAUUCAAAUUUGAAAAGUAAACACCUGUUGACAGAGAUUUGAAUGAACCCCUUGAUCCUACCUGGCUCUGCCCCAGAUAAUAGAGAAUAUAAUAUGAUUUCUUUCAUUCUAGUUUAUCUUUCACAUGCUUAUAUGAUCAUAAUAAAGAUCAGUAUACCGUGAAGUAAUUGAAAAAAAAAAUGAACUACAAUUAAAAUAUGAUUUACGACGCUAAUCUGCCUUAAUUGGUACUUACUACUUAAUAUAAGCCAAUUACUAAUGAAGUCGCUUAUAGUACGAAAUAUUAGUGUUUCUUAAAAGUAUUCACAUGUUUUUUUUUUAAACAAAAUCGUGAUAUGAAUCAUAUAUUAGUGUUUUUUAAAUAUAUACGCAAAGCACCUUUAAAUAUUUUUUUAGAAAAAUCUUAAUUUCCUCUCAAUCUAACUCGAUGCUAACUUCUACCAUAACGCAUGUCAUGUGGUAUAAAAUUUCAGUGUUUAAAGAGGAAUCAAACCCUUAAAAAGGAAUAGUAGAACUUAAUCGAGUUUCAUUUUUUGUUGAAUCAAUUACUAAAUUUUCGAAGCCUUCGCCACUACUCUAGAUCAACUUUGAAUUGCUCGAUUGAAAUAUGAGAUAAUAAAUUCAAACUCCAUGGUACUCCUAUUUAUAUACAUGAUAUUCCAACGAGCUAAUUAAUUCAAAUUCCAAAUAAUUAAAGCCAUUAAUUAUAUAUAGCAUCUUCAUUUUUUAUUUUAUUUUUCUCAAACUCUAAUCACAAUUAUUAAUAGUACUACUAAUCCGCUGCUUAAUAUUUCUUCUUUUCUUCUUCUCAUAAGCAAUCCCCCUCGCUUUGGCUUGCGUGUCUCUCACUUCCUUCAAAUACAACCUCACUGCUCGAGCACCGAACGGAUUCGUCUCCGUCCGUCCUCCGUUCUCUUCGAAAGCAGCGCGUAGCCUCCCAAUUAGCGCGUCAAGGCUCCCCCACGCCUGUUUCAACGGGCAAUUGCACGGCGCCGGCGGAUGAGGAUCGCCGAAAAACGGACAAUUACAGCUGUGAACUUUCGUUUUUCCGAAUUGAUCUAGGUAUUUUAAGAAUUCUAGAAUGUUCGCUCCGCUGCAUCGCGCAAGUAUCAGUGGUGGCUUGUGGUUUCUCAAGUACUGUCCGAAUGUGUUCCAGUCUCGCCGUUUUUGUAGCUCGUAACGGCUCACCGUCGGUGGUGACGAAGGCGGCGGUAGUGGUAGUGUCGGCGCCGGCGCCGAUGAUAGGGAGAAGUUUUGUGAGACGGAAUUAAUGGUACUAUAUACGUCUAACAUGGCUGUGUUACUUUUGUGUGGGUAUUUUUUGAAGUUGUUAAGACUCGCUAUAUAUAGGAUGUAAAAGAGUGCAAAUAGUUUUACUUCUUAUGGGUUCAUGAUUUGAUUCAUACCACUCGCGUUAGGGUCCGGUGUACCGGAUGAGGUUAUUCAAAGUCUCGAAUAUGAAUUUUGGAAUUAAAAAAAUUAUUGAUAAGAAGUAGUCGAGUGUUGUUUUUGAAUGAAAUAUAAAUUGUAUUAAUCGAAUUCUAAUAUAAAUAUAGAAAAUAAAAAAUAAAUUCACUUAUCUCAUUUAGCUUUUCAUUCGGCAUCAAGCGGCGUCUAAUAGAUUCUGUUAAUAGAAAGGAUAUUUGAUCCUAUAAUUUGAUGAGAAGACCAUAUUUAAGUCGAAAUAUAGUUUAAGGAUAUAUUUUGAGCUAUGUAUUAUUUCGAACAGUUUAAAGAUAUUUUUAACCCUUUUUGUAGAAAAAAUAAUUUCCAGAGAAAAUAUCUCAAUUACUUGGGGCUAAUUUUGGUAUGUUGCGAUAAAAUUUAGUACAAUUUUGUCUCUUGUGUAGUUAUUGAUUGUAAAAAUAAAUAUAUAUGAAGGCAAAUAAUUAGUAUCAAGAUAAGUUAUUUUAUUUAUAGUAGAAUAACAUUAGCAAAAAUAGUUUUUCGGGUAUAAAAUAACAAAAAUGUCAAAAACAUUUUCCAACUAAAUAAGGUAAAGGGAUAUUAUUGUAAACAAAUCAAAUCAUUAAUAAAUAAUAAUAACAAGAUAUUUAUUUUUUUUAAGCUCUUUAUUUCUUUUUUACUCCACAAGUAAAGUUCGUGUAUAAGUGUGAAUAAAUUAAAUAUAUUGUGAUUUGGUUCAGAAGAUCAAAUUAUUUAACGUUUAAUGUGUAAAUUUCCAGAACUUACAAAUAAAACUUUGAAUUAUAGUCUACCUAGUUAUGAUGGUAUUAUAACGUGGUAGUAGUAUUUAUUUCAUUAGAUCCAAUAAAUAGCAAAGAUUGUUAUGCAAUAUUACCACAUAAAUUAUUAUUUAAAGAAUUUUAGAAAUUCUAAUUUUCUUGUACUCAUAAAAUAAGAAGUAGAAAUAGUGAAGGGAGAGUUGCUAGACCAUUUAUAGGAAAAUGUAAUGGCCCAUAGAGAAGGAACAAAAGAAGAUAAUGAGACCAAUAUGAGUUAUAAUAAUAUAGUGAUAUGUAUUGUUGAAAUAUCAUCUCGAAUUAACACUCAUGCUUUAAUAUGUGCUUCGAACACUCGACUAAUUUAUUUUAUGAAAACAAAAUAUAUGGAAGGAUGGGGCCCAAAGAGUGAGGACAAAUUAAAGUAAUAUCACUUCAACUAGUCAUGUCAAAUGUAACUUCAAUUGUUGUCUUAUCAGUUUCACCCUUCCUUUUAUCCGUGUGACAGUGGGUUAACUUGUAUUGACCAUUGGAAUGUUUCGUGUGGCCGGUAACUUUUUUGUUUCCUCCCUUUGCCUUUUUUAUUUUUUAUUUUUAACUUUUAGGUGCCACUAGAAUUUAGAGCAAAUAACAAAACUUGAUCCUCUCUACAUCUAACGAUAACAAUAGUUUAUUUAAAUUAAUUUCAUAUAGUGAAAUUCAAAAUAAAGUGAUGUAUACAAAUUUUAUUUUUAUCUCAAUAUUUCUGACUAGGUAACUUUUUAUUUUAUAAUAUAUAAUUAUUGGUAGUAUUCAUUGUUGGCCUCAGUACGCAGAGUAUGUUGUCUUGGUUUUAAUCAACAUGACUCUUUAGACAUCAAAAGUUGUCUUUGAACUUCCAACUUAGUAUCAAAAAUCACUAUGAGUCUAUCCGAUCAAAAUUAUCUCAUUGGUGAGGCGGAGCUACCGGUAUGGAAGGGUGGUCAGCGAUCACUGAGUUUUGGCCAAAAAUAUUUUUUAACUAUAUGUCAAACUUAAAUUAUAGCCCUAAAAUAUCAUUUUUAGCAGAUAACUAUAUUCAAAAUUAAACUAUAUCUUUAAAGUAUCAUUUUCAGCAGAAAACAUCCUUUAAGUAUUUUUACGUGAACAAUUUUCAUCCUUUUGUUAGAUAUUGUCAAAAGAUUAAGGGAUCUUACGAAAACAUGAGCAAUUAAUGUGACUAUCAACAAAUUUUAUUAUGCAUAAUUUCAUUAAAUCUACAAUAAAUUCUUGAAAAUAUAAAAAAUCUUAGACACUGUUGCUUAUGAAAACUAUAAAUGAUUAGAAGGUGUGAGCGUACAUGAUUUGCCUUUUGCGCAACAGAAAGAAGUUGGAGAUUAAUUAUUUUUAUCUUUUUCUUAACCAAUUAAAUUAUUAGAUUUUUGGGUCAAUCUAAUAUCGAAGUGACCAAAAUAUUGAUUAUGUCUUGUAUUUGAGUUUCAUUCUACAUUAUUUGAAGGGGAAGUCUCCAAAAAAUGUCGCUUCUAGCAUAUUUAAUUGAGAAGAAACUAUUUAAAUUAAUAAUAUUUUAAAUUAAAAUUAUAUGAAAAAUGAAUGAAAAAGACGGUCAAAUUAAAAGAUUUUGCAUAAUUCUUAACUCAAUUAAGAAAAAGUUCGCGAUAAUAUUCUUGGCAUAUAUAAGAAUAACAAUUAGGAAGGGACGGCUUAUUUUUUGAGGGAUAUAUCAAUUAAGGAUGAAAAUUAUUUACUUUAAAAUACUUUAAGGAUGUUUUAUGAUAAGAAUAUACUUUAAGGCUGUAAUUUGAGUUUGAGGUAUAGUUUAAUGAUGAUUUUGGCUAAAAUUUCAAAAUAAUUAAUCUCCAACCUUUUUCAAUUACGGAAAAGGCGAAUCAUGUACGCUCACACCUUUCAAUCAUUUUUAAUUUCCAUAAGCAACAAUGUCUAAGAUUUUUUAUAUUUUUCAAGAACUUCUUGUAGAAAAUAAUGAAAUUAUACAUAAUAACUUUUGUUGAUAGUCGCGUUAACUGCUCAUGUUUUUGUAAGAUCCCUUAGUUUUUGACAAUAUCUAACAAAAGGAUGAAAGUUGUUCACUUACAAAUACUUAAAGGAUGUUUUCUGCUAAAAAUGAUACUUUAAGAAUGUAGCUUAAAUUUGGGGUAUAGAUAAAUGAUGUUUUAUGCUAAAAAUAAUAAUUUAAGGAUGUAGUUUAGAUUUCGGGUAUAGUUAAAAAAUGUUUUUGGCCAAAUUAUACCCUAUAUAUAAAUAAAAUGCUAUAUAAUAUUGCGAUAUAUAAUUAAUUGAACACCUAUGACAAAGUCUAUUGGUCUGCUGGUAAGCAUGUUCAUUUACGUGCAAGAGGUCCUCAGUUGCAACAUGUUUUUUAAAACAUAAAACACACUCUCUUUUCAAUUAUGUGUAAGAGAUCUGUAUUAAGUGACUUAUUAGGUAUACACAUUCUCAAGAUUUUAUUUUAAAGAAAAAAUUAAAGAUUAUUAUUUAUUAUUAUACUUUUGAGUAUUUCUAAAGUAUCUUUCUAUUUAGAAAAAGUAAAAUAGUUAAGAAUUUGAAAAUAGGAGAAAAAAACUCAUCAUAAUCGUGAAAGUCACUCUCAAAAGGCUCAUCAUAGCCCUUUUUGUGACUCGACUCAAGCUCAUCAUACAUUAUUCGAUAUUUGAACUAUUCAGUUAUUUAAAUUACAAAAAACACUCGACAAUUUAUUUCAUAUGAACUAGAGGGAGUAUAUUUCAAGCAAAAAUUAUUUUGUGACUUUUGUCCAUUAGUUUUGAUUUAUUCCAUCGAUAGUUUUAUCAUUUUAAAUUUCCGCAAGAUUUAGUUACUAAGUGAUGUGUAAUUUAAUUUCUCACACAUUUGCAAAAAUAAAUUUUGUGUACCCACUUCGCUAAAAAAAUUAUCGACUCUUUUAAAGUUUGAACAACCUCGGCGAAAUUUCUGGCUCCGCCACUAUUUGGCGAGUAACAUACUCAUCAUACACUUUCUUGGAUAUAUCGCGUUAAUUCAUUCAUCAUCAAGAUAAAUGAUUUUGAUCUAAAAGUUGAUGUCUGGUGCAACCUCUUCAUAGUGGAAAAGUGCUUUUUUUUCUUCUAGGUCUUGACUCCUUCAUACAUGUCCUUGAUCUUCUAAAUAUACGUCAUAGAGUCUGGCAUUAAUACAUACAUUUUAUGAACCCUAAACACCCAAAGGGACCUCCAAAAAAAUUUGGUGUGUGUUUUAUAGAGGGUCCCUUUUAGUGUUUAGGGUUUAAAAAAGUGUCCGUUUUGAUAUCAGACUUCUACAUACCUCCAAUUUCCAAACAUCUCCAAAAAACCUCCUUCAAGACUCUGUCUAAAAAACUUUCCAAUCAAUGAACAUCAUAUGCAAGUUUUUCUAUUUGACUGUACUUAUUUAUCAAUCUCUUUAUAAUGACUUUUGAAUACAUGUGAAACAUGCUUAGAUAUCAAGUGUAUAGAAUAAAUUAUAUCUAAUUUUGACUCAUAUGUAUCUAUUUUGUAAAGUUCUAAGAGAAAAUAUAAUUAGAAAGUAUAGUUUCAACCGAUAAAUAACACAAAUGUAAAUGUGUGUUUUGUGUUGUUUCCUCUUAAUUUAAAUACAAUUCAUUCAAAUUUGAAUGCACUAGUGAUCUACUUUUUUAUUAGUUCAAUCUAUUUCAGUUUGUUAAAAUAUUAGUUCAUAUAUAAAUCAAAUCGGUUAAUGAAAAGUGAGUUUUAUGUAUUUUGAAUUAGUAUUUUAAUUAUUAAAAAUUAUCUAUUUUUUUUUAAUACAUACUAAAUUUUAUACUAUAGAAAAUGUUAAAAUUUCUAAAUUAGCUUGUUUGCUCUUGAAAUCGAAACCUCCCCACAAAUUGGGACAGCGGGAGUAAUUUCAAUUUUGCUAUUUGAAAAAACAGAGGAUUUUCCGUUGGGGUUUAACCGGAUCGGGCCUUUUCAUCUCCGGUAAUCUUUCUCGUUUUGUAAUUCUCAUCGUACUUCUGCUUUGUUAUUAACUGUACUAGUUGUGGUUUCAGUAAAGUUUAGCUUCGUAUAGUUGUGAAUUCAUUCUCUUGUGGCGGCUUAAAUCAAGGGUUUGGUUGUCAGUGUUAUAGCAAACGAAGAUUCUGUUCAGAAGAUUUAGAGUUCUUUUUUGUUGGAAAUUUUGAGGUUGUGAUUUUGACCUAAAACUGUUAAUUUCAUAGAUAGAGAGAUAUUUGUAUGUUAGUAAUAGGGAACCUCUAGGGUUAUGAAAACCUAAAUUAUUGAAUAUUGGAAUAGAUGGGGUUCUAAUGGAGAGAAUUCAUAUAGUAAACCCAAACUAAUUCGGGAUUGAGGCAUACUUCUUGAUUACUGAGCUAAAUUAGAGAUAAAGAGUAAGAGGUGCAGUUGGGAUUGAUUCAUUUCUCACUUUAAUAACUAUCUAAUUUUACAGUUUUAGGUUUUGUAAACUUUUUUAGUGCAUACUAAUAACUAUCUACCCUUUUGGUUUGCUUGGGAUUGCUAGCUCCUUAGCUUUAGUUUAGGAUACUUGUAUGAGUGCUGAGAUUUUUUUUAUGCCCUUCCGAAUUAGAGCUAAGCGGUCGCAUAUUUUGUAAUCUGGCAUCUACCCGAUGCCCAUUCAAGGAUAAUUUUUAACCUUAUCAAAAAGACAUAGUUGCAGCAGUAAUUUUUUCCGAUGUACCUAUUGAUUUAACAAUGUGAACACCAAAUUUAUGCAGAUGUCAUGGUAGUUUUUACUUGGAGAUAAGAGUUUACUGUUUGUUAAAUUUCAAAGAAGAGUUUACUGUUUGUUACGAGGGAUGGGCUUCAGUUUUAGAGGGUCUCACUUGAUGGCUUUGUUCUCUUUGGUACAAAAGAACUAUUCUUGUAAUAAGAUGUGGAUGAAAUGUCAUUUAGGAAUGAUGGGAAAUAUAUUUUUGAAGUGGUUUGUACAUUUCAGAAUCUUAGGAAUUAUUUCUCUUUGCUACUCAGUCCAUUAGGCCAGUUCAUGCUUUGAUAGUUUUGGCUAUUUGUGUAGUACUUGAUUACAUCUGAUGACAUUAAUUUUAUCCAUUUUAGAACCAAAGUACCAACAGAUUUCAGCUCAACAGCCAUUAGUUAUGGACCACUUUGGAGGAGGAAGUUGGACAAUGAUCCCCAACAUCCAAACUCACAGUAAUCCUUCGACACCCUCCAAUCAAGACAAUUUAUUUCUUCAGCAACAGCAAUUUCAACAACAACAGUUCAUUCAACCGCAGCUCUAUCAGCAACAACAGCAGCAGCAGCAGCAACAACAACAACGGUAUCAACAACAGAUGCAACAGCAACAAAUGCAGCAGCAGCAACAGAUGCAGCAGCAGCAAAUGCAGCAACAACAACAACAGCAGCAGCAAAUGCAGCAACAACAACAACAGCAGCAGCAGCAACAACAACAACAGCACCACCAAUCACUUGCCUCUCACUUCCAUCUUUUACAAGUAUUGGGCAAAAACCAUGAUCUGUAGCUUGCUAUUUUAAUAGAGUAACGAGACAUUUCUCUUUCCUAGUGAGACCUUUUGUUCUAACUUUUAUUGUCAUCUUACAGCUGGUGGAGAAUUUAGCUGAUACAAUUGAAAAUGGAAAUCGAGAUCAGCACUCAGAUGCAUUGGUUUGUUCAUUUCUUGAUUGAUGCAUUAUAUGUUAGUUUUCCAUUUCUUCUACAUUAAACCGGGUGUAUUUUUCCUCACCAGGUAACUGAAUUGAAAAAUCAGUUUGAGAAGUGCCAGCAGCUGUUGACAUCAAUAUCAGGGUCUAUUAGCUCAAGAUCUAUGGUAUUUCAUUUUCACACAUAUCCUUUGAUUUCUGUUGUAACUUGUUCUGAACACACCCCCAACUCAAAAAAUAAAAAGAAAAAAGAGAGAGACUCCAACAAAGAGUUAAGCGCAAUAAUAUGAAAACAGAACUUCAAAAUUAUUCUUUUCUGGAAGAGUUGGAUUGUUUUUCUUUUGGCUGUGUUAUUGCUUUUAAUUGUGCUUUUCCAUUUGGGCCUGUUUGUUCAACUUAUAGUUGUGAAGAAUUUUACUGAAAAGUGGGGUUCAAUAUGUUUGAAACGAUGUUGACUUGAACAAAGUUGCUCCACAAAUUCUUAUUUGGUUGCAUGUUUUGAUGCUUAAAUAUGGGUAAGAUAAUUGACCAGUCCUGUGUUCUUUGGACAGACAGUUGAGGGACAAAAGCGCAAAAAGGCAGAGUGCGAACAAAUGCUAAAUCAGCGAAGGUUUGUAUUAUAUAUAUAUAAAACACACACACACACACAUAUAUAUAUGUGUGUGUGUGUGUGUUUCUAAUAUUGUCUACUGAAAUUUGUAUAAUUAUUAUUUGCUUCAUCUGAUGGUCAUGUUUCAUGCUUAAUUACAGGGAUCUUAUUUCGAGGUACAAAGGCUCAGUUGAGGAGAUUAUUAACUCUGAACUAUAGCUCAUACUCGCAUUUUAACCAAGGUAAAAUUAUGCGCUGCAAGUUGUUUUUGGCCUGCCCAAAAGAAGUUGAGUUGAAUCACCUGUCAUUUUGAUUUUACUAGAUGCAAGUGAAACAACUAUGCAGUGUUCUGGAUGCAGUCAAUUUGUAGUUUGUUGUAAUACAUGAGAAUAAAGUGCUCAUGAGAAAUUUUUAUUGAUGUUACUGUUGUAAUCACUAUGGCGCUCGCCACAAAUGACUGCUCUGACUGUACUGAGAACAUAAAAUGUUUUGGGCCAAGGUUAUGAUAAAGUAAUGCAUUGCCUUCUUAACUGACUGAUUGUAUUUAAAUCUAAUUACAUCAAAGUGAAGCAAAUAAUUGAAGUAACGGUGCUACCCGGGCUCUAGUCAGGCACCUGGAUAGCUGAUUGUUCAGUUUAAUACUUGACUAGAAAUAGUCUAAGCAUUUAAAGUAAUUUAAGUAGCCUGGAGAGUUGAUCUUUCCAUAUAUGGACUUUGAGGGCAUCCGGGAGUGAUCUAUGUUACAUAUCACGUACAUCGAGAACUUCCCGAAGACAUGGCUUUAGAAAAAUGUAUGUUUGCCUAAGUUGUUGGGAGAUUUGAUUUGCUUAAAGAUUAAUAUUUUUGUUACCUUAUGUAUUUUUUUGAGUUGAAUUCAAUGCUACAUAGAAUUCAAAUCAGCAUUAGGAACUUCACAAAUAAGUUGGACAUCGCUAGCUAUCGAAAUAUCUAAGUUAUUAUUUGCAUCAUUCAUAAUCUAUUCUCAGAAAUCGUUAAAUAUUCAUUUAAAGUGCACUUUAACUCUGAAGCUAGGUGAAGUCCGAGUUGGGCGCUUUGCCUUGCUUAAUUGACACCUUGGCUCAGGCAUCAAGUAGCUAAAUAGUGUCCUUGUCAUUUUUAGGAAGUUAGACUAUAGAGUAAAUGUCAACUUAGUUGACGGAUUGAUACAAAAUGCUGUUUUAUAUAUUCUUAAUCGUUACGAAUAAGAAACUAGAAAUUAGAAAUACGAAACUAGAAAAGAAGAAUAGUUAGUGAAGACUUACAACUGAAUUACAUCCAAAUUAGAAAUUCAGUUUCACUUAAUCAUAGUAGUUCUGUUAAGUUUUCUAUCCAAAUGAUUAGUGUAGUAUUAUUUUUUGUGUAGUUAUUUUUCCUUGCUCUACAUAUAUAUUUUUAAUAUUAUUCAUCAGUGUUUUUCUUUGCAUAUGACCUCACUUAAGCUUUUCCUCUCAAGUCCCAACAGAUUUUGGUGCUUUUCUACGCGUUUCACCUAUAAUAUCUCUCGAUAGUUUCAAAUGGAGUAUUCCUCUAGUAGCUGGCUCAAAUUCUUAUUUCAGGAUAUAUUUUGUAAUCCAUGCUGGAUCUGCAUACCAUCUACUGAAGUAAAACAUCUUGAGUCACUAAAAUUCCUCUAUGCUGGUUCUGAGAUCUUGCCAUUUUUCUGUUUAUAUAUGUGACAGAACUUGGCUAAAGUGAAAUAUGAAACAUUAUCAACAAUGAUAUGACGAAACUUUAUUGAACAUCUGAAUUUUCCCAUCUGAUGAAACUUUUUCUUGGCACAGGUAAAACACACUAGCAAACUUCUCCGAGCAUUAGCAUCAUCAUUGUCAUGAGGAAUUUGCAGAAGAACAUUAAAUUCGAGCUAGCGAUGAUGAAUCCUCGAGACUCCAUCAUCAGAUAUGUCUUUAUCAUGUAUUUCCUACAAAACCUAUUUAGUGUUUUAACCUUGUUUGGAUGCAAAUGAUUGCAUCUUCCGCCAUUUAUUUCUAUGAGACUAGACAUCUAGAACUGUUUCCUUUUUUGACCUGUUGACUGCCUUAGCUCUAUUACAAUCAUCAAACCUUAAUUGGAGUUUGCUGGUACCAAUGGUUAGGAAGAGCUACUACACUAGGAAGGCGGCCAAGAUAGAUGACCUACACACAAAAAUUAAAUAAUUCGUAUCGGCAUUUAUAUCAAAUCUCUGUAUGUAUUUGAAUGUUCGUUUAUAAUUGUAAGAUGAAUGUCAUUGAUUUGAGCAAAUAACAGUCGUUAGAAUGGGAUUGUUAACUGUGAUUUGAAUCAAAUACUAUGAAUUACUAAUACUAUAUGCUUUGUGGUCCUUAAAAUAGAACAAUAAUUUAUGGUAUUAUUUAGAGGGUAUUGAUACUUACCCACCUCAACUACACGAAAACAUAAUUUCUUUGUACAAUUUGACGUCAUUUAAUUUUAGGUAUUAGCACUUUUGACUUCUGUACGAGUGAGAGGAAAAAAUAAUUCUCUUACCCAAAAAAUGCCACAUUUUAUUAAAGCUUGAAAAGAAAAAUUUCGUUGAACUCUUAUUUUGGAAAAAGGGUUAAAAAAAAUGUCUUUAAACUGUGUGAAAGGAACAAAAACGCUGUUAAUUCUUUGGCGCACAAAUGCUCUUACUGUCAAUACUUUAGUUCAAAAAUGCCCUUGCAGUCAAUAAUACUUUGGUCCAUAAAUGCCCCAAUAGUUACAAAAUGAGUCGAAAAUGCUUUUUUUCAAAUAAAUAUAUUAUUAUUUUUCUUUUUAAACAUAUCUUCUUCCUAAUUAAAAUAUUAUUAAAGAACACUAUUCUUGUUUCUUUCUUCUAAAAUCACUUUGACAAAUAAAAAUGGUUGGAAAUAUUCUUUUUCUUCUAAGUCUCAUUUCAUCAAUUAAAUGGAAUAAUUUCAUGUAUCCUUUUGAUAAAUAAUAUAUGCCAUAUAUAUAAAUUGAUAGUAUAUCUAUCACUAAUUUAUAUUUAUAUAAUAAUAAAAAAUAUUGAUGGUAAAAUAAAAUUUGUUUCAUUUUUUUUUUUGAAAUAAAGUAAGAUAAACAUUUGCUAUUUUUUUAAAAAAAUUAAUUGAAAAAAAUGUGUCAAAAAGAAAAUAAUACAAUAUUUAUUUGGAAACUAAUUUUUUUGACUCAUUAAAUAACAAUAAGGGCAUUUUUGGAUCGAAAUAUUAAUGACGAGUAUUUUUGGACCAAAAUACAAACGAGACAUUUUUAUUCUUUUUGCGCAAUUUAAAGAUAUUUUUAAAUUAAAUUAUUGACGAUAAAGACAUUUUUAAGCCAAACUAUAAACAAAAGAGAGAAUAAACAAAAGAGAGAAGAGAGUACUGUUGCAAAGCAAGUUAAGUUUAAAUAUAAUUCAAAAGCAUAAGCUAGGCAUUUAAUAAUUAGUGCUUAAAAAUCAAGUAAGGAAUGGAAUUUUCUUUUUGUUUUUCUCUGCUUUUUUCUUUUGGGUUUAAAUAAAUAUAAUAAUAUUACAUUUAUGUUUUUUUCCAGCUAAUAUAAAAAUAGAAAUUCAAGUAAUUUAAUGUCAUUAAUGGAAUUUCGGUUGCAGUCAGAUAUGCUCAUAAAUUAGUAUGUGAUGAAUCUCGUGAACCUUUCAUUUUCAAAAAAUUUCCCUCCUUUCACCUCAAAAUCAAAUCAGUUUUUCGAAAAUCGAAAGAAUAAGAAGCUGAUGAGUUCUCUCCGAUCCCCAAAAUACAUUUAGAUUACCACAUAAGAGAGUGAUUUCAGGUUAUAAAACAGUAAAUCGUAAUGGGAAGUGGCGAUGAUUAUUGCAGUAUCUCCAUUAUCACAGCUAGGGCUUGUACUGAGAUUAGAAAAAGAAGAUCGGAAACUUGUAGCCGGAGUUUUACUACUUGUAUAUCGCCGAGAUGGAUUUUCUCCCGGUGGUUCGAAACAGGGGAGAGAAAUAAGGACGCAGAGAAAGUGAAUCAGCUUCAAUGUGGAAGCACCAGAAAUAAGGGGAAGAAGACGAAGAAGAAGAAGGAGACGGGAUUUGACACCAAAUCAUCUACCGCAUUGGAAGAUCAAGGUAAAUGUUCUUCACCUUGAUGCUCUGUUUUGGGCUCCCAUUAAUAUGACUUCGAGCUGCAUAAAGUUCUUAUUAAAACAGUGAAACACUUUCUAAUAAAAAAAAUUUCAUUCUCAAAGUUUGGAAGUUCGAGAAUUUUGAUUAUGAGAAAAAAAAAUUAUAUCUAUUUUAUCAUAAUUUUUGAUGGUACAGUCUGUUUGAAUCAUUGUUAUUCAUUGUUUCAAAAUGUAUUAUAUUUUACUGUGUUUGGCUAGACUCUAUUGUUCGUUGUUGUUUGAUGAUAUUUUUAUUGUAUGAUUUGACUGCAUCAUACUGUAUUGUAAUUUAUAAAAUUUACCAAAAUAUUCUUAAUAAUUCUAUAGUAAGAGAUUUAACUAGAAUUAUAUGAUAUAUUAUGUCAGGAUAUAAUUAGAAAAAGAAAUUAAGUUACAAUAAGAACACAUCAAAUUAAUUGUUCCAUAAAAUGAGAAUUUUUAUUAUUAUUCAACAACGAAAUUUAACAAUAUAAUACAAUAUAUUGUAAAUAUGAUAACAAAACAGUACAAUAUAAUGCAUAUAUGAUUUUAUAUUGUGUAUAAAAAUAUAUAUGAGUCAUUUUAAUAAGUAACGAAGAAGAUAUUACCUUUAAAUGCUAAAUUGUUACGACUUAAAUACAUGAACAUAUACCAAAAGAUUUAAAAAUUAUGUUUAUUCGAAAUAUAUUUUUAAAAAAGUUUUAAGUCAGGGAGAGAGCCACCAAACGCUAAAGAGAAAUAAAUAAUUGGAGUAUACAUUUCGAAAAUUUAGGUGCAUGGAAAAAAUAUCAUAUUGAUGUCAUUUAAGGCUAGGCAUUUGCUCAUCGUUUUAAUCUAUGUUUGGCCAAUCAAGAGGUGAAAAGUUUAUUUUAUUUUUUUUGCCAUUUCAUAUUAAUUGAAUUUUUGCAAUUUUUUUUUAUAAUUCAAGAUAAAUGUUCCAUUUUUUUUAUAUAUUUGUUUAUUUAUACUUUUUUAGAUGAUAAAGUUCAAGAGAGUUAAUUGCUUAUAUUUAUAAUUUUAUUUUUAAAAAUAAUUUGACAAUGAUUAAAAAAGUAAAAGUGGAAAGUAAUAUUUAAUUUAUAUCCUUAUUUUUUUCCCAUAAUAGGUGUGCAUAAUAUGAAUUAAAUGAGAGUAUAAAAAAGUGAGGUACUUGAUGGAACUUCUGGAAAGGAAUAAAUGUUUAUGUGGGAAAAUAUUAAAUAAGAAAAGAGAUAAUUCUUAUGACCAUAAUGAUCCAAAUAUAAUAAUAAUAUCUUAACUUUAUAAUCUGUUUUUUUUUUGGUUGAUAUUCUUACUCCUUUUAAUAUUUAAAAUUUUCUCAGUAAUUAGCCAUUUCCUUUAUUUCAAAAGAAAAUUUUAAUAUUAAUUUUUCACUUUUGCCAUUUUAAUUUUUUCUCAAAUAAUUCUUGAAAAUAUAAUUCAUUUACAGUAUAAUUGUAAAUAUGAUCAAUUAACUCUUUUGUCACUUUAGAAAAUAUAAACAAAAAAAAAACUGUAUCUCUUUUAACGUUGAAUAAUUCACUAUUAUUAUGCCAUGGCAUAAGUUGGUCCAUGAUAUUUGUUAUUUUAUAAAAUUAAUGUAUAAAUUGCAAUAGGGAUAAUACAUAAAUGUAUUUUAUAACUUGGCUUCAAAUUACGUUUAUGCUCUUCAACUUUGGAUGUGCACAAAUAGACACUUAAACUUGUAUAAAGUUGAACAAAUAGACACACAUGUCCUACAUGACAUUUUUUGUCCUACGUGGUGUCUUACGUGUAUUGUGUCAUAUAGGAGUCAUGUGUUUAUUUAUUUAAAAGUUGAAUAACUAAAGUGACGGUUUGUGCAUUAUGAAAGUUGGAGGUCAAAGUUAAAAUUUAAAGCAAAAUUUAGGGUCCAAUAUAUGUAUUAUGUCAUCGCAAUAUUUUUAUUAUUAUAUCCUUGAUAGUUAAUUAGUCUUGAAUAAUAGUUUGACCAACUUAAUAAAUUAAUAAGUAAUUAAUGUUCAUUGUAAUGAACAUUAAUUACUUAUUAGUUUUCAUAGAUUGGUCAAAUAUAAUCAACUAUCAAGGUAUAAUAGAAAGAAUAUUAUAAUUUAUGAAUUAAUUUUAUGAAAUAUUAAAUAUUACAGAUCAACUAUUUUUAAUAAGAAUGACAUAUAAAAAAGAGCGGAGAAAGUAAUUACUUGAUACAUUGAAAAAUUACUCUCGCCAUUGCACUACUCUUAAAAUCUAAUUCUGACAAGAAAUUUCAACAAACAAAUUAAUAAUAAAAGACAGGAAAAAAAAAUAAUCUUGAAAAUUGAAGCUUCAAUGAAAAUCCAUGAAAAUACUCUUUUCGAAAUUAUUUAUGAGAAAAUAAAUUUAGAGUCACUUUUCAAAAGAUUAGUCAAACACAACUCAGAUGGUGGUCUUUAAAUAGAUUAGUCAAAUGCAAAUUGUUCAUGUACUUUAUUUUCAAAAUAAGUUAUUUUUAGAAGUUUGUCCAUAUACUCUAUCCGUUUAUAAUUAAUUGUCAUAUUUUUUUUAGAGUUAAAUUAUAAGAACUUUGAUAAAAAUUUUAUGAUAUAUUUUUCAUCAUAUUGAUAUGCAAAAAGUUAUAAUUUAUAGUAUUUUUCGUAUAGUUUUUGAAUAUCUAUUUUUUUUUAAAAAAAUAUCGAAUUAAUGUAAUCAAUUUAAUUUUAAAAAUUAGUCAAAUUGACUUUAAAAAAAUGUAACUUGACAAAUAAAAGUGGACUGAGAUAGUAUUAAUUAUUGGAUAUGACCAUGUUUGCUUUGAAAUAGAAAACUAAGACAUACUGCGUGGGCAUUUGACCAUGUUUUAUCGUGAAAUUAAAAAAAAAGUAAUUUUUAUUUUUCAAAUUGGAUAAUGAUAUCUGAAAAUUCGAAUUUCAAUAAAUAAGAUUCAAUUAUUGAAUUUGUUCAUUUUGCAGUAACAUAAAUGAAAUUUCUUACUUCAAGUAGAGAGUCUCAUGCAAUCCAUAUAAGAAUUUGCCUUUAUUAAGUGAAUUAACAUGCAAUCCAUAUGAGAAUUUGCCUUUAUUAAGUGAAAUUUAUUCGUGAUAUAAUAAGCCUAAGCAGAUUUAUAUAUUUCAUACUACAUUUUGUGAUUUGAUCUUCCCUGAAACACAUUAAUCGACAUAUUCAUGCAGGAGGCGAAAAGAAAGCAGAUUCUAUGAACUUAGGCAUCGGAUUUGGUCUAAUUUAUCUGUUUAACUCUACCAAGAAUGAGCUCAACAAGAUCGUUGAGAUUCGUCGAGAAAUGGAAAUCCUGCUUCAUAAUUCCAAGAUGGAGUUACAAAACCAAAGAAGAAUCAGAAGUAAUCCAUCUGGUGCAUCAAAUUUAAGAACCAAAAUCUCACACUAUGAUUCCGAUUCUGUUGAACAGUUUGCAUACUCAACUGAUAUAGAAGAAGAAUCAGAAAUCACUUGCAGCCAUGAUGAUGAUCACCCUUUAAACUGCAAAUUGAUGAAAGGAAAUGGAAAGAAUUCGGAAAUGAACCAACUUGAAGCAGAGCUUGAAGUCGAAUUAGAACGUUUGCAGUUCCAUUUAGAUUCAGAUAUUAUGUUCAAAUAUCCAACAAAACCAGAUGCAGAGGUAAUCCACCUUUGAGUAUAACAUAACUAUAGUCAAUUGCUUUUAGUUUAGCAUGAGCAUCGCGAAAAAAAGGUAUAAUUUUUUAUACUUGUUUUGUGGCAGAUUGUGGAUGAAUAUAGCUCAGGGGAAGGAAGCCAGAGCACAAAAUUUGCAGAGGUCUACAACCCUAACUGUGGCGUUCCUGCCGAAGAAUUGAAAAGGAGGCUGCAUGAGCUUCUACAGACAAGGCAAGAAGAAAGGAUCAAAGAACUGGAGUCAGCUUUAGAAUCCACCAUGCAAAAACUUGCAGACAAAGAAAAAGAGGUAUGUUGGUGGAGAGACACUGCUAAGGUCAUUUCUCAACAUGCUCCAAGUCGUCUUUCACUUACUAAGUUGAGUUAAAAACAACACCCCACCAACCUUGAAGGAAACUUUCCAAAGCUUUUUUGGAUAGAAAAAAUUAGGAAAAGGUUGAUUGCCUAGGAAAAGUGAACCUUUUUCCAUGUAUACAGUUUCAUGUAAAAGAAAGGUGAAGGAAAUAAACCACAACUUAUAUAUCAAAUACUAAAGUUUAGUUUGCAAUAGACUGAUAGUAUAUGGAGGCAUCAUGAACAAUAGCAUCAUCACUGGCUUAAUAACUUCCAUAAGAAGAAAUUUAAGCCCCUUUCGACAUGUUUGGUGUGAGCAUUUAAAAAAAUAAAGUAAUUAUCGCCAUGUAUGUGGCGGCAUAGAGACUACCUCAAUACAUAGGUUCUUUGCAACUACGAAAGAAACACAUGCGUACUGUUGACUGUUAUUAUUGGACAUGAAAUAUUGUUAAUGCAACAACAAAUGUGGGAUGACCUGUAAACUUUGUAGUAUUAUUUUGCUCUCUCAUUGAAUUCUUCCAGAAGUUUCUCAAUCGUCUUCCUUGAUACAAUUUUUUCAAUCUCGAACACCCUCAUCUCAGCAGGUAGACCUGCAGAAAAAAAAGCAAAAUAUGGCCUUCAAAACAAAUAUAAUCUUGAGAUGGAUCAAGUUCUAUAUGAAAAAAUAUAGCUCACUGACCUGAUUGGCGCAACGCUCUGAGUGGUAGUAAAUUUGCAUAGGAGUAGAUAAAAUGGAGCAGGCUUUUCAUAAGCUCAGCAGAUUCAGCUGAGACUAGAAUCUCCCUCUAAAAUUGAAAGCCAGGAACAUGAUUAGAUUGCUUGAACAUCCACAAAAUUGUAUCAAAUAUAAGAUAUAUCCAGAUUAUACAAGUACACACAAUACAUAGUCAUCUAUGCACUAUGAUCCUUCAUCCUAGUUUCUACCCUUAAUAUGUAAACUCACUGCAAAUUCAAGAUGUGGCCUUCUCAUGUUAUAGUUUACAGAAGCAUGAAAAAAGAAAACAAUUAUAGCCAUGAUCUCGUUUACCAAAAUCUGAAGCUGUUAUGCCAUCAUCAACAUCGGUUAGCAAGCUCCAUUUGGAUCAUGUUAAGUUCUCUUCUGUUUCCAAAUAUAAGUAAAGUCGCAACAAGAAUUUAGAAAUAACAGAUUUACAUUGUUUUAGAACACAAAUUUAGUACUAAUCCCCUAGGCACUAACAGUAUAAAGCUAAACUAGAAUGAUAUGAUGACAGACACAAAAUGGAGAAAGCACUCAAAGAGUAAGUCAGUAAACCUUGAAGCUCUUCUCUGCAUCAUAAUACCCUGAAACGAUCAAGAGGAUGUGAAGCUUCUCUAGUUCUGCAUAUACAAAAGAAAAUGAUUGUCAAGCCAAGCUGUGUUAUCUCUCUACUGUGAAAGUUAUAUUUGACAGAAGAGUUAUAGUAAAAAAAGUUCAAAUUCUCUACCAUCCCAGCACCCAGCCCCCUCAUCCUGGCACACAAGAGAAGAUGAACUCUUCCAGAAUGAUAUGAUGACAAUUAUCGUGUGAUUGGUUACUGACUGAAAUAUUAUGCUUCCAAACUGAAAAAGGGGCAGAAUCAAAUAACUUACGCUGGAAACUUCUUAUGUUUUCAGCUGAAGUAGAGUGAUGUGUUAAGAGCUCUCCUAUAGAUAUUCCAACUGAACUCAUUCCAAUAUUUGAGUUCCCCAUUCUUGAUCCUGUACCACCAGGUUUCCCUGCUUCCAACUCUGAAGGUCAGUCCACAUAAAUAGUACACUAAAAACGUCGUUGAAGUCAUAUCAUGUACAUGAUCUCAAAAUGUAAAACUCUUAGGAAGUUUCUCAAAUUUUCAAGUUAUCUGUAAAUUCUAACCAUAACAUGAUUACAUCAAUUUACUCCACAGAAGUCCGUAGACCAUUUUAUAGUUACUUCCCAGAAGAGUUGCUGCUAUCCAAAUAUUUGUCAAAAAAAAAGGAGAGGAAAAACUGAGUUUGUAGCCAGAUUUAUCCUUGCAUUAGGCAGGAAGUAGUAUCAAGGAGAUGCUAAUUACUUUCUAUAGAAGCGACUCAUAUCAGAAAUAAAUCAUCUAGUUUAAAGUGGCACACAUGGACAAGGCAUCUAUACGACAACAUACCAGUGUAAUCCCACAAGUUGUCAAUGAAAGCUUUAAAUAAAGCAUGGCUUUGAAAUGGAAAGGUUUGUAAUUAGGACAAAGAGAAGUUGGUGACAAUACCUGAUUUUGACCAUCUUUUAAUAUCUUUCCGUAAAACUUCUCCUGUUCUGGGGUCAGCUGCAUCCGAUUUUGGCAAAUUUAUAUUAUCUUUUUGUAAAACUUCUUGCAUUUUGGGCUCAGCUGUAUCUGACUUUGACAACUUCUUGAUAUCUUUUUGUAAAACUUCUUCUGCUCUGUGAUCAGUUUCCUCUGAUUUUGACGAUUUCUUAGUAUCUUUUUGUAACACUUCUCCUACUCCAUGGUCAGCUGCAUCGGAUUUUGAUAAUUUCUUAGUAUCUCUUUGUGAAUUUUCUCGUACUCCGGGGUCAGCUGCAUUGAGUUUUGAUGACUUCUUAGCAUCUCUUUGUAAAACUUCUCCUACUCUGGGGUCAGCUACAUUGAUUUUUGACAAUUUCUUAAUAUCUAUGUCUAAGACUUCUCCAACUCUGGGAUCAGCUGCAUCUGAUUUUGACAAUCUUUUAAUAUCUUUUCGAGAAACCUCUCCUCGUCUGGCAUCAGCUGCAUCAUGCAUUUUGUAUCUCACUGAAAAUGACAAAGUUUUAAUUAGGAUAUGAGUCUGAUCACUUGGAAUUAGAAAUCUAGGAUAGUUACUAAAUAUAAUGACUAUCAAAGCUGCAUAACCUACAGAUUUCAUAAAGACCAUUGCAUCCAAAUCGACCUGCCCCAUUUAUCAAUAAAGUGGUCAUGUACUUAUCCUUUGUUGUAGUCUGUGAGUUUGUCAAAUUUCCAGUAUCCAUGAGGAUACCUGCCAACUGCACAUAUAAUCAGAUUUAUACAGAGAUUAUACAACAGAAAGACAUUAGAACUUGCAUACACAAUGGUAAAUCAAGAUGUUGGAGUUAGUACCAGAAGUCGACUGAACCAUUGACCCACUAGUAUCUCUGGUGAAGUUAGUACAAACUUAUCAGCAAUAAGAGUGCAGCAUGAUGCCUCCUACAAUUAAUAAGUACAUAUAAAAGGUGUCAAGCGAGCUUAUAAGAACAAUCAUUUGGUUCCUUCCUGAAAAUUUGAUAUGCUUUAACACAUGAACCUUAGACUAACUCAACCACAAAAGCUAGCUCAUGAGAUGACAGUACUUUCUCCAACGUCUGCUAACUCCUGCUAUAAUUUCUCUUCUUAUUCUUAAAUUCAUAGGAGCACAAUGAAGUCGAACUUAGUGCUGCUUAGCAAUAUUAAUCUCUGUUAACUAGUUUAAGAGGAAGCUGACAUUUAUUGGUAUGUUGACUUCCUUUCAUAUUUGUAACAGAUUGAGAAAGAUACCUUCCCAAUGGUUACAGCAGCAACUGAAGAAUAAGGUGUAUCUUCCUGCAUAAACAGAAAGAUUAGAUUAUAGCCUCUCUAUUAAACAGAUUUUAUUACUUGACAUGACACAAGCAUAAUGGAGAUGCAAAAACAAGAAACCAAAAUAAAAGUAGACCUCUCUGCAAUUGAAGAUUUCAACCACUGCAUCCUUUAAUGCCUGAUACAGUAAGCAGUAUGUAAUCAUCAGUUAACUCAUUAAUAGGAAUUCAGCACCCUUAAAAAGAAUGCGUACCUCCUGAUUAGCUGGAAGCUUGCUACAAUUGACUAAAACAAGUUGAAGACUCCCAUAUAAUUCAUAGUAGGACAGGUCAAUCUGUUCAAAUAAUAUCAAGUUAUCAAUUUAAUAAGAAAAAAUUAGUUGAUCAUAUUUAGAGUAUAUUCCAUUCCUGGUUUUCAUUUACUAUGUGGACGUAAUUCUAGAGAAUCUAGACUUAAAUUUCAUUUCCUUUCCUAACUUUAUAUAUAGAAUAGAACAUACCUCAUCAACGAAAAUUAAGGAAGAUUCAUCAACAAAGCAAGAAUCAAGUAGCCAUUUGAGCUCAGCAUGAGAAUGAACAUCCGACCUUUUCAUGUUGAUGACAGGCACAGUGCAUAACUUGUCAUCAUUUAAUGUUUCAUUCAAGUAAAAAGCAUACAUUAUGGUUGAAGCAACAGAUCCAACAUCUGCAUCCAGAUGCAAACAAACUUACAAUUAAGCUCAACCAGUGUAAGACUCAAAUUGUCAGAUGGUCGCAGACACACUUCCCCCUGAAAUUGACUGUUCUCUAAAUUAGGAUUUGUUCCUUCUCUACUGCAGUAGAUGAAUAAUGCCACAGGACUAUAUAAGCUUAUCAAUUCUCUUUUUUGUUGUUGAAUUUGCUUCCAAUCUAUGUACUUCUAGUCCUAUAAAGUGGUACUUAAUGAAAGAGAUAAAUUUAAACAAUUUGCAAAAUCUGGAAAACAGCUAGUGCAACUUUCUCAAAACAUAAAGAUGAACAAUCAGAAAUACUAAUGCAUUUACUAAGCAAUAUCUGUACUAAUAAUGAAGCAAACUUGUAAAAUCAAAUGUGAUAUUACUAGGAUCUACUUCUUCAACUUUAGGCUUAGACCAUUUGUUACUUUGUGUCCAGAAGCCUCUUACUCUGUUGGAUUUUGCACUCAUUUUACUAAGUUUGUGUUUUCAGUUGGAGACAUCCUGGAUCCAGAAUAGUAUUCUUUGCCUAGUAUUUGGAUAAAUUUGUUUUCUACCUUGUUUAAAUAGAAUUGAACAUCAAGAAACUGGUCGUAAUAGAAAUUGUGCAUGAUCCAAGGACUUCCAUCUGAGACAUUGUAACAUGUUAAUACGGAGAUUACUGUUAUUUAGACAAUGAAUGGUUCAUGGAUGUUACCACAGCAGUCCGGUCCAAUCACUGCAUGCAAGAAUUGUGAUGGUACUCCUGCACUAACAUAAUCUCUUCUUGCCUUUAGAAAAAUAUUCAGCCUGUGAAUUCCUUGACAUGAUCCAAGAACUUCCAUCUGCGCUGAAUUUCCACAGUAGAACGAUGCUGCAGAUGGAGGAAGUGGAAUAUCGGAGACAGUUCUACUUUUCUUGGUCACAGUGUAAGAUCUUUCAUAGGCAGGCAAAGUCAAGCCACCAGGUGAGUGGUACUCUACAUCAGAUGAUUUUGGACUAGACUGAACUGAAGACUCAUCUACAUCAUGCAGAUCAAUCUUCAGACCAGUCCGCGGGCUUCUCACUGGAGGGGAAUUCAAUUUGGAUGCUGCUGACCACCUUACAGAUAAUGACCGACCAAGAGAUUCAUGUAUACCUUUUGAAGCUGAAUUAGGAGAGUGUCUAUCAUUAUAAACAUCAUUUUCAGAUAAUUUCACAGUAAUUUUUUUCUGUCCCCUGUUACCAACAUCAGAGGCUGACCUCGUUAUAUCAUUUAUAGUGACUUUUCUAAGGAUGUCUAAACCACUUCCUUUGUUAAUGGCUGUUGUUUCACCUCUUCGCAUUCCAUCGAAAUAAGGGUCAUCUCUGGCACGUACACAUUUUGCCUGAAAGUAUAGCAGAAAUAGGUAAUGUAAGUACUAAUGCAGCUAUCGGAGACCACAGACACACACUUAAUCAGGUACAAAUUCAAUAGAGCACUAAACUUUGUUUUCAUCUAUGCUAGAAGUAAUAUCAUGAACUUUUAUUCUGCCUUAAUAGACUAUAACAUAUUGGGACAAAUGAUGCAGUUUAUGGGAACAAAAUCUAAAGCAUGAGCUCCAAGCUCGAGCCAAUGGCGGAGCCAAACUUUUCAUGAAGGGGGUUCAAAUUAUGAAGAAGUAAAUACACGAAAAAAACCAAGAGGAUUCAACAUCUACCGUACACACAUAAAAUAUAUCAUUUUAACCAGGUAUACAAGUGUAAUUUUCCACCGAAUGAACUCCCUUACACCCACGUGGCUCCGCCCCGGGGGCAGCAUCAUAAUUAUUAGUUCCUCUAUCCCAAUGUAAGUGGCAUAGUUGGAAUUUCAAGAUUCAAACAUCAAAACUUUAAUUUUGAGUUCGAACCUAGAAGAUUCAAGUUUUUGAAAUAAAAUUAAAUAUUUGAAAACUAUGUAAAAACUUCUAUGAAUCACAAUAAUUAAUAAUUGAAAAAACAUUUUGAAAAAUCCGGAAAACUUGUCAUACUCUUGGAAUUUCAAUUUGCGUCACAUAAAUUGGGACAAAGGGAGUAAUUUCUAGAGCAGCCAAUGAGUGAACCAUGAGUUUCAGAUAUCUGUUAGGAAAUCAAAUAGAACAUGUAAAAAGGAGAUUCUAAAAGUACAUGAAAAAGGGUCUAAUAAAAAUUGAACUUUGAGCUACAAAAAUGUUAACUUCUCACUUUCUGAAAUUUCGCCAUUGGAGAAGAGAAAAAUGAUUUUGAGAAAGAAGAGAAAUAGUCUGUCAAAGAUAGGUAGAACCAAAGGCAACCCAAAUUUUAUGAAAAAAGAAUUAGAAUGAGACGGUUAAGAGUAAGAAAAAACAGAAAAUAAAGCCAAAAAUAGCAUCUUUGUGGAGUCCGCCAUUGCAGCUGCUGUUAUCAUACAAGACAGUUGAGCCAAAACAAACAAAUCUUGGACAUUUCGUUUAUUAUAAUCUCUUUAACACAUUCUUGAAUGUUUUCGAAAAUAUUCUUUCUACAUUUACACAUCACCCUACUCGGACCCCAUUACACUGAUUUAUGAAAAUAAUUAAGGUCCAAAGAUAACGUUGGAAUUAUAUGUUAUUUCAUCAAGCCAAUUAGUAAAUUGAUAUGAUAGAAAACUUGCAUAAAAGUUCUAGCUUUUUCACCAAGCUUUCUUUAUAUAGAAUAUACUGAAAACUUGAGAUCUGAUCUUUCUACUUCCAUCAAACCAAAAGCAAAAAAUUGGAUACAAAAACAUGAACCAAUUAUCAAUGAUAAGGAAUAUCAUUGAUGUCAACCAUGUUUCCACAGAGACCUUCUAUUUUUUCUCUAAUACAUAUGUGUCAAUACUUGGAUUGAUGGUUACUGAGAUGGUAAGCCCUCUAUCAAAAUUGUACUUCAUCACAAAAAUCUUUAUCUUCUAUUUCUUGUUUAAUGAAAGUGCUAGGCCUCGUAGCUCCUCGAAAGCUUGCAUAGUUUCUGCAUCAAAUCCUCCUGCAAACUGUAACAAUGGAGAUAAAAACUAAACUAAGAUGACAUUCACAACAAUUCAAUGCAGGUGAAUUACCAAUCUAUUCUUCAUCUGUAGUAAAAUCCUGUUAUUCACAACAAGACAGCAUUUACUAAUAUCAGACAAACCUGAUGAAUCCGGAAAGCAAAUCUCACUCCUUGGAGUAGCAUGUAGUCCAUGGAAGUGUCUUUAUCUAAUGGUCCUUUGGACUGAAGCUCCGCAGCUACCCUCUUCAUGUACACCUUAGCCAACUUCACAGAGCCAAACUUUAUCUGCAUAAUUUCUUUUGAAUUAAGUCCCAAUGCAAAAUGACAACUAGAUAUCAAGAAAAAAGGUACUGUAUUUUUUUGCUCAGUAUUCUGCAGAGGAGGACUUGCACAUAUGCAAGAAUGAAACUGGAAAUAGAUGAGCAAUUUCAAUAUUGAAAUGUUGAGAUACUGAAAAUGGCAUGCCAGGAUGUAACAUAAAGAUAAUGUACAAUCUUGAAACUCAUCAUCUGUCUCAUAUCAAUUUCUCAUAUUAUUCGGAUUCCCUUCUGGUGGUGAACUAUAUAACAUGCAUAAUACAGUUCACUAACUUCAUAAAUAAAAGUUUUUUAGGACAAUUUAACAUGUUAGCAUACUGCUUAGUUGUGUACUUCCAGUUCCGGCUAGUUAUAUCUCAUUAGAUACUCAUUGUAUCAUUCAAGCUCUAUUACCAUUUGAAGAUCUAAAUCAAUAGAUUAUUUUCUACUUGGAACAGUCAGAACUGACCUUGCUUAAUAUCCCAUUAUCAAGCAUCCAGUGUGUGGGGAUUUUGAACUCUUUGCAGUGGCGCAUCAAUGAGUCUCGUGUCCGAAGAAGGUUAUAGACACUACGUUCCAUCCUGCAAUGUGAAGAUUAAAUUUGGACAAUUAGGUGAAAGAUUUAACUUUCUUGGCAGAAAGACAAGGAGGUACCAAAUUAUAACACUACUUUACGACAAAGUAAGAGGUCAUACUUCUCUGACAAAGAAAUCAUCUUCUUUAGUGCAAUAUCACAUGGCGAUCGAGGAUCGUCCUUGUAAGUUGAAACUUCAUUCUCCAACUUCUUGAGAUCUCUAUAUCCAAAUGCUGCCUCCCUUAGUGUAUCUGCUUUUCUCUCUGGCCAGUCAAAGUGCUUUAGUACUGCCCUUUCAUCCACCUUCAGAACAGUGCAGGCGCAAUGAUCAAAAUUAACAGUAAAUUACAGACUGAAGCAUCUAUUUAAUGUGAAAUGAAAUAUAGCAGAUAUAGUUCCUCAACAUUUGGUAAAAUUUCCUGAGAACUGCAUUUUGCUACUAAGAAUUCAAUUGAUAAUAAUUACUGAGCUUAAUGUCAUACCAUUACAAUGAACUAGGAUAGAUGCAUGAUUUUUCUUUGAGUUAUUCUUCAUUUUCAUAUGAAUAAUACCAAAAAUUUUAAAAUGAGACAAUAACAAGCUUUUCGUUGCUGUGACAGUAGAUAAAGGCAUUCUUCUCUAUGCUGAUAUACUUCAUUAGAUAAUUAACACAUUGAACUUACCAGAAAGCAAAGUUCAUCAUCUAGCCAUUUCACAAAAGCAACCACGUCCUCGAUGUCUGAAUAAACUGCAUUAUUGACCUCUGCUAUCAGGGAAAUCACAAAUUCUGCUUGAGUUUCAACAUCUGCCCUUAUCUGGAAGUGGGACAAUAAUAUGCAAUCAGGAAUAAAAUUAAGUCCAGAGACUAAAUGAAAAAAUCUGAAACUUCCUUAUUGCUGGACUAGUAAUCAGAAAGGAAAAUCAGGGAAAUCCAGAUACAGUGGAUAUCUCAAGUCCUUGAGUGCAAUUUAGUUGGUCAUUGAUAUGGUUAGUGUGCCUUAUUGGCAAUAAUAGAAAUGAGAAGACUAGAGAGGAAGAACUUACAGCCAGCAAAUAAGAUGAUCUGUUCUCAAUUUCACCGAUCAUGCUACUACGAACGUCUGAAACACUUGACGCAUCACAUACUCCUCCAUUUAAUGAAUCCUUCCUCGAGUCUCUCUUCAUCAGUGAAUGAUAAAAUUCUACAACCUGAGGAGCUCUCUGUACCAUGCCUGAUGUAGUUUUCGCCAUAAGUUUUGGAGGUGGUGGGGGAGGAGGUGGGGGAGGUGGUGGUGGAGGACCAGGAACUUGAACAGAAUUUUCUCCUUCUUCUUCAAUUAAAGCAACAGAUGAAGGCCUUGGAGGGGGAUUAGGAAUCCGCAAGACACGUUUCUCGACCUCCAAAGGAUUGGUUAAUUUAUGUUGGGAAACAAUAGGCUCAAUCUCCUUUUCCACUUCCUUGGAACACAUAAAGACAUCUGAUUGCCUUCUCUUAUUAAAAAUCAAGUCCUCAACACAAAAUUUUGAUCCACUUAUCGAGUGCCUGCGAGUAGAACUUUGUGUAUCCUCCCAACUAUGAUUAAUGAUAUUGUCCGGGCUCCCUACUUGUUGCAUAUCUUCAUCAGUAAUAGGCCACUUCUUUAGCUUCUUAACGAGGCUUAACCUCCUCGCACUACUACAUUUUGAGUCCUCAUCACUAUGAUCAUAAGACAAGCAAAGUGAUUCCCUACUUUUCUCACUACCAUGAGGGCUAGAAGUCUUAUCACAUGUCAUGGACGAGCAGCUGCGCAACUCUUCUCGCAAACAUGAGUUCACCCACUUCAAGUAGGCAAGCUCCUCAACCUCAUUCAACCUACUCAUUUGAAGACCCUCAACUUGUUUGCAAAGGUUUUCAUUUUCAUAUCUCAACAAAGAAGCCUCUGCUUUAAUGUGCUCAAUUGUAUCUCCCUGAUAAGAAUAAAGUGAAACAAGAUAUAAUCAAGCCAGCCAAUUACCAAUGUUAGACAAAUUCAAUUUUUUUCGAUACGACAACAACAACAACAUACCCAGUGUAACCCCACAAGUGAUACGGGUUGAACCACAUUUUUCAGUAUAUCACUUGAAAACAAUUAGAGAAAACUAUGCAUUUUAGGCAUAUACAGCCAAUUAAUUCAUCAAGGUUAUUCAAAUUCGAGAUAUCAAAACUGGGUUUCCAAGAAAAUGCAAACUGGAUAUUCCUAUCUCAUAUUAGUUCAAUAAGACAAAGUAGUAAAGUAAAUACCUCUGGAACUUUUCCAACAAUGGCUAGCUGGGACUCCAUGGAAGACAGCCUGCAAGAUAUAUCUCUUUUCUGAAGCUGGAGCUCCUUAUUCAAGCGCCUCAACUCCACAACCUCCAUUUCCAAACUAGUCACACUUUUGAAAUCUUCCUUAUUGGAAUUCGUAUCUUGUCUCUCUCGAGCAGCAGUCAAUGAACUUAAUUGAUGAGAAAGGACUGCCUUUUCACAUUCCAUCAACUCAACUUUCUUGGCAAAGCUAUUAAUCUCACUCUUCUUCCGUUCGAGUUCCCUCUCGAGCUCAACCACCUUUGGACUCCUCUUAAAUUCAGAUAAUUCAGCCUGCAAUUUCAUUUCCCUCCCCUUUGAUUCUUGUAGCAAGUUCCUCAAAUGAUCAAUUUCAUUGAAUAGAUCACGCGAACCGGAAGAUUUAGUCCUGUGAAUGUUAACUGUUUGAGGAUGAACUUGAGAGGAAACGACUGAACAAGACAAGUCUCCCAUUAGAGACCUCUUCACCCUUGGCUGCGAAAUCCCAGAAGAGUUCUUCUGGUUUGAGUUUUCGUUGCCAGGAACCAACUCUUUCUUGGCAUGAAUUAUGGUCUGCAACUUGGUUUUUUUCUCCCCUGAGAAACCCUUCACAAUUUGAGAACCCCAAGAAGAUCUCACUUUUGACAUAUUGUUAUUCCCUUUUACAUUGCUAUUACUACCCUUUGGUGCCUUAUUUUGAUCAGCAAAUUUUGAAGUUUUCACUCUAUUCUCUGAUGAUUUUUCCUCCCCCAUUAUGAACAACUACAAAGACUCCUCACCCCUUCUACUCUACACCUUGAACAGUUAUAAACUCAGAAACCCCAAGUUUCCAUGGAUUAAACUCUAAAUCCCUGAACAUACAAAUGCAAUUUUCUCAUCAAAUAACUAAACCCCAAGUUUAAAGCUCAAAAAUGAAACCUUUUCACCAUAACAUUAGCUCCCGAAAACAGAGAGCUCUAAAUAGGUUUCUCAAAGCUCAAAAUAGACACACAAAACAUGAGCUCCAGAAAACAGAGAAAUCCUAAAUUAGUUAAUCAAAGCUCAAAAUUAAAACUUCUACACCAAAACAUAAGCUCCAGAAAACAGAGCACUAGUUAAUCAAAGCUCAAAAUUAGAACUUCUACACCAAAACAUAAGCUCCAGAAAACAGAGAACUCCUAAAUUAGUUAAUCAAAGCUUAAAAUUUAAACUUCUACACCAAAACAUAAGCUCCAGAAAACAGAGAACUCUAGAUGAUUUUAGCAAAGCUCAAAAACUGAAACUACUACACCAAGUUUCAGCAUUGAUCAUCACAGAUAUCAAAUGGGGUUCUUCAGUUGGAGCUCAAAACCGAAACUUUAUUACUAUAUGUAGUCUCUCUCUCUCUCUCCCUGAAAAGAAAGUGGACCUCAAAUUUAAUAACCUUCCCACUAUAAAAUCAAUUACCCUCAAAAGUUCGAGAGGUUCCCCUCUUUGUUUAAGCUGAAAAACUCAAAUGGGUUUCACAGGUAAUUCAAUUUUGACGAUUCUAAAAAAACCCUUUAAAAAGAAAAAAAAAUUCACUACUCAAAAGCCAAGAAAGCUUAUGAGUCGUGUUGUCGUUUCUGUGAUCGUGCGAACAAGACGCUCCUCUUUAAAGAGACAAAUCAUUAGUUGAAAAUGAGAGAAAGAAAAGGCUCAUACUUUGAGGAUUUCACUAUACAUUUCGAGAGAGAAAAAAAAGGGAAGCUUGUCGCAGCUUUAAUGGCUGUUUGAAUUUUGAAAUUUGAAUUUGUUCUUCUUCCUGCAUAAACUGAUCUUUGCCGUAGGAUUUUAGUUGGUCCCACCUGCUUACGUGUGAUGAUCUUAGAUGAACGGUUGAGAUUAGAAAUUUAAGAAAAAUGUUCUGCAACGGUCGAUUAAUUUGCAAAAUUAGUCAACUCUCCCACUACAAUUUGCUUUAAAAAUCCUUUUCAAACUAUGCCAAAUUUUCAUACCUCCUUCCAUCCCGUUUCAUAGUAGAUUUUGAUGUUGAAAUUUAAAGAUUUAAAUUUUUGAAAAUGCAAUUUUAAAAAUUUAAAUUUACAUUUUAUUUGAAAAGGAAAACAUUAUGAAUAACAGUUCGUGUAAACUCAAAAAUUAGUUUAAGCUAAUUUUUGACUACUGAAAUAUUAGCCUAUCAAAUAUUUGAAGAUAAAUUUACUCCCAAAAACUAACUUCGUCUUAUUUAUUUAUUGUUACUUCCCAAUCCAAAAUAAUUAUUAUUUUAUAUUUGGGCAUAUGAUUAAGCAGACUUGCGUCCAUAGUUCCGUGUAAUAAGAUCAUACCGCUAAAAUUUAAAGGUGAGUACAAGUGGUUAUAUUGAGAAUGUUGUAUGGAGUAAGAAGUAGAGUGUUAACCGAUCAAGAAUUUUAUAUGCUGGAGACGAAAUUUAAAUCGUAAGUGUCUUAUUGGAACACUUUACUAAGAAAAAUAAAAGAUUAGUAAUGAAGAUAUACAAGAUAAGGUAGAGAGUAGUUUCGAUGAUAGACGAGAUAUAAUAAGUGAGACUUACAUAGUUCAAAACAUAUGAAAAAAGAAAGCUUCUCUCUAUGGAUGGUUCAGGAGAAAUAGAGGUAUCAAAGAAAUAUUAAGGAAAUAUGAGCGGACAUGACAUGACCUAAUUAUAAUUUAUCGAGAACAUGAUCUUAGAGAUAAGGGUAUGAAUAACAUUAAUUACACUUGAGUGUUUAUCUAGUAUAUCCUUUUAUAGUAGUAAUUGUGGAAUUAUUCUUGUUGUUAACUGUUAUUCAAUUUAUGUUACUUUUUAUUGUUUUUUGUACCAGAUUUAUGGUCUUAUUUAGUUGUAGUUAUUGAUUUUUUUUAAGAAUGUGUUAUAUUUUUUAAAAAUUUCUUGCCGUGGCUUCUUCACUCAUGUUACUUCUUUUUUACUUGGACAAUUUUUGUUUCGAUAAUUUAUCAAAAACAGUCUUUCCGUCUUCGUUUACACUUACCUCACUUAAACUCCACUUUUAUGAUUAUAUUAAAUAUAUCAUUGUUGACCCAAUACAUAUGGUUCUUUUUUAAUAAAUAAAUAAAUUAUUUUCAUAUCUUUAAUUUUUUUUAAAAUUUUUUUUAAAGUUUAUUUUAAAAGAAUGUCUCUUUUCGUUUUUAGUAACUCUUUGAUUUUAAUUUUUCAUAUUAAUAAUUAACACCAUAAAAUUAAAAAAUAUUAUGAUACAUUCUAUUUAUCUUUACUUUAAGAUCACAAAAUUAAAAGAAUCUAUAAUUUUUUAAAUUUCAUAUCAAUUCAAAUUAUAUUUUUUUAAAAGGAUUGAAAUAGAGAAAGUACUAUAGAAGUAGAAUAAUAAAUUUAAACUCCAUAAAUCUCAAAUUUAAAUUCUUAAAAUUCUUUUCUAAUAAGUGGGGUGUUGGAAGCAAAGAAUAGCUUAAAAAAUUAGAAAUAAAUUACUAAUAAGUGUUAAAUAUGCGUUUGACAGUAUGAUUUGGGGAUUUUAAUUUGAAAUCAACAUUUAUUUAUGAAAUAUAAUGAAAAUCUUAAUUUUAUGAUCAUUUCUCUAUGAUUUCAAUUGCAUCUUCAUUUAAUUUACUUCACUGAUAGGCUCUCUAACAAUUCAAAACAACAUUUAAUAAUAAUCAGAAUAUUCCGUUAAUUAAUAUACUAAUCAAAAACAUUUUAUAAGUGUUUUGUUUUAAAAGAACGAGGUAUAUUUAUUUACUUUCAACAAAUUUCAUUUGAUUAUUUUUAAUGAUUGUCUGAAUUUCAAUUAUUCAAAUUUCUAUUUAUAUUAUUAAGUACUUAUGAGUAUGUCUUAAUCAUUAAAAUUUUGAACAAAUUUUUAAAAUCAUUAAUAAUAUUUCAUGUGAAUAAUCUUUACUUGUGUUCCUUAGGUAAAUCAUCAAUCGUCUUUAUUGUCAAUCAUUAGUCAUUACCAUCGACCACCUUUAUUAUAACAACUAUGACAAACUAUCGUUACUAUCUUUAUCUUUGUAAUAUAUUCAUUACCGUCAUUAUUGUUACGAUAAUCUCUAUUAUUAUUUCAACCACUAUCACCAUCGCGACCAAUGUAAUAAUCACCUCCUUCUUUGGAAGUAACAUCACCAUCACCUGGCAUCAAUACAUCAUUAACUAAUAACAUCAAUCGUCUUCACCAUUAUAAUCAUCAUCACAACCAACCUUCAUCGGCAUCAUUACUAGCCAGCAGAUAGCUACUAAACUAGCCAUUACAAGCACUUAGGGCUCGUUCAGUUUGAGUUAUAAUGUAUAAUAAUCUCAUGACAAAAUAUAGAAUUAUUUUAUCUUAUGUCUGAUCGGAGGUACUAGGUAGUCAAUGGACUAGUUAUUCUAUCAUUUUUAUUAUAUUAAUAAUAUAAUUUUUCUCUCAUAUAUAAUGAAAUAACUUAUCUCAAAAUUAGUUAUCUAGCGACAAUUUGUUUCCAAGCAAAUAACCCUUAACAUUACACUAUAAACUAAUAUCCGUUAUCAUUCCGAAACAUAAAUAAUCAUUUUGUUUGUAUUAAGCAAUACCUUAUUUUAUUAAAUUUAUGAAUUUUUUAAUAUAUUUAAUUAUUUUUAUUUAAUUUAUAUGUUUAUAUGCUUACAAAUAAAUUAAUUAUGCACAUAAUUUCGAUCAUUAACAUCUUAACAAUAACGAUUUGGACCCACCUGCUAAUCUCUACCCGUAUUUGGACCCGAUUCCGGAAGUGACCAAAACGGCUUUUGAGUUUUGGCUAACCAAAAAGCACUGAACAUUCAUAACUACAUGCCGGGAAAAUCCUAUCUUUGGUCGCCGGCGGCCGACGGAGCAAACCAGGAAGAAGAAGAAGAAUAAAGUGCAGCCUUUAAUGCGUGGUUGAGUUGAGAUGGUGGCAAUUAUCUUGACAGAAGCUCUAUUUGGAGCUUCACUUUGUACUGAUUUCAAUGGAGUUUUUGGUUCAAAUUACCUCCGUUGCCCUUGUUUUUCAUCAGGAUUUUCAAUUUCCGAGACACCCACUUUAGAAAUUUCUCUGGGAAAGAAAAAGGUUAAGAAGCAGAAGAGGAAUGCGGGUUCCAUUGUAGUUUCUUGUGGCUUAGAUAAUGUAAUUAAUAGAGAAGAGCUUGAAUUCAAGCCUUCAUUUGAUGAGUAUUUGAAAGCUAUGGAGUCUGUUAAAGAAAAGAAACAGAGGGAUAGUGUUAGAAGAAAGAAGAGUGAAGAAAAGGGCAAAUUUGUGAAGUCUGAGAAGGAGAAAUGUGUAGAAAGUUCUGAUUUUGUGGAGCUGAAUGAGAAAUAUGAAGGAGUUGGAGUUGUAAAAGAGAGUGGUGGUGGUGGUGGGAAAUUGGAAUUUAGAAUGGUGAAGAAUCAGAAAAGACAGAGCAUAAGUAAGGACAAGAAUGUUGAUGAGAUGGUGAGUAUGGAAAGAGAGGCUUUUAAGACAAUGGAUGGAGAUGUUUAUGAUAAGCCAAGAGUUACUAAGGCAGAGAUGGAAGAGAGAAUCCAAAAGCUUGCAAAGUGGUGAGUUAUUCCUAGUUUUGCACUUUGGUUAGGGUGAUUUCCCAUUUGAUAAAUUCCUCAUUUAGUGGUAGUGAUACUGUUUCUUUAACAUGUUCUGUUUUGUUUUAUUAUAUUGUUUUUAGAUGCAUGAAUUGAUUGAACCUGUCAUAUUUCACCUUGAUUUUGGUUUACUAUAAGGUAAUAUGGUUUACAUAUGAGUUGCUAGAGUAGUUUUCCUUGUUCUUUUUCUGGUAUAACCCUUCAUAACAUAGUGAGCUACCUGUGUAUACAGAGGCUAAGAGUAAAAUGACUGAAUAUGUUACAAGAUUAAAAUUGGUUUGAAAUAAUUAUUUGAAAUGUGAGCAAGUGGAAAUUUGUUGAAUGUGAAGAUAUAAAGAUAUACUUUUCGGACAAAGAAGAUAUAAAGAUAUAUUAGUUUUUAUUAGAAUUUUCGAGGGGAGAAUGGGAUUCAUUUAGGAAGAUGUCAAGUUUUUUGUGUUAUUCCAAAUAGGGAAGUAUGUGAAGUGUGGUGAAGUAUAUGGAAUAAGCAGAAUAGAAGAUUUGUCUCGUAAUAGUGAAAAUAAUACACUUGUAUAUUUGGGGUAGUGAGAAAAUACCAUGUUGUGUCAAUAAUUGGUGGUGGAAGAGUGAAGACGAUGUACGAAUCAAUCAGAGUACACAUACAUCUUGUACUCAUUUUUUUGGCACCUACCUGGUGUAUAUAAUGAAACUUUUUGACCUGUAUAACAGUAGUGUUUUGGGUUCACCUUGAGUAGUAAGGUUAAACUCUUGGAAAUUGUUCUUUUCCAUUAGCAGGUUACAUAGCUCUUAAGUGCUUCACAAUUAUGUUUAUGUUUAUUAUCAAAUAGGAAUAGGGAAAAAGGUGGGAAAUAAAUGUUGAAGAUAGCCUGGAUACUCAACUCUGGGGGUUAAUUUGCAAAGGAGCCGUUCCAUUAAUAACUGGUGAUAAUUUUGACAUUUUCGUUUCAGAUAAAAAAAAUUAAAGUUGAACAUAUUGAUGUGAGAUAGUGCGAUUCCCAUCGUUGGUGCUGCUUUAAGUUUGUAACAUGCAUGCGUUUUGCAUCAUGUAUUGUUUGUAUCGUAAGAGGUGCCAUCUCUUUAUGUCUAAAUAGCAUUUUCUUCUGAUGUUGUGUUAGUCUCUCUCGCCUGUACACUUUCCAUCUAGCAAUUCUUUCCCCUAAAUCUAACCGAAGUUGGCAUGCCCAAUAGGAUAAACAGUUGGCGAUGAGGCAUACUCUAGGUUGCAUGGUUGAGGCCAAUAUGGCAUGCCCAAUAAAAUUAUAGAUAGUCAACUAAGAUGGCAUACCCAAUAAAAUUAUAGAUGCAACUCAUCAGGACUUUUUGGUAAAAAGUGAGGGUGCCAAUACCUUAGAGGUAAAGAGACUGUUUCCGAAUAAGUUGAGUGUGGAAGAAACUCAAAAGAAAUACUAACUCUAACUUAACUUAGACUAUAUGUCUUAGAACAACUGGGAUAAUGGCACAUUGUUACAGAACAGUCGCUAGGCAUUUCCUCCAAUUCUGGUUUAAUUUGAAGUUUGUUUUCUAGAGUCAAAUGUUAAUUGGUAAAUUGUGUAAUCAUGGUUUUUCUUAAUGCUUUAUUGCAUCUGUGUGCUUUGUCAUGCUCAGUCUUUUUUCUCUUUUUUGGAUAAGAAUCUCUGAAAACUAGUUAUAUUUGACAUUCAAUGGUGCAUAAAGGAUAGCUAUAUGUUUGAGUUACACUUAUGGCCCCUCUUAUGCAUGCCUUACAGAAAAAGUGCCUUGUUUGUGAAGUUAUGAAAAUAAUUCAAUUCCCACAAUCUCCUUCCCAAAUUCCAUAACAAACACCACAGAAUAAAAAAAUGAAGGUUGAUGCUUAUCUCCCCAAAAAAGGACCUAUGUUGUAGUUAUUAAGGAUCCUCUAAAAUUGCUUAACAGUUGGCAGUUCGUUAGUAUACUCUUCUUUUCUGACUCGUAGUAAAAUAUUUUACUCGUACAGUCUAAAUGGUGCGGACAUUGACAUGCCUGAGUGGAUGUUCUCUCAAAUGAUGCGAAGUGCUCAGAUUAAAUUCUCAGAUCAUUCUAUCUUGAGGAUUAUCCAAAUAUUGGGUAGAUUAGGAAAUUGGAGACGGGUGCUGCAAGUCAUUGAAUGGCUUCGUUCACGUGAGCGCUUUAAGUCACACAAGUUAAGGUAUCUUUUCUGUGACCAUUUUUUCGUACUCCUUUAUCAGUAGGAAACUUGAUAGCCAUUUUAGUGUAUUGAGAUAGUGCAAGGUCUUAGUGAUUCCUGAAAUAUAUUCUGUAUUUUCUUGAUUUGGGAUUGUGAUACUGGUGAUUGAUUUAGAUGUGGUGCUGAUGCUUAUGUUACAGUUAGCUAUGUAUGAUGAUGUUAUCAUAAUUACUUUCAUAUAUGUGAAGAGGUGACAUAACAAUGCUUCAUUUCUAUAAGUUUGUCGGAGCUUUUGUUUUUGUUGUGAUAUGCUUGAUUUACUAUCUAUAUCUUCAACGGUAAUCAUUCUCAUGGAUCUUUUACUUCCUUCAAAUGUGUCGUAGGAAAGCAUUUUACAUGAAACUCUCAAAAGAAUCUACCUGAUCUUGUAAUUUUUCCUUUAUGAACCUUCUAAUAAUGUUCUGAAAUUGUUCUAAGUAUUGAAUUAUAUUUUCGGUGGCACAUCCUUCCGAUCUUUUGUUCUGGUUGGUCUAGGAUCAAAGUCUUUAAUGGAAAAUUGAUGCUGAUGGACCCUUGGAUUGAAUUCUUUUGCAAGAUAUAUUUACACGGCUGCACUGGAUGCACUGGGAAAGGCAAAUAGGCCAGUGGAAGCACUAAACUUGUUUAAUGCAAUGCAGGUAACACCUAUAAACUUUAUUUCCAUGACUUGAUCUCUCCUUUAAUCAAUAUCUUGUGUCCUAUUGAGAUGAUAGCUUGUGUGAUAUGUAACUAAUACAUCCAACCUCAACUCAUUUCCGUAGGAGCACAUAACAUCAUAUCCGGACCUUGUAGCUUACCGUUGUAUUGCUGUCACUCUUGGACAAGCAGGACAUAUGAAGGAACUAUUUGACGUCAUCGAUACCAUGCGGUCACCACCCAAAAAGAAGUUCAAGACUAAUAUAAUUGAGAAGUUUGAUCCACGACUUGAGCCAGAUGUUGUCGUCUAUAACUCUGUAAGUAAUUGAAGAGUACGCAAUAAGGGCCAUUGUUCUUGGUUAAAUGCACUUGUGGCUCUGACUGCUUUAUCAUUUGGUAUAAGAGAGUGAUGUUGUUUCACCAUCAUGCUGGGAACUUCUUCUGUUCAGUAAAGAAUGAGAGUUUAGCAUCUUCCCUAUUUUUAAGGAAAAGAUAAUCGAGAUAGACACAAGAAAAACAAAGCAGAAUUAGAAGCCAAACGAUAAAAAAAUUCAGCUUGGCAUUGGUAAUUUAUCGUUGCUAUGUCUGGAAAAUUGUACUUACGAUCUAUAGCUAAAUGGUUAAUGCAUCAGUAAUUCCCCCUUUUAAUUAGCACUAUAUCCAGUAAUCUAUGCAUCUCUACUUUCCUGUGGAAGCUAGGUCCCAAAAUUUGAAGCAAUCAUUUUAACUCAGUACUAUUGCUCCCUGCAUGCUAAACUUGUUUUGGUAAAAUAUGUUUCCUUGACAGAGUUCGUUUUUGAACUAUAAACUCUUCAAGUAAAUAAAUACAUAAGAUAAGGAAAGGAGAGGAGACAAUCAUAAGGGUACAUCCAACUAUGUGGAGCUCUUCCUAAUGAUCUGUGACUCGGUCUUGGUUGAAGUUCUUGUGUAAUUUUUGUUCUUGAUGCUAAAACGUGCUGCAGUCAUUUUCUGCUGGAAGUCAGUAUAUUUCAAUUUGGUUCAAAUGCUAACUCAUGAGAAUGAUUUUGCUCUUUGCUUGUAGGUGUGAGUAUAUUUUUUGUUGGUUCAAAUGAGAUGACAGAUUUAUGAGAACAAUUUUGUUCCUUGCUUGUAGGUGCUAAAUGCCUGUGUUCGCCGUAAAAGCUGGGAGGGUGCCUUUUGGGUACUGCAACAGCUAAAGCUCCGGAACGAGCAGCCCUCAAUGACAACAUAUGGAUUAGUCAUGGAGGUAGUUGUCUUCUUAUUUUUUUCUGUAGGUGUUUAGACUUUAGUGUGGGGUGACAGUUUAGAAGGCUAUCAAACCAUUGGGUCUUUUUUGUAUUUUCUCUCUUAACAAGGAGUCACUUCCACCCUAAUUAGCUUCAAGCAGCUUAGCUCCCAUGGGAGGUUUUCGGACAUUUGUUGGCAAAUACUUACAUGAACUGGCAUCUCAUGUUUUGUAUAACCCUUAACAUCUGGCAGUAAUUGGUAUAUGCUGUCCUUGAGAUGGGAAAUUACAUUGCUACAUUUUUCUUCUUAUGAUGUAAUUCCUGUCUUCAUCAAAGGAAAAAUGAGAUUAAGUACAAGAUGACAUAAUGUGUUUGGUAUAGCUGGUAUAACAGAGAGCUUCUAAGAGAUACAUAUCCAUAACACCUCAUCCAAAAAAAGAAGAGAUUUAUAUCCAUAACAUCAGAAGAUUCUUAUCUUUUUUAAUAGACCCUUAACUCGAGAAUAAGUGUCAUCUUACACCUAUAUGUCAUAAUAAUAUUAAUAGCCAAGUCCCUUAAGCUCCAAAAAGCAAGCCGGAGAUCUGGAAGCUUCUCGGAUAUCCACUUGCCAAGGAAAUUAGAAGAGCUAUUUUUCAUGAAGUAUGUCGAAAGACCUCUACACAUGUAAAUGUCCAACUACAAAUGGACUUCAAUUUGGAAAAAGAUAACUAUUGAUCAAUUUAAUAGUGAUUAUAUUUUGAAAAACUGUGGUUAAUAGUGUAUCCUACUUCUUACUUCUGAUGAACUUUUCAUGAUAUGCAUCUUUUGUGCUUUAAAUUUUAUUUUAAUAUUUAAGCUAUAAAUGAGAGAAGAAUGAAGAACCUGCUGCAUAUUGCAUAUUUCAACAGAGGAGAAAAAAGAAAAGGAGAGAGAAUCUUAUAGCACAGUAAUCUAGCUGAUUGGCCCCCUUUACUCAUUUCUUCUAUUGUUGUGAAAGGACUGUUUCUUCUUUUACUUCCCUUUUUUAAAAUACUUUUGGGUUGGUGUGGGGUAUGGGAUCCCUCUAUGCAGGCUUUAGUGCUUGCCUGGAACAUAUUAGUUACGGAAAUAUGUUUGAUUAUACUAGUAGCUAAACUGAAGUGUUCAUUCAGGUUAUGUUCGAAUGUGGCAAAUACAAUUUGGUUCAUGACUUUUUCAAGAAAAUGCAGAAGUCAUGUGUUCCCAAUGCUUUGACCUAUAAAGGUAAUGCAGAAACAUGUGCUUGGUUGACAUGCUGCAAGGAAUUUUUGCUGAAUCAAGUUUUCUUUGAUGCGUGUAGUUAUUGUGAGUACUCUUUGGAAGGAAGGGAAAACAGACGAGGCCUUACUGGCAGUAGAAGACAUGGAGCGACGAGGAAUCGUGGGCACUGCCAGUUUGUAUUAUGACCUUGCUCGUUGCCUUUGUAGUGCAGGGAGGUGUGAAGAGGCGCUGAUGCAAGUACGUUUCUUGUAAUAAGCUUCAAUUGAUCUUAUUCUAUUAUGCAAUUCUGUUUCCGGGCCCAAUGAUUUAUCUUGAAUAUUCAUAUACGCUAUUAGACAUCAAAUGAAAGGACGUCAUCACGUUUCAGUAAAGUUGUUCCUUCAUCAAAAUAUUUCAUUAUGUUUCUGACUAUAUAACAUUUAGAAGCAAAAUGCAAUUGAUACGAAGGUAGCAUACAUAAGUACGUGAAUGUCCUGAUUAAAAAGAACAUAAGUACGUGAAUGCAAAUUCACUACUAUUAUUCUUUAUAUGAACUGCAAAAAAAUAAUCAUAAGCUAUCUGUAGGACUGCAAAAACACCCACAAGAAACCUAAGCUUGUACUCAAUCCUCAUAUAAUUCAAAAUUCUAAGCACUGCUUGUCUGAAAUUUUCUCAAGUAUUUUAUGUUUUCUGAUUUGUUACUUCACUCAUAGUUUGCUGAAGAGGUUAGUGCUCUUUUUGUUCAUCAAGAAUUUCAUCUGUGUGCUAGGAGAUCCUACUAAAUUCAUCCUUGAACAAUCAAUAACUGUGAUGGAAUGAAACUUCAUCUCAUACUUUUUCAAGUGAGUUAAAUUAAAAUUGUUACAUUCAUUUUCAACCGAGUGAUAUUCAGGACGUUGUUGUGCAGUUCAAAUAACUGGUAUUAGUUCUCUAGAUUCCAUGAUCGUGUAGCACAUGAAACUCUUGUUGAUUUUGUCAUCCAUGAAACUGAUUAGUCAAGCCCAUUUUAUGUGGACUUUUGAGCAUCCCAUAUUUGGUGUUAGAGUGGGUAAAAGUCCCACAUUGGUUGGGGAAUGGACUGGCGGUCUCCUUAUAUGGACUUGGGCAAUCAUCCCCUCAAAAGGAAGCUUUUGGGGAUGAGCUAGGCCCAGGUGCCAUAUCUUUACAUGGUAUCUGAGCCAGGUCCAUCCCCGUUUAGGCUCCCAGUCCACGCUCUAGUCAGGCCUGGGCGUAAAGGGGGGUGUUAGAGUGGGUAAAAGUCCCACAUCGGUUGGGGAAUGGACUGGUGGUCUCCUUAUAUGGACUUGGCAAUCCUCCCCUCAAAAGCUAGCUUUUGGGGUUGAGUAAGGCUCAGGUGCCAUAUCUUUACAUUUGGAAAGCAGGAUUUGUCUCGGAUUGUCCCUGUAGAUCCAUUGCGAUAUCCAUUACCUUUACGGCAUUGUUAAAUAUGGGACUGUUGAAAUUCCCUCAGUCAUUGAAUAAGAGGUUUUGAUUGAUUAUCAAGGAGCAAAGAAUUUAGGCCAUAAUACCAAAGAACAGAUAACUUAUUUAUACUUACAUGAUUUGUGUUGAUUAUCUCCAGAAAGACCUUUCAGUUAAAUACUAAUGUUCCUUCUAUCUUUGGGUCCAUCUUCUACUGUGGAACAGAUGGGAAAGAUAUGCAAAGUUGCUACGAAGCCUCUAGUGGUGACUUACACUGGUCUAAUUCAAGCCUGUCUGGAUUCUGGUGACAUUCAGAGUGGAGCAUACAUCUUCAACCACAUGCACCAGUUCUGCUCCCCAAAUUUGAUAACUUAUAAUAUAAUGCUAAAAGGUUAUCUAGAUAGUGGGAUGUUUGAAGAAGCAAAGCAAAUGUUUUUCAAGUUAUUGGAUAAUGGUAACUCUAUUAGCAGUAAAUUGGACGGUAAGGAUAAGGUUUUCCCAGAUGUCUACACAUUCAACUUGAUGUUGGAUGCAUGUGCUGCUGGAAAGAAAUGGGAUGAUCUCAAGUUUGUGUACUCACAUAUGCUGAAAUAUGGAUACCACUUCAAUGCAAAGCGUCACAUUCAGAUGGUACUUGACUCCUGCAGGGAUGGAAAGGUACACUUUGUCAACCCAGUAUUCAGCCUUUCAUGUUCAUUGGUUGUCAUUCCUAGGAAAUUCCCAUAUGAAAUUUUAUUUAGCUGAUCAUGGUGUAGACUGUCAAAUUAUUGUACAACUUUCUGUUUUGUUGAAAUAUAACUAGCUUUUCUUUAGAGAAAAUAUUUGAAAACUGAUCCGCCCCCAAUUUUCUGUAAAUAAUAAAACGAUGUAACUUAUGUGUCAAAAAGUAGUAGUAUGAAACUUGUGCACAAAAUUGAAUCAGACCAGUACAAUAAAACUAAUUCUUUUCUUUCUAUAUUAUAAAAACUAAUUUGAUCUCUUUAUAGUCUGUUUAAGAAAAAAAUUGUAAGUUCUUGCUAUAAUAUGUGUCGAUGAUUUUGGGUAAUAAUAGAGAUCAACACACCUAGGAUUGUUACAGCAAAGAAAAGAAGCUUUUUUAAUUAGUUUCAUCCUUUAGCCAAGUCUUUCUUGCUCAUACAAUACCUCCGGAUGUUUUUGUUUUCCUUCUGUGAGAACUAUGAGUUAUUUGUUUCCUCAUGUACUUGCUGAAGUAUAACUGAUUAGUUGGGUAGUUCUUCACCGACCUAAUUGGUAUUAUGGAUGUGAAGAUAAGAGCAUGAUCGUCAGCACUCGGAAUUAUUUUUGUUGGCUGAAGGAAUUAAGAGGAUGUUCUGGGAUGGAAAAUGCUGUCUUAACUUGUGGCCAACAAAUUUCUUGCUGGAAUGAGAAACCAGUGAACACAAUGGGGUUUCUUUUGAUUACCAGGGUGGCAUACGUGGAGUUCAAAUUGUUUUCAAUUUGAUGCCAGGUACUAUGACAAGCCAAUGGUCUGAGAGUUAUCAGCUCAUAUGUCACGUACCUUUUGUGAUUGUCUACCUACUGCUAGGAAUAAAAAAAAAAUAGAGAGAGGAGUGGUGGUUGGCACUCUCUUUUCCCUGUCAGUGCAGGACGCAGGGAAGUUUGAGUUAGAAGGUAGCUUGGGCUUGAGAAGAUACUUUCUACUACAUAAGGAGCUUGACUGGGUUGCUUGAGAAGCUUCCUGAAUCUCUUUUUUCUUUUUUAUACAGCUGCAUCCCGUUUUCUAGUUCUGGAGUGAAAUAUUAUGGUUUUUUAGUUUACUGGGAACACACCUCGAACUUCCCAAUAAUUUCCAAGGGUGCAACUACUAUCCUUUUAUCACUGUAGAGCACAACGUUGUGACCUAGUGGUCAGUAAAGACAUCUAUGAAGACAACAUUAGGUGGUAAUUCUUCCCAUCUUUCUAAGCUUUUGGUGGUCUGAAUACCACCUUUACAAAAAUAAAAAUAAAAACUAUCCCUAUUACCGAAUGACAGUAUCAUUGGUUUGUCAUAUCGAUCUUUUGGGCCAGUAUACUAAAGUGAAUCUAAGGUUGUUUUGGUUUUACUCUGACGAUAUCCCACUUUCAUUUCUUUAGCUGAUGAUAGUUAAGAGUUAUGACUAUUCUACACGGACCUUUUCAGGUGGAAUUAUUGGAAGCAACAUGGAAGGACUUGGCUCGGGCUGAUCGGGUUCCACCAGUGCCACUAGUCAAAGAAAUGUUCCGCAUGCAGCUGGAAAGAGGGAACAUUGCUGCUGCCCUGACUUGUGUUACUGAUUAUCCUCCUGCUGAGUCUCAGGCAUUUUCUGCCAAGUUUUGGAUGAAGUUUUUUGAGGAAAAUUCUGAUCAAUUAUCAGACGGUACGCUUUUCAGAUUGCUACAAGAGGUGAGCCGGAUUGUUGCCAGAAAUGACAGCAAAAUACUCAACAAUCUAAUGGCUUCUUGUAAAGAAUUUUUGAGAACUCAAUCGACAAAAGUAGAUAGAGUUCAUAGUGAAACAGCUCUAGUUUGUUAACUUUGCUACAGCCCAAAAGAAGAAAAAUCAUCAGAUACUGAUCUGUUCUUGAACAAGUGCUCUAUUUGUUAAGAGUUAAGAGUCAAGUUCAUAAUCAACUAUUCUUUAUCAGUAUAAUCAUAUUUGAUUGUUUAGUUCAGCAAGAAGUUAUUGGAAAGAAUUACCUUUGCCAAAAUUGAUUUCAAAUUGUUGGAAAUUAUCAAAUAUACAGAAUUUAUUACUGAUAUGGUCGAAGCAACUUCCAUUUCUCCAAAAGUGGAGGCAAUUAUAACACCCAGUUUUCUAUAUACAUCAAGAAUAAACACGCAACAAAUUCAAAUGAGCAUAGAUGAGGGACGAAGCUAUACUGGCCCAGAACUAUUAUUGAUCUAAAUAUAUGUUUUACUAGACUAAGAUACACAUCAUAUAUGACUGGAUAAAUAGGCUGACUAAUACACAAAACUGUGUCAUGUAAUUCAAUCUAGAUGAACGAAAAAAUAUAGACCCCUCUUUCGCUUCCAAAAAAACUACUCUAGCAAUACUAAAAAUCCACGACAAUGUUAAGCUGUGUGAUGGGGUUCAUGUCGAUCUUCCACAACGAUAAGUUGUCAAUGCAUUACGAAGACUUGACCAGAGAUGAACCAUAACCAUUAAGGUGUGAUUUCUGCCAUCUCCAUGCAACCUGCAAACUCUCUUGAAGAUCAGUGUGUUGGGCUGUCCAGUUCAGUUCAAGUUUUAUCUUAGUAGGAUCACUAAAGACUUCUGCAUAAUCACCAGGGCGACGAGGAAGGAAGUCAACUUUGAUAGGAACUCCAGUGGCUGCCUUGCAAGCCUCCACAAAUUCCUUCACUGAUCUACCUGUUCUCAGAGACCAAAAGAAUAAAGUGAGAACUAGACUCAAAGUGAGAAACUGCAUAUGAUGACACAAGAAGGAACGCCUUACCUCUUCCGGUUCCAACAUUGUAGAUUCCCACCUUCCCAGGCCUAGACUUUUCAAGAGCUUUCACAUGAGCAUCAACCAGAUCAGUGACAUCUAUAUAAUCCCUAAUGCAUGUACCAUCUGUUGUCUUAUAGUCUGUUCCUCUAACCUGCACGACGAAACAAAGGCUCUCAGAGAUGAGGGCAGAUCAUAACUAUUCAUGUUAUCAUUGACACAUUCCAUCCCCCCCCCCCCCCCCCCUCAUAGCCCAUACUAGAAGAAUUGCUGAUAGAACAGCGGAAUGUUUGUCUUUUACAUGUUAUUAAGAGUGACAAUGGCAACUGGGUAUCAGAAUAGUGUAGCCAAUAAACUUUAUCUGUAUGAAUUUCACUCGUAAGAACCAGAUAUUUUCUGGUAGAUAUUAGAAAUGCUCCAUGCAUGAAGCGACUUCUGACAAUUCAACAACCGCGAGUACAUAGAUGAUAAAUAGCAAAUACAUCGAGUAUAGAUAUGGCUAUUAUUGGCUGACCUUGAGACCAGGUAUGAUUCCACGAGCUGCAUCAUAACAAGCACCAGAAAUUCGCCCAUGUUCACGAAGUUCAGGCCGGGGAGCUUCUCCUAGUCUUCCCUCUGGAUCAGAUCCAAUCACAUUGAAGUACCUGUAUUUUCAGAAAACAAUUUAGCAUUAAUUUAACCCAUGCUAAUUGUGCUAGACAUAGCCAGUCAACCAAUAGUUAUGACUCAGGUUUCAACCAUCGAUCAAAGGGAAAGGGUAUAUUAGCAAAGACAUAUCGAACACCUACCUCAAAAUCAUGACAGCCAUGUUUGAGUUCUUAUGGAAAUCCAAAAUAAUAUCCUCUGCCAUUUUCUUCGCUUUUCCAUAUGGAUUAAUAGGGAGCUGCAAUUUGACGAAAAACUCUCAGCUGUUGCUUACCAUUGACAUAAGAGAGAGGCAAUCAUACGGUUCUAGCAUACUAGAAGUAAAUACGGCCUUUACACCCCACCUGUGGAGUUUCUUCGGUAAUAGGCAUCUUUUCAGGCUCUCCAUAUGUCGCACAUGUACUAGAGUAAAUCAAUGUGGGGACUCCAUGAGCUGACAUAGCUUCUAAGACAGUGAGCGUAUUUGAAGUAAUGUUGUGAUAGUACCUGAUUGGAACAUGCAGCACCUCAUGAAAUAUGAGUUUCAGAGGACAAAGGCAAAUAACCAAAUUACCAGAGGAAUAUUUAACUUUAUACAGUAUCACGACAUGGAAAUUACUCUGAAUUUACUCAUUAAUGAGACAUGCUAGCUCCUUUGGUUAGAAAUAUUUAAUCCUAUUAAGUUUGAGAAAAAUGAUAAAAAUUCCAAGCCCCCUAAAGCAAAUUGCACUUUUCAGAUAAGAAGUCACAUAAAAUUACACAUACGAUUCAAAGUAGUAAUACUCAGUGUUUUGGAUGGCAAAAGGUGAUAAAGGCGAAAAGGGUCUGCCUUGCCACAAGGCGAGGCGCUCGCCUUUUUUAAGUGCGACCCAAUUAAUACCAAAAAAUUAAAAUAUUUAAUUGCAUAUAUAAAUAAUCAAAAUUUCAAUAGCAACAAGAUAUUAGCAAAUAUUUCAAUUCAAAAACUAAAAACAGAUUGUACAUGAUUAGAACUUGAAUGAGUAAAAAAUAGAAGAAAAAUCAAAACAGAGAAAAAAACAAAGGGUAGAAGUGACUCUGACGUUUGAAGAAGAAGAAGAAGAAAAAGGAAAUCUGAAGAACGAACAAUGUAUUGGCUGAACUUUGGAGUCGCUGGAAAAUUCUGGCUGGUCGCUCGAGGAGUCUAGUCGAAAAUCCUAAAAUUACCUUUUUAACUUUUAAAACCCUAAAUUGGUUACCUUUUAUAAGAAAAUACAAAAGGCGACACCUUUCUCGCCAUGGCGGCGCCUUUUGAAGAUUGCCUUGCCACAAAGCUAAAAGGCAAUGAAGGGUUGCCUCGACUCUCGCCAUUGGCGACGAGGCAAUCGCCUUUCACAACACUGGUAAUACUAGCCUUAAUUUGCUUGUAUUCGGAGUAAAACCAAUCAAGGCAGGAAAAAAUAAUGUUACAUCAGUGAUACAUACAACCAACUUUGACAGAGAUGCAAUAUCUGUACAUACUUGAUGCUUUGGCUUACCCUGUAAAAGAUUUAGUUCUCUAUUCCUUGCACAAUGCACCAAGUGAAACACUAAUUCACAUUUAUUUAUUUAUUUGAAUGCUAACUCUCCAUUUACAUGUUACGAUGGAAAGCUUUACAGAAAGAUCAACUAUACUUACUUUAGAGGAUCGAGGGUGCUCUCUCCGACAUAUGCUACAGCUGCAAAAUGCAUCACAGCAUCAAAAGCAUUCUGGGAGAAUAUCUGGUGGACCUGCUCAUUUCAGUUAUGGAAAUUAGUGAAUGUCAAAUAACAAUAACAAUAAAGAAGGUAGUUUCAGAACAGCUGCAGUUUACCACUUUUGCAUCCCCCAAGUCAGCAUAUAUAAACUGAAGCCUCCCUGGUUCAGGAAAUAAUUCCUGCAGAAUCCUCACAGCUCCCAUAUUUCCUCGUGAAAGGUUGUCCUGUCGAAUUGGUAAAUCAUUUUUCUUAUUGAGUGUCUCAUUUACGCAUUUUCAUGCUCAUAAGACCAUAAAGUGAAGUUAAAAGUAGAAAAAAGAGUCAUUCAAGAAUGACUGUCAAAGGAUCUAAUCACAACUUCAGAAGGAGAUAUUACCACUAUCGUCACCCGGUAAUUUUCUUUUAAAAGUCGUAAUGCUGCAUGGGAACCAAUGUAGCCAGCACCUCCGGUGACUAAGACAUGAACAACACCUGGUUGAUGGCGAGAGAACUAGGAGAAAGCAUCAACAAGAAAAAACAAACACAAUGAGAACAAAGCUUAGAAUUUCAAAACCAUAAGAACUUCAAUCUUUUGUAGCAAAAGAAAUCCAAUGCCAAACGGACUUGGCUAUGGGCACACAUUUGGUGCAUCUGAUACGGAUACAUGCAGAAAUUUGUUAAUUUGUAGUACAUUUGAAAGUUUGAAUUAAAUAUGUACACCUUUUUCAGACCUGUUCAACAAGGAUAUGUCAAGGCAAUGAAAGAUAGAUGCAAACAGAAUCCUAAAUAGUAAGAUGAAAAGGAUUAAAUAUUUAGAAUUUUAAAAUCCUUCUUCAUCUUACACUGUACACGGCCCAUUAGUACAAACUAUGAAAUAGAAAUUGGAGAUAUUGUAAAUUGAGAAAAGUAAACUGGAAUCCUAAACUGCUUAAUGGUACAGAAAUUUCAUGAUCAACAGAAGAAUGCUUGUAACAUGAAGCAUGAAAGAAAAAGGGACUGAGAAGAACUCAAGAAAGCAGCAAAUAGUACUCUUCCGAUUUCAAAGGUUUCCAACAAUUGCAGGAAAAUAAACAACUUGGCAUUUCUUAAGUGUAAUUAGCUACUUGGACCGAGAGGCUGUAGCUAUCAGGAAACUGCCACAAACCAAGAUAUAUUACCAAACUAGUUCUCCAGUUGCCAUUGCUUGUAAUGGUGCAAGUGACAAUGUAGUGUUCCACAAAAAGUAGAAGUAUCAAUAUAUCCAAGAUCUGCACAAACAGAACUUAAUGCCACGCCAGCCUUCUAAAUGACCACCCACCAAAAGCAGAAGUAGACCAUCCACAAGUAGACAGUGCACUGAUGUGUACAAAAGAGGUGAUGUAUCCAAGUUUCAUAUAUAUAAGGACCUUUCACCAUUAUUUGGAGAAGGGCACAGGAAUAAAGGCAUGGCGGAGAAACCUAAUUGUCACUACUCUUAGUGACACGGCAGUUACAGCAGCCUUUGUGUCUCAGCUGAUUGGACUAAGAUUUAAGUAAAAGAUUCCAAGCAUCCUAUACAUUAGAGAACAUCACUUUGGUUGGUCAAUGGUAAGUUACAUUGAUAAUCCAAUAGUUGGUUAAAUAUUCCCACUAUCUUAAAGAAACAAAGACUCAGAACUUGUAGAAAAGAACAAAUGUACUAUACAACCAUCUCAUGUCAAAUAAAAAGUACAAAAGAAACCCAUGCUAGUAAUGACACAAGAGAACAUGCAGUCCAUUAUAUAAAACUCCAAAUAUCAAACUGUCAAUCUAAUCCAAGCAUAUAGACACAAAACUGAGAAAAUAAUUCAACAGAGGAAGGAUCAGGGAAUUACUGCACUUGGGGUAUUAAAAGUUGGAGACUGCUUGAGCAUAAGAAUGCAUAGCGCUGUUAGCACAGCAGCCAUAAGAAUUUUACCCACAAAAUUGCUCUUCUUCUUUGGGUCUGCAUAAUCCAUGCCUACAAUCACCAAAGCAAGUAAUAGUUUGAGACCCUAAAAAUAAGUGUUAUUCACAAUAAGUAAGAACAAAGAAAGAUCAUUGACCACAUUGCGUAACCAUCAGCAGAAAUAUAUCCAAGGACCACAAUUGAAAUGUUUUACAUUGACAUCAACUGCCUAGCUGUUACUAAUACAACUUUCAUGAUUUAACCAAAUAGAACCAGCCAAAUGUGAUAAGCGUUUCGGGUCAUAAAAAAUUCUACCCAGAAACAGAAUGUAUAUAACAAGAAAAAGAAACAAACUACUCCAAUGAACAUGGCUCACCUCCUAGAGACAUAGAUCUGCUAGACCUUGUUUGAGCUCUUCCCCUGCCCAAGCCUAGCAUAAUCUCUCCAAUGCCAAAUAGGCAAACAAUCAAAUUAGAUUAUCUUAUUACUUGAAACUACUGAUCAAGUAAGCCCCUUCUUUGUAUGUGGAACUGUUAUCAGUCUGCAGCAACAAACAUAAGAAUUUACUCUUCGAUUAUCAUUAUUUAAAAACUCAAACACAGAUUACUAAAACUUAACCCAAAAGCUAAACAAAAAGCAAUCAAUAACUGGGCCCUGUCUCAAAAAGAUGGCCAUAAUUAUCAAAUACUCAGAUAUGAAGUUUGUCCCUUCCUUUGCACCCCACCCACCCCCAAAUCAAACUUCCAGAAAAGAUCAAGUAAAUUGAAAAAAAUCCCGUUCGUAAUAAAUAACCUACUUGUAACCAAGAACGAAGAAAAACAACAAAUUUCAAAUUUCCCAAAGGAUCUGAGUUGAAAAUCCAGCAAAAGAAACAGCAUUUCAGUUGAACUGAAACCUGAAAUUAAGUUACGACUUUAUCAACAAUAUUCCCACAUAAAACUAACAAACCCCAGAAAAUACCCAGAAAAGAACAAUUCUUUCUCAUUCAAGAAAACUCAAACCCAGAACAGAAAACACCAAAAACAACCCAAAAAUACAAUCUUUUUUAUCCAAUUUAACCCCCCCCCCCCCCAAAAAAAAAAACCAUACCCAUUAAAGAGAAAAAACAACACAAAUUCCAAAAAGAGAAAUCACUAACGUAGCAAACCUGCAGCUUCAAUUUCCAAAACUGUACAGUAAAACUCCUUAUGAUCAAGAGAUCUAUGAACUAACAUAUAAAAAAUAUCUUCUAAAGAAAUUUAUAGUAGAAGAAAGAGAAUUGAGUAGAGUCCACGAUCAUGUUUAUUUUGGAAAACAAAAAAAAAAGAAAACGUACAAAGAGGGAGAAGGUUCAGUGUAUCGGUAGAGCUGAUAAACAACAAACAAAGUCCUUAGUCUCUUGCGCGUAUACUGAUUUAUUUAUUUGUUGAGAAUAUCAAGUCAAAUACCAAAUGGAGAAGUGGCAUUAGCUAGCCAUGUGUUACUACUAUUUUAUUUUAUCGAUUUGCUCACUCCAUUUUCAAAAGAAAGAUAUGGUUUGACUUGACACGGAGUUUAAAAGUAUAAAGAAAGUUUUUAAAUUGGUUUUGAAUUAAAAUUUAGUUAAAUAUACGUAAUUACAUUUUAAUCUGCCUUAAACAUGCCACGUGAAAAAUUGUAACUAAAAUAUUACCAAAAAAAAUGUCAUUCUUUUUUAAACAGACUAAAAAGAGAAGGAGAUUAUUCCUUUUGAAAAAAGGGAAGGAGAUUAUUUUUU